This 155050-nucleotide long non-coding RNA is filed under the name Musa acuminata (dwarf banana). RNAcentral's name for it is "long non-coding RNA (MACU_LNC004781)". The record is from RNAcentral. Lineage: Eukaryota; Viridiplantae; Streptophyta; Magnoliopsida; Zingiberales; Musaceae.
GUGGGGGAGGGUUGUGUUAGGGUACAUUAGUUGGUUCAAUCGACUCAGGCAGAAACCCAAACCCAACUUCACUUGGGUGCUGGCUCGAGGUGCCCAACGCUUGGGCCCAGGUGUGCACCUAAGCAACGCUUCAUUGAAACACCACACCUGGAGGCUUUGCGAGGCACGGAGGCCUCAUCUCGUCUCGCCUCGCUAGAGUGCCUUUUGAAAACAUUGAUCUACAGAUGUUGGGGUUCCAUAUUGCCCUUUAAACUAGAGUGGUCUCACACUAGUCAUGAUGGAGACAUCUAAUCAUGACGGAGUCAUGAUGGUAAUACACAUGUUGCUCACCAAACACAAGACCAUCUAGUUGCCCCAUUUGAUGAUCCGCUAAUUCAGAAGAAAAUCGGUCUAUCGGUACUAGUUUAUUUGCCCAUCAUCGAUAGGGAUAAUGACCAUAAUCAACAUGAUACAAUUCAUGGUAUCAUAUAACGUGCAAAAUAUAAUAUCAUAUAAGAAUGCAAACCAACAUAAUACCAUCACCAGUAGAGUAUCAUCCAAUAACAAGCAAGAACGUGAAUGUAAAAUAGAAUAAUAUCUUAACCAACUUAAGAGGUUCAUCAUUCAUAUUAUAAGGCUAACAACAAUAAACAACACAAGGUCAAAUAGAAGUUGACUUGAGUAUAUCCAAGACCCACUUAAGAAUGCCUAUGUUAUUAGAUUAGAUAAAUUCAGCAUAAUUUAACUAUUGAACCCAUCUUGACUUUUCUAGACUAAUAAAUCCAGAUGAGCAAAUUAUGCUAGUUCAAACUAGCUUCACUAAGUAUGCAUCUCAUUAACACUUACUAUGACCGUUAAAUAACUCUAGCUUAAAAUGAUACAUUCAAAUUAAAUUGGGUCAUUAAUCAUUUGUUUGUGUUACUAAUCAUUUUGAUUCCCUUUGCAUUGUUUGUUAGUGCAAUAUAAUAUACAUAAUGACUACAAGGUAUCCUGAAAACAAUUUCCUCUUAAAUUCUCAUUAAAGAUCUCACCUACAUGUGUAAUUACUAAUAGUGAUAUAUGCACAUCACCUAUGACCACAUAGAUGAAUAUGUGCAUACAUGCAUGACAAAUGAAUACUGUUAUUGGAAAUUACACUUAGGUACGUACCAUGUACUACCAGGCCAAGUGUAGGAAAUGUAAGUUGUGCUGAAAAUGGAGAUUGGAUGAUUCACGUGGUUAAGGGCCAGCAUUUAUUUGGCCAACUCUUUCGUGUACAAUAAGUCCAUUCAGAUAGAACAUGGGAAAAGGUCUUGCAUUAAAUAAGGAUUAACAAGUGCAUGAUGUUAUUGCUAAUAAGGCACAAAAUGAGUCAUUCACAUUAGGGUCAUUAAAUAUCACUUAAAUUCCACUUGACUGUCAGAGGGCCACUAUAUAACCAUCACAUAUUUUGAUAGGUUAGUCACAAAACAAUAGAUUGACUAGCAAUCUAGUAAUACAUGCCAUGGAAUAAAUGUGGUUACAGUCUAAACAUUAUGCUUCUUCCCAAACUAUCUAGUUUUGAGUAAGAAAUUAGCAAUGAAGCCAUGACCUAAAGGUAAUGGUUGGGUUGAGGCUAGGCCAUGGUAGAACGGUUCAUGCAAGCUAUGGCCUCAAAUAUGCGGAGGGGCCCAUGGCUUGCGUUAGAAUAUUACUACCAUAUCCUAUAGCCCUAUGGCCAGAAGACUUAUGCCAUGUGGUCCUUGACUUAUGGUGAAUUACAACAAGAUUUCCUCUUUCUGAUCACUAAUUGGCCUACGAAUGGAGGAAAGCUCCAAAAUUGUAACAGUGGAUUCAAGUUUGUCAGUGUAACAGAACUGAAGCAUGGACAUAGAUUUACUCCAAGUGUCGAGUCAUUAUCACGAGCUAUCUCCCACAGUCCCACUCUAGGAUAUUGGCUUGGAAGUCAGUACACUUAUGAAUGUGUAGAGCAGUCAUCAUUUGAGACAUCUGAAAUUACUCAUAGGAUGUUAAGCAUAGUGCAUGCAUAUGUUACAAGAACGCAAAAGAUGUAGUGAUUUUGAUUGUGCUAUCACUUGUUUUGUCUAUUCAUUGGAUUAUGCAGAUGACAACACCAAAAGGUAUUGCAACCUCAACUAAGAUAUGCCUCUGAGUUGUUUGUCCACACUAGACCUAUGCAAAUGUGGAUUAACUUCCAACUGGUUCAUAUCCAAGUUCAUUUCAAGGAUUGGUUAGUGGAUCAGUUAGAGCAUGAGAUAUUAAGUGCAUCGGGGUGACACUGAAAUUCCAAUAGUGAUGCCUUAUGACCAUGAUUCUACCAGUAACCUAGUUAACCAUUGCACAUGAAGUGCAAGGAACAUAUACCACAAUUGAAACAUGUUAAUCAGAUUAGAAGUAUUAACUACCAUUUUCUUAUACAUAGAUAUUAUCGCUCAUUGUUAUUUCCUUUUCCUUCUUAGGGAAUUUGGUAAAUAACAAAUGACAUGCAUUUUCUACUACACUCACAUGGAUACAAGUAAAAAGAUUCGAAUCAUCUACUGGAAAAUUGAGCCACAAUCAUAAUAGAAAAUUUGCCAUAGAUAUCAUUACGCUUCAUAUGAUAAUUUAAGCAUCGAAAAUAGCAUUUUUGGAUGACAAGGAACGCUUUUUAUUUCAAUACAAUCAUCUACAUCAUAGAAAACAAUGAGAUAGAAGGAAGGAAAUCUCUAGAAAAGAUCACUACCAGGUUUCUGACAUGGAAAAGAAAAAAAAUAGAAUCCUACCACAAUCCUCAAGGCAAUGCAUGGUCCCCCAUCACAUUCCUUCCUCUCAAAUAUAUUUCCUCCUAAAUUUGUUAGAUGAGUGAGGACAGACAAAUAAAAAGAUGAGUUCUGUAUUAUUCUCAAAGAACAGUACUCUCUCCUCAUUCCACACCCCAAAAGCCAUCAGUAUUCAGUAACUGAACCCAUCACACAUCCCACCCUUUCCUAAGUUCCAAUUUAAAACUACUAUAUUACCCUUAAACCAUGGGGUUAUAACAAAUGCUCUUCAGGCUUUUACUUCCCCAUUAAUCAAUAUAUCACUUGUUCAAAGCAUGAUCUAAGAAACAAGCUAAGAUUCCAUUUUUGUAAAUUUUGUUGCUUGGUCAUUGAUUCUGUCUAAUUGAAAUGCAUAUUGGUCGAACAGCAUAAAUGUAUAGAUAAGUGCAACAAGUACUUCAUAGGUGUGACUCGACCGCCAUUUUAUAUGUUUUGGAAAAUGAACUGAGACAUGGUCACUCAGGUUUAUAGUCUGAAUUAUGCUUCCUUGCGAAAAUCCGUGAAUAAGGAGCCAGAUUUUGAUGGCAUAAAUAAACCGAAUAGUAUUUAUGGUUUUGAUUAGCAAUUAGCAGCCAGCAUGAAGCCCAUGCUUGUGAAAGAAGCUUGUUCUGCUAAACAAGUUUAUGCCUCCUUGAACACAAAAGAUUUUGCUAAAAAGCAUAUGUAGCAUAGUUCCCAGAGUAUUUUGUAGGAAUGCAUUAUUUCACUUUAUUCAGAAAUCCUUGUUUCAUAUGAACAGUAGAAGAAUAUUAUUCACUUUGAUUUUUUUUUUUUCAUACAGAUCAAGAUAGUUUAAGGGCCACUAGCAUACAAAAAACCUUUUUUUCACUCUAUUGAUGUACCAAAGGCACCACUCCUUCAAUUGGAUUAGUAGGAAAAAUAUGCUUGCUUCUUGACAGGAGACCAACGUCAAAUGGCGUUUUUCAAUCAGUUUAAUCAAACAAGGAUAAGAAUCCUCCUUAAAAUUGGGCAUAGCCAACGAACAAGAACGGAAAAGAACGAAAAUAGUAUGAUACUUAGUUUCCAAAACUAACAUAAAUGGGCAGUUCAAAUACAUCAAAUUAAUUGUUUCCAAAACUGACAUAAUUGGGCAGUCCAAACACAUCAAAUUGGACUCCUAAAACCAAUUACGGGAAAAGGCACACAAAGAACUUGAAGAAGAAGAAAAACAACGAACCGACUCACCGUUGACUGGGUUGCUGUAGUUGGCGUAAGCGUGGCCAAGCGAUCGUCAUGUUCCGAGGUCACGGCAAACCCGGACGGUCACCACCGGGCCGAUUUGGCUGAACAGAUCGUACACCUGCGUUUCUGUCACGCUCGCCUGAAAGUCCCCCACGUACAGCGACGUGGACGGGAACUGGUUUCCCCCGGAGCCGGCCACGCCGCCUCCGUCGUUGCUAACGUCCCGUUCGGCGCCUGCUGGUGCGUCAGAGCCUGCGCCAUCUUGCGAACCCGAUAUAACCUUCUUUUUUUUGUUUUUUCUCUCUCUUUCCUCCCCAACGACGACUACAAACCUUCUCUGGUUUUUAGGGUUUUGACUGACAGACACGGGAACAAGAAUAUUGGAUCGGGGAGACAUCUGUGCUCUUUUUAGGGGUUUUCCGGGGUUUUUUGGGUGUUUUUUUGAUCGGAGGAGGUGAAAAUUUUAAAUGACUUGACUCUCCACUAUUAUAUCUUCUUCAUUCACCUUCUUGGCCAACCCAACACACACUCACUCGCUGGCUCGCGUUUAGACGGCCUUUGGUUCCACUUCGCUUGUGAAUAUUACCGCUCACCCCAACCGUCGCGUAGUUGCCGGAUCAGAUCUCCACUCCCUCGCGCCCUCGCUCUCGCUCUCGGUCACGGAGCAGCGAGCGAAUCCGAUGGGGAAGAUGAGGGCGUGGUGGACCGUUCUGGUGGUGAUCGUGGCGGCCGGCUCGGCGGUGGAGGCGUCCAAGUCGAAGACCAAGGCGUGCGACAAGGGUGGGAGUGCAGCGGCAGCGUCUACUGCUGCAACGAGACCGUCAGCGAGUACUUGCACGUGUAUCGGUUCGAGAACCUCUUCAGCAAGCCCAACGCCCCCGUUGCCCACGCCGUCGGCUUCUGGGACUACCCGCCCUCUACGAGCCCCUCGGCUUCGGCACCACCGGCGAUAAGUAGACCAAGAUGAAGGAGGUCGCCGCCUUCCUCGGCCACGUCGGCAGCAAGACCUCCUGUAAGCCAAAAAGAAAUCCCAUCCCUUUCUCCCUCCAAUCCCUCCCUCCCUUCCGUUCGUUCAUGCAUCUAAUCAAAUUGCUGCCAAUUGUCUCUUUUUACCUUCUUAUUGACGAUGGAAAUUGCAUCACAUAGAGAAGGGAAAUCAAAAAAUUGGAUCAAUGAUACUCGAUGCUUAUGCUAACAAUUUGAUCAAGUUCAGAUCCUUGCCUGCACAAUCAUAUAUCGAAGAUGGUGAUGAGGAUAGUAAUUAUGAUAAGACUCGGCUGAUGUCAGAUGACGCCUCACGUAACAGCACCUGGUCAAUACAGAUCGGAACGCCGACCGAGGUGUAUUAACAUCCUGCCAAAGCUCAAUUAUUCACGUCAUGUCAACACAAAGUUAGACGCUACCAGUCUGCCUCCUGCAAGCGGGCAGCUCAGGAAGCAGUAUGCUUCCUUAUAAAUACCCUCUUGUUCAUUAGAAAGAGGAAGGAGAGACAAACACACAAAAACACUUCUUCAUCUAAAACCUCCUCCACAUCUGCUAACUUGAUUGUCGGAGGGGUCGGGCCGAGGCGGAGCCGAAGGUCCCCUCCGGACGCGCAGACGAGGAGUUCCUGCCCGGAGGAGACGGCUACACCGUCCCGAUCGGACACCGCACCCGAUCGCCUCAGCGGGCUCGAGGAAUGCCCCAGGGAGAUCGCCGUCGUCCGGACUCGAAUCGAGCCGCGUCGGCCCCGAGUCACGACUCAAAGUUGUUUCCCACAACAGAUGGGUAGCGACUGAUUGUCAUGGACUCGUCGUAUAAAAACCUAUAAAGACUAUUUGAACUUAUUCUUUUCUGCAUGCUGGCUCAUGAUUCCUCAAAUGUUUAGUAAUCAUUGUCGUUGCUGCCUAUCCGUCCACAUAUUUCUUCACAUACAUGUAUAUCUGCUGAACAUCUGUGUUGCAGGUGGGUAUGGUGUUGUCACCGGUGGUCUGCUUGCAUGGGGAUUAUGCUACAACGAUGAAAUGAGCCCAAGCCAAGACUACUGUGAUCCAAACUACCUUUAUCCUUGCGUCGAAGGGGUUGAAUACUACGGACGUGGCGCCCUGCCUGUGUACUGGUAUGUGAAUGGUGUUUCUAGUUUGCAUUGGUGUGAGGAUGGUUGAAGUAAAUUGAGUGCUUAUGAACUUAACCGAUGACUACCAGGAACUACACCUAUGGACUUAUUGGUGAUGCUCUAAAGGUAGAUCUGCUGAACCAUCCAGAAUACCUAGAGCAGAAUGCUACCCUAGCUUUCCAAGCCGCCAUCUGGAGGUGGAUGACACCGAUGAAGAAGAAGCAGCCUUCAGCCCAUGAUGUUUUUGUCGGAAACUGGAAGCUUUGAAUGACACUUUAUCGAAAAGGUUACCUGGCUUUGGGCUCACCACGAACAUUUUGUAUGGUGAUAUGGUUUGCGGCCAGGGCUACAUCGAUUCCAUGAACAAUAUAAUAUCUCACUACCAGUAUUACUUGGACUUGUGGGAGUAGGGCACCAAUUCUCUGGAGACAAUCUGGAUUGUGCUGAACAGGUACCUUUCAAUCCAUCUUACAAAGCUGCCACAUCCUAAGCCACCCCUGCAUCUGUGAAGUAUCAGGUGAAUGACUGCCCCAGAAGAUGGUUGGGUCAAAUUAGUACUGAAUUGUUUGUUCAAAUGGCUCCACUGUUCUUUUAUGUGGUGUAAGUGUGAUUGUGUGUUGGGAUCUAUGGUAAAAGAACUUGUAAAGGAUACCUAUUUUUGGCUAUGGAAACUAUGAUGUACUUGUGUUUUCAGAGUGAUGGGUGAUUUGGUGAUUGCAUACUGCAGUGCAAUUGAUUCAGUUCCUAUUCUGCCCAUAAACCUUCCAAUAAGCCAAGCAACCUACAGAGGAUGUCCUUUGUUUAUUUCAUUCUCCUUGAUCUGCAACAGCACAAGUUCACAUUAAAAUACUUGCUGCAAGGUUAAUUCAAUGGAAGUUCUCUCUGAAGAAGAAUCCCAUUGUAAGUGCUGCAAUAGUAUCUAGCCUUUACAAUUGUACAUACUCGAAAACAUACAAAGAUUGAUAUCAACAAAAUUAGGAUACUUGAAACCAGAAUAAUGAACAAGGAACUCUUGUUCAUGUCAAUUUUACAUAUUCAGGAGGAAUUGAACCUGGCCAAAAAAGCACUGAAUACUUUCACUACAGCUCCAGCAGUCAAAACCCAGAACACAGCACCAAGUCCCACCAGGAAUGAGAUGAAAAGGAUCCCCCCAUUGCGGCCUCCCCUUCUUCCCGAUGUAGCAUGGUGCCCAUCUGCGGUGGCGUUUGGACCAUGAACUCCAACCUGCCCUGCUCUAAAACUCGAUACUCGUUCAAAUGCCCUGCUAAUGAAGGUAUUCUCUGAUGCCAGCGCAGGACGGCUUGGUACUGAAUCCAACAAGGUUGAGAGUGCAGAACUGAACCACGAUUCUGAGGUGCUGUUUUGCCGUUGGACCAUCUCCAUAUUGGAUGAUGUAGAAGCAUAUGCAGCACCUAUGUAUGAAGUAGCGAAAAAUGAGAACUAGCACAAGCAAAAUCUGUGUGGCUGAAUGAUUUGUAAGGAAUGUAUACUGGAUCAUGCAAAUGCAAGAUUUUUAAGCACCUGAAGCUGGUGAUGUCAUGAAGACCUGGUUUGGGUCCGCAUUUGAGGCACCGAAACCCUGAUUAUGUCCCCAAAGUUCAGUUGAUACGUGGUAUGACUCAUCUAGUGCUUCAUCACCACCAAAACCAUCAAGGUAUGAAAUUGGUGCUGCAAGGCCCAGAGAGUCAAAAUCAUCAGAGAAAGCCACAGGGGCAUCAAAAUAGUCAUAAGAAUCAUAUAACUCGUUAGGGCCAUCGAUCUGGUCCCUGUUAUUCAAAUCGUUCCAACUCCACAUGAUGGAUUCUGGGUCAUUGAAAUCUUUGAUUUCUAAAAACUCCUCAUCUGCCUGCCCUAGAAUCUGUUGGGUGUUAGAGGUUAAUGAAGUCAUCUCAGGAUCUUCAACAGGCUGAACACAAGCAGAAUCUGGUUGUGUGACUUGAAACUUUGUGUCUGAAGUGCUCAGCUCAUAACAAAUGCCACUGUUCUCAAAAGAAGUAGCUUUCGUUAAGGAUGGGCAAAAAUUGUGCUUUCCAAUUUCUGUUUCAACAUUAACCUGCACCAAAGAGACAAGCCAAUAAAAGUCAGCCAACUUUCGUUGCAUUCUUUGCUUGAGGAUAGAGGAUCUAAGGAAAGAUGGAUCAGGAAUGUGCUCUUAUAUUUCAUUUAUUUACAGUUCCAAAUGAGUUAAGGAAUGACACUCUAUGCAACUGUGCGUGUGUUGCAUGUCUACAUGCUUGCAGUAUGCGUGGAGCACGAGACGUGUGAGUGAAUAAUGUGUAUGCUUGUCAACUCUUGUGUUGGGUCCAUGUGUAUUGAUGUUGCUACAUUUGUUUUCACAUUUGGACAUCAGUAAUCUAAAAUUGUUACUGCAAACCAGAUUGUGGAAUUAGAAUGAAAUGAGCAACAAAGCAUGGAAUACAGCAAUACCUCUGAAACAUAUGCGGAAUGUUCUGAAUACUGGCCAACCAUGUUCUGCUCAUUAGACAAUUCUAGCAAAAUAUCCUCUAACUCAUCCACUAGUUGAUUGCUCCCAGCAUCGCAUGAUGUGCCAGCAGAGACCAGAUCAUGGAGAGGCUCGAUUGUUGGUACUUCAGUGUUCCACGGAUUCGUUGGUAAUUCACUGUUAUCCUGGCUCCUGAAGAUCUCAUCCACUACAUCAUCAUCCCACUCCUCUUCCCUGAAGGGUGCUCCAUACUGCUCCCCAUUCUUAGGACCAGGACCACUCUUCCUGAACACCUUGUAGAGAGCAUAGCAAUCCUGCAAAGGAUGAGAGAUAAUGAUGAAAAAUUGAUAAAAAAAGAUGGAGAACCAUCAAAACUAUGAAACAAAGAGAAGAUAUAGAUGUGUUGGAUGCUAUAAUCAGAGUUGAUCCUUUCCAGCGAUGACUUGCCUGCACAUUGUUGCAGCUUAAAAACACCUGCUCAUCCAAGGUGUACUCAUGCAUCACCCAGUUGGUGCGUUCUCCCUUGGGCGCGCGUCCAUGGUAGUAGACAAGUGUUUUCUUGUUCCCCAUAGCCUUGGAGUUCUGAGAGAUGGUCCGGUCCUUUCCGGUAGUCUUCCAGUAGCCACAUUUGGUGGCCCGAUUCGAUCUCGACCCAUUUGGAUACUUCCUAUCCCUCGGGCUGAAGAAAUACCACUGCUUAUCGCCACUCUUCAACUCUGAUUUGUCUGCAGAUACCACGAGAAGCCACAGUUGUAAAUUUGAGUCAGCAAAGAAAGAGGGAAUAAAACGCUAAAAGGCGACAACUUUAGAGUGUUCUAACGUAGCAAUUCUUGUUUGAUUUGGAGGUGAAGUUGAAGCAAUCUAUAUUGUUUUGACUUCAGAUGUUUAGGCAAUCAAUCAACCAAGGAGAGAACCUAAGCUGCACAAAAUUGAGCACCUUCACAUAAUAGCAGAGAUAACAAGAUUAGAAUCCAAUGAACUGUCUAAACGAAUUAGAUCAAUUGAAAUGGGUGAAAAUUUGCGUUCAGGAUUCCAGGUUAAUCCGGCAAGAACAAGAGGAGGACAACUGAGAAGCGGUAUCUAGUGAUCAACCACAAGAUUCAAAUGCGAAGGAAGAGAACAAGGAGGAGCUGCGGCUCAACAACCAAGGGAGAUGCCGAAUCAUACCAGGGAGUUCCCAUGGCUCCCACUUGUAGACGUCGACGUCGCCGAUCAUGGCGAGCCUGAAGCGGCGUCCGCAGAUCUUGCGCUUGAGAUAGUAGAGGACAAUCUCCUCGUCGGUGGGGUGGAACCGGAACCCCGGCGGCCACCAGUUGGAGUUCCCCGGCCAUGCCCCUGCCGCCGACCCCGGAGAGCAGCGAUCGUCGACGGCCGCUUCAACUCCCCCACUGCGACCAACGCAGUCCUUCGCCACACCCAUACCUACAGCCUAUUCGGCCGGUCAACGGCAGCGGCAGCAGCAGCAGAUAGAGAAGAGAAGAGGGGGAACAUAGACGAAUCGCUUACGGCAGUCUCGUGUUCCGCUUUAAGGAGGAAGAAGUCGACAAAAGGAGGAUCCUCUCCAACAAUAUAUUUAAAUAAAACCAUUCGGUCUAAUAAUCGUAACCGUUCAUUCACGAGCCGACGACUGUCUCCGACAACGAACGGUUCUGAUCGAAGUCAGACACAAGGUAAGAAUUGGAGGGGAUCCGCGCCCAACUUAUUGACCGGUCCUCUCCAUGACUCUUUUAGUGUCCCCUCCGUUCCCACAACCCACAAACUUUACUCUCUCAACCUUGAUCCUAACUGUGGGGCUCACGCCACAGCGAGAUGGAUCUCCGGUAAAUGUCUGGUGUGAACAAAGAUAUGGUGUUAGAAUCGAGAACGCAGCUCUAGUGACUCAGAAUUAUAUCACGGAUCUCAUUAUAUACAUAUAUAUAUAUAUAUAUAUAUAUAUAUAGGAUUAUGUUGCGUAGAUGAAUUGAAAUCAUAUUAGCAUGGACAAUUAUUUCCUCGUGACGCGUCACGUGGGUGAGACGGGUGAGGGGGCAGUGGGCAUAAAAAAACAGUGGGACUCAUGUGAAGAGCGAAGCUGGCUUCACACUUGUUCAACACCAAUCUGUAACUGACACGUGGACAGACUCUCCCGGGAACGACGAGGAAGCACCGGAGGUAAUUCCGUGAUUCCCACCACCCUCAUGUCACGUAGUGACGCUUCCUUUUCCUUCGUCUCCAAUGUAGCGCGUGUGAUUGUUCGAUGAGGACGGGUGUUGAUGGGAGAAACUUCGCAGCAGCUGCCUUCCCUUUGAAUGUGUGUUGAUUGUUCUUCCGUAUGGACAUUAUUAUACAUUUGUCCUGCAGCACAGAUCAGAUUAGUAUACGUAGAAUAAUAUUCAAAACAGAGUUACUUAUGUGUGAAGUUAAAAUUUAAUUAUUCGAGUUAGACACUUAUUCAAAGUCAAUCGAGGUUCUUCAUCUUUUAUCUUGAAAUAUUGAUGAUCGUUUUAUUUAUGUUCACUUUUAAACUACUUCAAGACCUAUAAAAUUACAUUAGAGUAUUUUGGAUAAGAUCUUUAUGUAACUUAAGUGGGAUUCAAAGGAUUCGGUUAGGCAUUUUAGUAGAAAAAGAUAUUUUCUCCUAUAACGCACGUGAAGAGCUCUUUUAUAAUAAGCUUUGAAAUGUCUUUGCUCAGUCAAUGUUUGUUGGUUAUAAAGAAUGUGGUGUGUUUCUUUUGGAUUUAAUUGAGAUUGUGGUGUGUCAAACUUGGGACAUGGUAAAAUCGGGCCUAUUCAAUUGUUUUAAUCAAAGGGGGAGGUUAGCGUUCGCCCCCUCUAUCAUGGUCAGUGCCCGACUUACCAAUCUUGAAUAGAAAAAGGAUUGGCUCUCGAGCCUUCUACCUAGGGUGGAAAGGGUGUUGGCACUCAACCCCUCUACUGUGGUCAGCACUUGAUCCCUCCACCUUGGGUUAGCCUUGAGGGAGUCAGGUUUUCCUGACUUUUAUAUCUAGGGCAAGUCUCACUUUAGGUGGGUUGAGGUUUUUCGACCUGACAUGUGUCUUUAAGGACUCUCUUCAGGUAUAAUGAGUUUUUUUCUAACUCACACACAUCGGACACAUUUUGUCUUGUGUCUCCUAUCGUAACGAGUUUCUUUUUACACGAGUUGAGUUUUUCAACUCAUAUACCUCCAACACAUUUUAUCUUUGCCUCUAUCAUGGUAGAUUUUUUUCAAUGUAGGUUAGGUUUUGUCGACUCACAUAUCUUAAACACUUUUUGCCUUGUGCCUUAUACUGUGACAAGUUUCUUCCUAUAUGGGUUGGGAUUUUUUGACUCACGCACCUUAGGUAUAUUUUGUCAUAUGCCUCCCACUAUAAUAGAUUUCUUCCUACACAGGUCGAGAUUUGCCAACUCAUAUGUCUUGGGUACAUUUUGCCUUAUGUCUCCAGCCAUGGUGAGAUUCUUCUUAUAUAGGUUAAGUUUUGUUAACUCAUACGUCCUGAGUACAUUUUGCCUUAUGCCUCUUACCUUGACGAGUUUCUUCCUAUAUGGGUCAGGUUCCAUCGGCUCACAUGCCUCAAACACAUUUUGUCUUAUGACUCUUGUCGUGACGGGUUUCUUCCAAGGUGAUCGUCACACAUCGAUCACCUUUAUACUUUUCAAUAUACGCCUUCAUCAAUUAGCAUCUCUUUAUAUUCAAAACAAAGGGACAUUUAUCUUCAAUAUGGAAAGAGAGAGAUCGAUCUCCUCCCUAUAAAUUCUCCUUAGCCAUGGGAGUGAGGCUCAUUCUCUCAUUUGAGCUGCUGUGGUCUUCCUUAAGAGCUUCUUCUUCUUAGCCUUGGCUCAUUUCUUCAAGGUGAGUUGGUUCUUGGUCAUCUUUUUAAGGCGGGUCGGUUCCCAGGUGUCUCAUCCUUUAUGCACGUCGACUCUCCAGUACCUUGGCCAUCCAGCAUCUCGAUCCUGAAGAAUUUAUUUCACCUUUGCAGACUGGGAUAUCUUUCCAUUAUCAUAUAAACUCCUCAUAAUCUUAUAGCCACUGAAUGGUUAAAGAGGUUGUUACUCCAUCCUUAGACAACCUAGGAGUUGAGGAAGUUUGACCUCUUCUUCAUUAAGAGAGUCGAUCCCAGUGAACCCAAUGAUUAUUUGGGAUUUAGAAUCCAUAGAAGGCACAUAUGAUAGGGACUCAAUGAUAAGCACAUAACUCCUAGACUGCAUCCAUACCAGGUAUUAUAUUUCAACUGAGUUUGAGCUACUAGUCCCUCGGCCCAAUCACCAUUCAUAUGAUCCAAUAUUUAGAUUCCUUUAUUUGUUUUCUAACACUCUAGAGGUAGGACUUUGCUUUCCCAUUCAUCUAAUGAUUGCGUCUUAUCUCUAACAGUGGAGGUUAUCGUCCUCAUAGAUGGUGCCCAACUCAUUAUGUUAUUUGGUAGUGUUCACUAGAAAGUGUUGUCAUGCUAGUAUUAUCCUGACCUACAAUUUUUUUGCUGCUUGCUUUUGACUAUGCAAGAUAAAAAAAAAAAAAAACUAUUACAUAGUUGCUCGAGAGUGCUUUAAGGUUAGUGGUAUCCCUUCCAACAAUAAAGGCUGGAAGGAGAAUUUAUAGCUCAUUGAUAAAGGUAGGGAUUGAGGGUUCAGCCUUGCCCGGUCUGCAUGCUCUAUAAAUAAUAUACUUUCCUUUCUAUCUAACAAGAAGAUGGAUCAAGUGCUUCUAUUAGAGAUAUACUCUAUUCUUUCGAGACUAUUAGGAAGAUAGAUGAGGACUAGUCGAUCGACAUGGGUCUUGGCUCAGCUCCUUAGGGUAUAGAUCUUUUUACAUUCUCAGGGGUAGAAUUUCUUUAAGUUAGUAAUGUGUCAAGUCCUCGGUAACACUAUACCCUUUGUUAUUUUAAGGCAAUAGGUUUCAUCUUGGAUGACCUCGAUAACUCGAUAGGGACCUUCCCAAUUUAGCAUUAGCUCAUCCCGGGAUCUAGUUAGGUCAUUGACUUUAGCACUUCGAAGUACCAAGUAUUUCAAUUUAACUCCCUAUGGGCAAACACCUUGGUUGUAAAGCUUAGCUAUCGUUUUCUUGUGUCUUAGUGCCCUCAUGUGUGCUUCUAAUUUAAUCUCGCUAAUUAGGUCGAGCCCAGCCCAAAGUCCCUUGAAGACUUUCUUAUCAAAAUUCUUAACUUAAGGUGUUAGAAAGAUCAUCUCAGGUGGUAAGACAACUUCAAUAUCGAAGUUUAAGUUAAAUGACAACUCUCUCAACCCAAUCUUUAGUGUUGUUUAGGAGGCCUAUAAGAUACUUAGUAGUUCAUCCACCUAAGUGUCUUUUGCUCCAAUGACUCACUUUUUUAACCCUUCAAGAAUGGCUUAGUUGAGAACUACGGUGAGAACCGUUAAUAUGAGGAUGAGCUACUGACCUGAACUUUAGCUAAACUCCAUAGGAUUGACAAAACUCAUUAGAUGUUAAAUUAAUUUCUAUUAUUACUAAUUAUGACUCUUGGGACUCUGAGGCAAGUGAUAGUGUUAUUCCAUAUGAAUCUCUUGGCCUACUUCUUAACGAUUAAUGCUAGUGGCCUAGCCUUCACCCACUUCAUAAACUAAUCUACUCGAAUGAUGAGAAACCUUCGCUAGCCCAAAGGUUAAUAAUAGAAAGGGUCCAAGGAUGUCCAAACCCCACCGCACGAAGGGCCAUUCAUAAUCAAUUAAAUUUAAAGGGAUUGUCGGUCGAUGUUGUAUCCACAUGACCUCAACACUUGUUUGGGCAUACAUUAUCAUAUCCUUGUGCAACAUCGACUAAUAGAAUUUUUGCCUAAGUACCUUGAAGGUAAGGGUUCAUCCACCAAUGUGCUCCUUAUAUAUACCCUCUUGACUUCUCGAGAUAUUAAAUAUGAGGAAUGAUUAACUAAAAGACCUACAAUAUAAGUGAUUGUUAAAUCUGCAAUAUCAUGCUUGAUGAAGCUUGACUCGCUAGGCUGAUGCGAAGAUUUAUCAAGAGUGUCUCAAUUUUUUUUAUAGUAUAGGAUCUUGUUCAUUUAGCUUGGCUCUUUCCCAAUCAUAGUUAUAUCGUGCAUGUCUAUAGUUCGGGUUGAUGGUAUCUCAAUUAGUAGUCAACCAUCCUUCGCAGCCCGAGCUGAUGCUAAUUUAGCUAGCACAUCGGCCUGAGCAUUCUCUUCAUGGGGAACCUACAACACGUUAAAUUGGGAGAAGUUGUGGGUUAAAUUCUGCACCUCGACAUGAUACUUUACCAUGAUUGUAUCUUAGGCCUAGUAGUUUUUGUUUACUUGAUUCAUGAUUAGUCAUGAAUCAUUUAACAUUAUCAUAUCCUAGACUUGAAGCUUUUGAGCAAGUUAAAGCCUUAAGAGAAGUGUCUCGUACUCGGCUUCAUUGUUGGAGGUUUUGAACCCAAACCAAAGAGCUUGGUUAUACACUUUAUCUAUUCGAGCCUUUCAAGAUGAGUCUAGUGUUGCCUCCAUCCGAGGUGGUGGAACCAUCCACGAAUAGUGUCUAUGUAAGUAGAGUGUCUUGAUUGAUCUCGAACGAAUGAGUUAGUUUUAAGAUAAAGUUUAUCGAUGUUUGGGCCUUUAUGAUAGUCAUCAAGAUUUAUCGGAUGUUGAACUCUCCCAACUUUACUGACCACUUUAGCAACUGGCUGGACAUCGAAUCGAGAUAGAUCCUACCUAAGAGGUUGGUCGGUGAUCACCUAUAAAGCAUAUGCUUGAAAAUAUGGGUAGAGCUUCCUUGCUACCAAGACUAACAGCAAAUGCAAACUUCUUAAUAAGGGGGUACCACUCCUUGGGUUCAUUUAGAAUAUGAUUGACAUAGUAGAUUGGUCUUUAAACUCCUACAUUAUGUUGUACCAAUAUUGAAUUAACAAUUAGGUUAGUGGCAUCGAGGUAGAGACUUAUGGUUUCAUCCAAGAUAGAAUAAGUGAGCUACAACAACUUGACGAGGUGUUGAUCUAUUGAAAACCUUUCGGGUUCUUUAAUAACCCGAAGAAAGAUAGACACCUAUCAUAGAAUUAAGAUAAGAAUUGACUAAGUACUACUAGCUUACCUAUUAUCUAUUUAAUCUCUUUUACUAACCGAGAUGGGUGCAUCUCUAAUAUAGAUCGUACAUUCAUAUGAUUUGCAUGUAUUCCUCUUUAAUUCAUGAUGAACCUAAGGAACUUCCCCGAAUUGACUUCGAAGAUGCAUUUGGUUGAAUUGAGGUACAUGUUAAACUUUUUUAGAACUUAAAAAGUCUCAUCCAAAUCCGUCAAAUAUGAGUUGGUCGUCUUGCUCUUCCCUAUCAUGUCAUCCACGUAAACCUUCACAUUUCUCUCGAUUUGAUACUUGAACAUUUUGUUUACUGUCAUUUGGUAUGUUGUUCUCAAAUUUUUUAACUUGAAGGGAAUGAUCUGGUAGCAAUAUGUGCCUUGAUCCAUGAUAAAGGAGGCAUGUUUUUUUUAUCUUCUAGCACUAUUUUUUAUUUAGUUUUACCUUAAGAAUGCAUCCAUAAAUGUAAGGAGCUUGUGACCCGAGAAAACAUUAACCAACUAGUCAAUAUGAGAAAGAAGGUAAUUAUCUUUUGGACAUGCUUUAUUUAGAAAUAUAUAGUCAACACACAUUAUUUAGUUUCCAUUAGAUUUUUUAAUGAGUGUAACGUUGGCAAGUUAUUAGGCCUACUACACCUCAAUAAUGAACCAUACUCCUAACAUUUUAUCUAUCUCCUCACUAAUUAUUUAUUUUGUGGUCAAGAACAAACUCACGAGACCUUUACUUGACCAGUUGCACUUUGGGAGAAGCGUUUAAGUGACGUUGAGCUACGUUGGAGUCGAUUCUCGGUAUGUCUCUUAGCGACCACACGAACACCUAGGUAUUCUCUCGAAGAAAGUUGAUAAGCUACACCUCUCCUUGAGAAGGGUCACCUAAACCUUGACGAUUCAGUUGGGUCAUACUUUAUCUAGGGAUACUUUAAUUAAUAGCUUCAUUGACUUAAGAUGUGGGAUGGACUUAGCAAAGUCUCUAGGGUCUAUAGGUGGUUACUCGAGUCGAGCUGUAUUCGGUAUGGAGACCAUUAUUAGGUAGCACUAACACGACUCCUUUGAGUUGCUUCUUAACUCUCUGAUGUAAGCCCUUAUCGGGAACUUUAUCACUAUGUGGUAAGUUAACAUCGCCAUCCUCAAUAUAUUCAAUGUGAAUCAGCUCUAUGAUCACGUUGUACAUCAAGGGAAUAUCUAUUAUCAUAAAUUUAGUCAAUAUUCUUUUGGAGUAUGGCUCGUCUCCGAAUAUGAUAUGUAGGUUUAUAGUCCCGGAAAGAGAGAUAGAAUCAUUAGUAAACCUUGUCAUCAAAAAAGUCAUUAAGGUAAGGUCAUUAAUUGAUAACCUAAGUUUUUGAAAAGUAUCAAAGUAAAUGAUAUUGGUAUAACUGCCUAUGUCAAUCAUGAUCCACUUCACUUGGGCGUUAAUAAUCUUUAUAAAGACUACCAAGACAUUUUCAUGAUUCUCUAUCUCUUUCUCAUUAAAAGUUAUUGCUGGGUCACUCUCCAUCCUUGGGCACUUUUUAAUAGUAGUUCGUGUAUAAGUCUUACAACCCGAGGAGCUCUCCCGGCUUCUGAGGUUGAGGUGAGGGUUCCCGAUGCUUUUGAACAAACUGCUUAAGGUGCCCUUAUCAUAUGAGCUCUUUAAUAUACUUUUUCAAGUUACAACAUUUUCUAGUGUUGUGGCUAUAAUCUUGAUAGAACCGAUAGUACUUAAACUUAUCUCUUUUCGAUAACAAGGUCUUUAUUGGAUGAGAGUCUCUUAAAAGCUCAUUUUCAUUUAUUUAUAGAAAAACUUUAGUUCAAGUCAUAAAUAGAUGGGUUAGCUUGGGCCUUGGGCAAAGUAACUCAAGUCAUUUAUUUCUUCUCUACUAUAAUGACCUCGGGGUUGGGGUAGAUUGUGGCUAUUUCUACUUUGACCUCUUGCAUGACUCCUCAUGCUUGCUCAAGAUCAUUACCUCAAUGAUAAUGUAUUGAUUAACCUUUUGAAGUGUCUUAAAUACAAUUAUCAUAGCCUCUUUAUCGAUGACCAAAAGAGGCAAAAGGGCUUGAGCCCUAUCAUGAAGGUCUGAAUUAUGAGUGAUGGAUGAGCAUAUACUAUAUCUCGGAUCUCAUUUGUGAACCAAGGAUAAAGUCUACAAGAAUUUCUUCCUUCCAAUUCUUAAGUUUAAAGAGUAAUUAUUGUUGGAAGUUGAGGGCAUACAUUCCUAAGGAAGUAAAUUUUGAACUCCCUCGCCAAUUGGGCAAAAGAGCAGAUGGAAAGCGACUUAAAGCAAGUAUAUCAUUCUCAUGUCAAGCCUUUUAACAUGAUUGGGAAUGCGUGACACAUUAGGGUAUCUAAGAUGUCAUAUAAUGACAUCUAGAUAUGAAAUGCUACAAUGUACUUUAUCGAGUCAAUGCUACUAUUGAAUGCUUCCAAAGAUAUGAGUCGAAGUUCGCUAGAAUUGGUUCAUCCUGUAUUUUUUAAGUGAAUAGGGACCGACCUAAAAUGGGGUCGGCUAGCGCCUUCUUUUUUUAUUGUUGUAACUCUCAUCAUAUCUCAUCCAAACGUCAAUCCAUCUACCAUAGUUGGAUCUAUAGGGAAUUCCUUCAUCGAGUUUAUUGAUUAGAUCUCAUAUUCAGGUGGGGGUAAAGUGAGAGUGGUAUAGUUCACUAAAUUCUAUGGUCAGGAACUAAAGUGCCCCCUCGGUCGAUGUUUCGACAAGCCUCAAGCAUUUCUAAGAUGUCGGUAUCGCGAGGUUAGAGAAUCUUUGUGGGUACCGAUGGUGGUUGAGCUAGGGAGUGUGAUUGAAUUGGUGGUAUCACUUAUUGAACUAGUUGAGGCAAAAAUAGAGCAAUAAACUAUAUCAUGCCUAUUAACAUUUAUACUUGUUGAAUAAGAUUUAAAAACAUCUCAGUAAGAACAAGGAGGUGGCCCGAGGCUAUCCCUGGGGGUGAGAGACUUAGGUCAUUAAAUGGGCGCCAGUAUUGACGUCGGAGUUCGCAUCGAGGUGGAUGAACUAAUGUGCGGAAAGGGCGGCUAUUGCUUCUCUUGAAUGAAAGUACUAUGGGUUGGAAGCAAAGUCUUUUUACUCGAGUGUUCAUUGAGAGAAUCAAUGAAUGAGUAUUCUUAUGAUAUUGGAUUCUUCUUUUACUAUCAAAAAUAUUACAAAAAUAUAUCAUUGAUGUAUGGGUCAGCCCGACGUGGUUUAGACCCGUGUGCAAAGAAUUGUCUAAGGUGCCUCUGAGAUAGAAACGUUAAGUUUCUAAGGAGGUUAUUCGAGGUAAUUUUGAGGUACAAUUCCAAGCUCUUAAGAAGGUCAUCUAAGGUGUCUUUGAGGUGAAAUCUUUGAGCUUUCGAGGAGGUCGUUCGAGGUGCCACCUACAUGAAGACCGAGGUCAGGAGAGAUUUCUCAAUUCAAUAUAUCUAAUGCCUAAGUUAGUAACCUAAUUAUGUUAAAAAUGAGCUUUUAUACCUUGUAGUGAAAAGAUAAUAUAUUUUAUGAAAUAUUAUUUGAGAGAUAACUUUUAAUCGUAUUUAACAACAUUUUGAUCUCUUUUUCACGUAGACGAUAAGGGCGGAGACCAACUAUAAUUAUUUGUCUUGGACCGAUAUCCAUGUGGGCAAAUAAUUGAGAGGCAGCUUUUGCCUCGUUCUUAUAGAUUGGAUGUCACAUGAAGAGUACAUGUUGAAUAUUGAUUGGUUGAUAAUAUUCUUCUUAAAAAUGAAAGAAAUAUUAUUAAUUGCUUAACGACGUCCUUUAAUAUUUAAGCUAGUGAGCGUUGUAUCAUUAGAGAGUUAAUUUCAAGAGCUUGAAAAUAAAUCGAUAUAGGGUGAAUAAGCCAAUAUAAAGAUAUGUCAAUAUGAUAGGGAAUAUUCCCAUACCAAUCAUAGUUCGCUAACUAGCAGCUACCAAAGAACUGAUGUGGAAAACAAUGAGGUAUCUUCCUAACAUAGAAGAUGAUUGGGUUGGCAACUGGCACCCCCUCAAUCAUCCUCUGCUAGUGUGGUGCCACAAGGGGGCGUAUGACUCGGUAUCGCACUAUGGAAGAUUGUACUAGUUGAUUCGCACUGCAAGAAGCCAUAUUGAGUAGUUGUCCACAUGAAGGGGUCAAGUUGAGAACCUUCACCUGACAUUGGCCUAUUGUCCAGGGCGCCGGAGAGGUUGAGCUCACUCAAGCCCCCAUCUUGGGACAAACUCGAAAAUUCAAAGACCAUCUUAGAGCAAUCCUCGUUAGCCUCUAUUCAACUUUCGUCUCUCAUCUUUCCCUCGGAAGGACCCUCUAGGAUGAUUCUACGCCUUCGAGAUAGGACCAAACCGUAUCGAUUCUCAAUCCACGACGUCAAAUUGUUAACACGAUGCUAGAGGAUUAACAGACAUACUAAAAUAUAUAUUCCUACAUUAAAAUGGAUCAAAUAUUUACUUGAAUAUAUUUAUAUAUGGAUUAAUAUUAAUCUCAGCUUAAUGCCCAACCGAACCCCACAACUGCACUCAAGCAGCAAAUAACAUAUAUUUUCAAAACAGAAAAUUCCUCUGCCUAUUUACUUCAAAACUGAUCUCAUCGGCACGAAUUAACCCCUCACAAUAUUUGCUACAUUAUAGGUCGAACACGUGGCAGGUAUAUUAUAUCCCAGCCAUUAAAUCCGCCCACAGCAACAUAUGAAGUCUAAGACACGACUUCCGUCGAUCACCUUCCUUGCAUCCCUGCGACCUGCGCAAACAGCUCGUUGGCCAUUGCCGUGCUCGAGUUCUCCAAAAAUCAGCCCGCCACCGGAGUCGUCGCCUCCUCCUCUGGAGCUGCCUCGUUGCAAUCCCUCUGUGAACUCUCCGCCACCACACUGCUAUUCUUUGACUCGGUGACGUUCGCUGCCUGCUGAGGCGGAGGCUCGGGAGGACUCGCCUCCUGCAGCCGAAGAGCGUACUCGAGAUUCCACAGCACGUCGCCCAUGGACGGCCGGUCAACCCCGUGCUCCGCCAGGCACUUCUCCGCGGCAUCCACGAACUUGCUGAGGGAGUCGCUGUUGAUGGUGCCGGCGAUGUUGGGGUCGAUGAUCUUCUCGAUCAGGCCUUUCCGCUUCCACUGCAUCACCCACUCCGCCAGGUUGACUUGCUCCUGCGGCAGCGCCGGGUUGAUGGCUGGCCGCGCGCAGAGGGCCUCGAGCAGCACCACCCGAAGGAGUACACGUCUGACUUGUCCGUCAGUUGCUGGCACCGGAAGUACUCGGGGUCGAGGUAGCCGAAGCUGCCCUUGAAGGCGGUGCUGACGUGCGUCUGGUUCAUCCCCGGCGCGUUGUUGGAGAGGCCGAAGUCGGACACCUUGGCGAUGAAGUUAUCGUCGAGGAGGAUGUUGGUGGUCUUGACGUCACGGUGGAUGAUCCCCCUGCGCGGUGCCGGUGUGGAGGUAGUGCAACCCGCGUGCGGCCCCGAUGCAUAUCUCUAGCCGCUGCUUCCAUGAAGCGGCGGCAGGUCGUGCCCGUAGAUGCGAUACCUGAAUGGCCCAUUCGCCAUGUACUCGUACACCAGGAUCAUCUCCGAGUUAUCGUCGCAGUACCCGAUCAGCGACACCAGGUGACGGUGGCGCAGCUUGGACAACAUCUGGAUCUCGGUCUGGAACUCGUUGAUACCCUUCUCCGACUGCGGGUUCCCCCGCUUGAUCGCCACCUUGGUGCCGUCCUCCAGCUCGCCGAGGUACACAUUCCCCAACCCACCCACGCCGACCACCGUGUUCUGGUCGAAGUUCUUCGUCGCUGCCUGCAGCUCCGAAAGGGAGAGGUACCGGCCAAGCUCCAUCGUCGAGGAGGUGUAGCCGUUCGUGUGCGAGCCAUGGCCAGACUUGCUGGUCAUGAAGCUGGUGUUGGUCGUGUGCACGGGGAGGAGCCACGACGAGAAGCUAUUUCGCCUCUCGCAGUCUUUGGGUCUCUUGUGCCACUUCAUCACCAUGGCGCCAAGGCCCGCGAAGGCGCCAAACAUCAUGGCGAACUCAACGGCAGCGACCACGCGCUUCGAGCUGCUGCCAUCGCCGGCCCUUGAGCCAUCGACCCCGAACUCGCCGUCCAGGCUCCCCACCGAGUUGCUCAUCUUUAGAUCUCCACGUCGUUGAGCAACGCGUCGAUUCUAUCGGUGUUCUCCUUCAUGGGACCGAUCUGGACGGUCAUUCGGCCCGUGGCCACCGAGGCGUUGAGCACAAGUCUUUGUAGCAAGGCAUGGCGAGGCCGGAGGUGACGGUGGAGACGUCGAGACCUGAGAUGGCCAUCAGCACAUUGAUAUACACGUUGAAGUAGAGGUCGUUGAGCGACUAGUUGAUGAUGUCGCAGAAGUGCAAUCGGAUGAAGUAGCCGAACGAGCCGUCGACGUCGAAGGACCACGUCACGUUGAAGUUGAAGUUGGGGCUCUCCACGCAGGCGUCGGCCAUUUUCAUGGCGGUGGCGUAAACGGAGUUGGGCGCGGCCAGGGGCGAGGUUCCUUCCGGGUAUUUGAUGAUUCUGGGGGACACGAAGGCUUUCUUGGCAGCGGACCUCGACUGCAGGAAGGGCCCAUCCUGCUCCCACCCGCGACCGAGAGCGUCGUUCGCGAGGGUGAUGACCGGCCCGCCCACGUUGAUCCGGUAGGCCACCUGGUAGGCGUAGAGCGAGAGGCCGGCGGCCUCCCCGACAGGCGAGACCGUGGAGGCCGUGUCAGGCAUGAAAACGUCGGGGGCGGACACGACCUUGAUGAGGUACUCCUUGAGCACCCACUUGGAGGGGUCGUCGACGGUGAAGAUGUGGAGACGAGGUCGUCGAUGUUAACGGAGAAGACGGCGCUGGUGAGGUCAAAGUCGGUUUCGACGGGAAAGAAGUGGCGCCUGAUCUCCAGUGCUAGCCGGGACAGGCGAGGGUGAAGCUAUAGGCAACAUCCUUGUGGAAGACCCUGGCGAAGAGGUAGAGCAGGGAGGGGAUGUCAGGUGCGUCGGAAACGGCGGCACGGCAGCGGAGAGGAAAUGGGGCGGCACGACUGCGGAGAGGAAAUGGGGGGACCGGGCGUCGAUCUUGAACGAGCGGCCGUCGGGCAUGGUGACCGUGGAGGUGGCGCCGCAGUCGAUCAGGAAGUUGUCAGUGGGGCUGAAGGAUGUUGGGCAGAGGUGGGCGUCGCCAAGGCCAAACAAAGGAGGAGGAGCCGAUUCAUUCUUAUCGGAAUGACGGCCAUCUCAGGCUCUUUUUCUCUAUCUACUCCUCCCGGUCAAGCAUGUAGGUUGCCUUUCCGAUCCCAAAAGGGGGCUCGGGAAUGUGGAAGAAAGAGAGGCGUACGAGGGAGCAAUGGACAUAAUAUACUUGUAAUGCGGCCUCUGCAUCUGCUCCAUAGUCAGCGAGAUUUAGAGCUUCAGGGUAAAUAUGGAGGGUCGAAGACCGGGUCAAGCUGCAGAGAACAACCUGAUGCAGUAGUCUCUUCCCCUCUCAAUUCCUCUUCUUCCUCCUCCCUUCUAGCAGUUCCUCCUCCCUUGUUGCAGUCAAAAUCUUAAAUCAACAAAAUUAAUUGAUACUUUCAACAAAUCUGGAUACCAUUCAUUUGCAUGAAAGGUAGUUCAUUCAUGGUAAUGGAAUCUGAAUUCAAAGGCAAUAAAUACUAGUUUGAUGACUGCAUCUCAAUAUUGACACUUAAGCUAUGAGACCUAGAAAUGAAGAGGAUACUUGAUUUGCAACCUUGUUGGGUGAUGGAAUCUUUGGAAGAGUUUACCUGAACAGUAUAAUGAUUCUAGAAUUAGCUUUGUUAAAUUUCAAGUACAGGACAUGCUCUGAGCACUAAUAAUGUCAACUUUGAUUUGCUUCUCCUUGCUAAAAUAAAUAUGAAGAUCACAAGAAAGUAUCAAGGUUUCCUGACCUGAUUAUUAGGCUUGGAUUUAAUUCUGAUAAAGAUGUGCAGAACAAUGUUAGCAUGCAUAAUGUUGCUUGAUGUAACCAUCAUCAAAAUGAUGAAACUAUCAAAUAAUUGAGAUGGAUGUUUCUUUUAGGUAAAGAAGUAUGCAAACUUCCUGUCAAGUCAUGGCAAUGUUUUGCAGUACAUCUCUGCAUGUAAAAUUCUGAAGGUUGUGGAUUACAAAAGAAGUAAAAUUCAUAUCACAACUUCAUUAUCAUGGGCUACUAAUUAAUGAUGAACAAGAAAAUGUUUUGCAGUUCUGUAAACUCUAAAGAAACAUAUCAUGACUAACUCGGUCAUAGCUUGUCUAUGGUAUUUUUAGAUCACAAGGGAGAUGCAAAGAAUAAUUCAAGAUAAGAUUCAACAAAGAAGCUAUGAAUAUUUUCACAAGUUUGUUUGAGGACCUCAAUUUAGCUAUGUUUUUGACAUAAUUGAUCCUAUUAUGUUUAUAACUACAGCUUCAUCAAAAUUGUUGUUGCUAAUAUGAUCAUAAACAUGCAUCACUUCACUAGCACCAACAGAAAAUUUACUUGCAAACCUACUAAAUUAUCAGCGAACAAAUUCAAGAUGCUCAAAAUCAACAGUGGGAAGGAGUUGCAAAUACCAAUUAUCUGAGGAAGAGAUUGCAGAAGGUCCUCACAAAUCCUUUUUCCCGGAGAUGGCUUCGAAAACCAUUGGCGAAAAAGGUCCUUUCUUGUCCAAAUGCUCGCUAACAGCCUUUAGAUCAAGAACAAAACCUCUCUCCCGCAACCUUUUGACAACAUCUGCAGCUUCCUCCACCCCUUUCUCUCUGCAGAAACCAUCCACCACAUCAACUACAGUCGUCACACUGGGUGAAUGCCCAGCAUCCAACAUCUCCAUGCAGAACUCAACCGAAUCAUCCAAUUUCUUCCCUUUGCACAAGCCCUGAAUGAGAACCUUGUAGCUAAAUGCAUUUGGCGCAGUUCCGUUCUUCUGCAUUUUCCUGAAGAUCCUCUUUGCAUCGUCAAAUCUUGCAGCCUUGCAGAACCCUUCCACGGCAGCAGUGUAAAUCACAACCUCAGGCAUCGUGCCCUUCUCGCGCAUUGAACCGAACAGCUUCAUGGCUUCUUGAAUUAACCCAUCUUUGCAGAGCCCAUCAAGCAUGGCAACAGCAUUGGGUAUAAGCCCAGUCUCUUUCAUCUUCUUGAAGAUCUCAUCGGCAUCUUCUGGCGGUGCCUCCUCUGCUGCAGACUUGGCUACCGUCGGAGGUGUUUGAUCCACUACAUCCGAUUUGUCUACCCUGUGUCCAUCUGCUGAUGGUGGCCGCGCUUUUUGUUGUGGCGACCCAGAACCUUCGAAAUAGUCCCCACCGAAAUCCUUGAACUGCGACUGCGGCGACGGACCAAAACCUUCUCUCGGCGGGUCUCUCCUCACACUGUUGCGUGUAUGCCCGGGAGGAACUCUACCCGUCCUAUCGGCCAAGUCGAAGUCGACCAAAAGAUCAUCCGCAGCGCCAUCGCUGCCGUCCUCCUCUCGCAAAGGCGGCUCCUUUUUCCUUUGCUGGGCACCGCGCAACGAUGGUCCAUCGUAAGGUCGAUCUGGAAAGGCUUCCCGGUGCGCCCUUUGCGGCCCGUUGACGCCGUCGUCGUCUCCGAAGUUAAGGCCGCGAAGGAAGAUGUCUUCGGAGCGGUCGUCCCUGCGCCUCUCGCCUCUCAUUGGUCUUCUAGGGUUGUUUCUCGUGCUGAAAUCGUUCGAUGGCACACAUCUCUCCAAGAUAUAAGCUUUAUGUUGGUAGCAGAUCCGCCUCCACGGAUUGGAAAGGAGAAGCUUGGAGAGCGCAGUUCGCAUCGGUCUUCAGCUCGAGAUGGAGAUGCAGACGAUUUCCGGUACUUUCCCAAGGUUUAGGGUUUUAUUGGAGAUAAAAGAAACAAAAGCAAUGUCACUUUCUACCCGCCUCCAACGUACCCAUCGGAUACCCGUGUGGUAGUAGGAAAGCUAGAGCGGGGUCCACUCACCCUCGUGAGAUGACCAGCCAUAUUUAAUGACGAAAAUGCCCAGUGGAGAUGACACAAUAGAGAAGGGUGCCUUGGUCACCAGCAAGAUUUAUGUCGUCACGAAUAGUGUGGCCACCAAUUUGAUAGAAUUAAUAUCUAAGAAAAUUCAAAUCACAUUUUUCAUGAAACAAAAUUAUACUUGUCGCAUCCAAAUCACAUUUCUUGAAUGAUGAAUCAUUUUAUUCUCCAGAAUUUGAUGAAUUAUAAUCUUCAAAUUUUGUUCAUAGUAUAAAAUGAACUGUCUUUUACACAUGCACAGCUAACCUUUUCUUCUCCCUCCUUGCCUUGCUUAACAUAAAUUCCUCACCAUGAGCGUGUGAAGAUUAGAAGAUUCUUUAUACAUACCUUUAAUCCAUUGAUGAAGUAGGCACUGUAAGGCCAUUCAGAACAAGGAGUUGGCACCUUUUGUUUGGCACUUGGCUAGAAAGAGAUGCAGCAAAGAAGAUGGAGAUGAGAGUCAUGCAUCAAUUGCCAAGAUUAAGGCCUGGAGAGACUCACCAUGUACUGUGCGCUGAUGUUGCUUGAACAAGAAAGUAUAUCCAUCUGUUGAUCCAACUAUCCAUCUCUUACCAACUCCAAGUUCCUGAUGCCAGUAACAAUGCUCCAAAGUUAUUUCAGACAACUCAUGAACAUUUAUCUUGUACUUCCCGUAGACAUAUACACCACCAAUGUAAGCCAGAACCACAAUAUAUAAGCACCAGUGAUAUUUGAGGAAUUUCUCUGGGUAUAACCAAUGGUUUAGCUCCACAAUCUUUCUCUUCUUUGUCCCCUGUCAAAGUUCGGGGGAUCCACUCUUCCACUGAACAAUUUUCUACUGCAAGAUCGAUCCACAAUCCGAUAGUUCAUGCUGCCGAAUCAACACAAAGUUCUUCCUUGAGAAAAUACACCCCCAAGACGUUGCCGGUUACCACCUCUCCCAACAGAGCUGGCAUCUCAAGUAAAAAGAGGUAGAUAACAUGAUAAGUAUCUUCAUAUCUAGGCUAGGCACUUCAUUUGCACCAUUACUAUUCCUUUAAAGCUAUCUCGGGCCGAAGUCCACAUUCUCCCACUUGAAUGGCUCAACAGAACCAGUAUGCGGUGAACCUUGACAAAUAUGCAGACGCAAACACCAGUCUGUUACAGGAAAGAUUGUUCCUCGACACAGCAUACAUAUAAGGGGACUGAUCAUUCUCAUCCACUAAUGAAUUCCAGCACUUCAAUCCAAUCUAACAAAUAAGAGACAAAUAAACUAGUGAUGUUACCUUGUAAAGGUUAAGAAUAUAAUUUGUGCAGCAACAUCUAUGACAGUUUGAAAACCACAUCAUUUUGAGGAUCGAGUAUGGAGAUGCAGUUAUUUAGUUUAUACACUACGUACUACAUAUUAUUGGGCUAGGAAUAUAAGAGGAGCAGGAUUUAUCUGGCUACAGAAUAGAAGUUAUAGAACUAGAGAACUAGAUUUACCUCUUGUGGAUCAUUAGUGAGUGCAUCAACAAUGUCCUCUGAAUCCUGCAUAGAUGCUGCCAAAUGCCAUGGGGCCACCCCUGCUGGAGCUGCCACAUUUGGAGGAAAAAGAUUCAUCUUUGUCACAUUUUUUCCAUGAUACACAAUAAUGGAGAAGAAGAUCUACCAGCUUCCUGCACCUUCUCUUAACCGCUCUGUUCAGGAGGUGAAUAUCCGAAAGCAUUUCAAAUGACUUUUGUACGAAGGCAUCAUUCCUUAAGCUUCUCUCCACCAGAAUAUCCAAAAGGGUUUUGAUAAGACUGCUCCAAUCUCGUUCAACCGAAAAUGUAAGCAGGUACUUAAACUGUGCACUAGAGAAAUCAGGCAAAGACAGGAGGCUGCAUGGCCUAUGUGUCCUCUGAAACAGCCAACCAAGUUCAUUUUAGAAAGCGUCAAACAACCUCCCUCGACCUAGGCCCUGCACUAUUAACAUGUUCCUCGGCAAUGACAUUUGUUGUCUGAACAUCUUCCUCAAAUUCUGAUUCAAGGGCUCUCAAUUCCUGACAGAUGCUAGUAUCGGCAAUAAUAAUUGGAAAACUGUUCCCUUUGAAACCAUUUUCCACCUGAGCAUGGAAUUCGAAAGUUAGUUGAGAGCAGGCCCAUCCUACCACACCUAUCUGGAAAACAAUGAAGUCAUGCUUUUGAAUGAUUUGCUGCCACGUCAACUGGAAUGAAAUGAAGGUGACCACCUCAAUGAAACAGCGACCAGAGGCCUUCGGAGAUCCUCCUGGAAAGGAAAACCUCUCCACACAGGAAUCAUCACAUAUGGUGCCCGGAUAUGUUGAGAAAAGAACUUCCUUUAACAUAUAUUUACCAAUAUAAAUGCAAUGGGUCUUGCAAGAAUUAAAUUAAAAUUUAUGAGUAACAUAAGUUGGUAGUAUAAGAAUUUCUUUGGAUAAACAAGGCACUGCAAUGCUCAACUCACUUGGUGCCAGGAACAAUCAAAUUGCGAUCCUUUUAGGACAAGGGAAGUUUCCAGCUCACCAACAACAGCAAUAGGUGAUACAGUCAACUCUGGAAAACUCCAUGCCCUCCAAGUCUUGACAAACGGAUCUUCCCUGUAAUGGCUAGCUAUUAUAUAAUCCAUGAUAAUUGCGAUAUAAAUAUUUCAAAGCUUCAAAAAAGAUAAUUGGGACGAGCAUCCAAAUAUCUAAAACUAAAAAGUGGAAAAAGAUCAGUAUGUAAAGGUGAUAUGGAAAAGCAAACCAUCCUUUAUGUGAUACCAGCUGCCUAUUUGUAUGAACUAAAAACCUCCCAUUUAGCCAAAACUCAGCUUCGGAGGAUUGAACUAGUGAGGUGGCAUGCUGAAGAAGAUCAUUUUCAUGCCGCAAACCAACAUAUAUUUUCAGAAUACUAUAAUCCAAACUAAAGCAUAGAAACAAUUGAAAAUGUGAAAAAAUUAGUCACUGACUGCCUUCCAUGCAAUUGACUGCAUUCUUAAAUAAAUUGAUAACACGACCAGGUCGAAUGUAACUCUCCAUCUCCGAAGGGCUGUUUGAAAGCCAAUUUAAUAUCUGAAUAACAGGAAAUAUGAGCACCUAGCUGAUUAUUCAAUGAAGCAAAUACAAGGGAGCAUAUAUAUAACAGAAUUUCUACAAUACCUGUGAACGGAGAUUAUCAGGGAAGCUGCUCGGAUCCUUGCCAAAAAGCUUGAAAAUUAUCCGCACAGUCCGAUCCUGUUUCGUCAUGUUGAUGUAAUAGCAAAUAAAACACACAAAAUGUUAAGACAGAGGUGCACGACCAUAUCGUACAUUACCUGAGAACUCAAACUGGAAGUGGAGUGAUCUGAGGCUGAAGAUUUGUAACCAGCUUGAUAUGGUAAACUUUGAACUACCCUGCUUUCAGCUUGUGUUUCUGACCCCUUAAAGAGCUCAAUCGGUGCACUCCCACCAUGACUAGUGCUUAAUUCAACAGUAGCAUUUUCUUCCCUGCUCGUGCAUAUUUCACACUCUCCAACAUUGAAUGUAGAGGGAAUAGCUUCUUUGUAACUGGGGGAGAAGAUGAACGAGACCUCUCUUCCACAUGGUUGCUAAUUUCAGAGAAGAGAUAUUUCAUUGCAGAACCUAGCUCUGGAGGACUGCCAUCAUCAGCAGGACCAAAAAACUGCAAAGGUAAACUUGGGCAUACUUGCUGAACUGUCUUCUGAGGUACAUCUGCCGGAGAUUGUCAGAUGUAGUUGUCUCUCGAUAUUCCAACUGAAGGAUAGAUAUGAGAUGAUUUAUUAUGUAAAUAAACAUUAACUUGGGGGCUCAACGCUUUGGACCUUGGUUCUAUCGUUGCCACUACUUUCAGUGCCUCCUUGUGAAAGAGAUGCAGGGGCAUCAGGAGCAGAUGCAGCUAGCACUGCCAAGAGAACUGUCAGCAGGUUUGUUGUGGCAGAUGUUGCAUUUUCGUUUCCAGUUGCCUUUGUUGACUGUUCAAGUGAACCUAGUGGUGGAAGUUGUGAUACAUCCAAAUCAAAACCUCCAGGUACAGAUGAUCUUGAGGAAGUGUUUACCUCAGUCGAAGCACUUAAACUGCUAAUAAAUUGGACAAGAUGAUCUCUAUCAGUCAAAGGAGGGAUACUGGUCUGUUUGUCUUUAGUGCCACCUGCAGUUGCAGUGCUAAAAGAUGAAGCAAAAGAUCACACUAUAUGUCACAGAUUGAUUAUCCAGUAAGCAACAUGCAUUACCUUGCAAGCGUGCUAACAUAGGUAACAAAUUGACAAUAUCCAAAUUCCGACUCCUUUUUUCUUGGUUUCUAGGAAACAAUAGUUCAGAAGAGGCAUCCUCUAGUUGUGUCUUCCUUCUGCAUCGAUUAUGUCCAGCAAGACGCCUCUACAGCUUCUCUUCCCCUGUCAAACUUAGAAAGGGGAUGAAAUCUGAAUUAAAUGAUAUUGCAGGUCGAAAGACUACAUGAUUGUUAUCAGAUCUGAGAUAGUAGAACAACUUAGAAGACAUCCAGAUUUCUUUGUAGGGAAACCAAUUGAUGCAAACUCCAAAGAUCUUAACAAAAGCCAUCUACCUCAGAGAGACUAAUUUACACCUACUCGUGCCAGUCUUAGUUACAAUGACUAAAUACCGAGCCUUGAUUGUGAUCAGCCUAUUUUGCAUUCGACAAAAUUAAUUGAAUUAAAACAUCAUAUAAAAAAAGAUCAAGCAUUUCCAUCAUGAAUAGGCAAGGGUUCCAAUUGUAAGCUGAAAGGACAGAGGCUUGAGAUCCAUAUUACCUGCUGCACUGCUGGCAAAACUUCUGCAUCCGCUUUCCCACAAGUGCCUUGGCGGUCUUACUGUGCACCUUGCGCACCAUAUUUCGCCUGUGAUAAUCCUUGGCGCUCGACAUAUCCGCCCGGCAAUCAUCCACCUGACACAUUGGGUAGCUGCUGCCACUCCUUGGAAGCCAGACCUGACCCUCUUAUAAGGCCAAGCCGUCGGCUCCUCAACCACCGAGUACGCACCGCCUCCUAGCUUCAAAGCUCGGUUCUUAUUAUCCACUUCCAAAUUCCUGCGCAAGACCGAACCUUUCGUGUCCUCAUCCCCUUUCUUCAUCUGAUCCACCAUGGGAGUGGCUGCAGAAGACGGUUGGAACCCCAGAAAGAGGACCUCCGAUGCAUCAGACGAGGGCUUUGCCAUUAACCGCACGCUAACCUAAUCCCACAUCUUGGGGUUCCAAGUAUCCCUGGUAUUCGGAAAGGAAGCGCCCAUCAGCCGCUGCUGGCUCUGUAGCUGCUGGUUGAGGUCGGGAAGUCUCGCUUCUUAGCGAGCAGCGGGGCCUGGUGGAAGAGUCCGGGGAGGGCCCGUUGAUGGUGAAAGAAGGUGGGAGUGACGACCUGCGCACCGACCUCUCCCUCCAUCUCUCCAGUCUAAAUCGGACCCUCGAUUCCGAGACCGCCAAAAGCAGAACGACGUUCUCCUCCUCUGAUCCAUCUCUCCACCAAAUUCCAAUCCGAAGAACACCCAGGAAUUCAAGAAUCCAUCAACAGAUCAUCAUGGUGAUAGCUUUCUACAUGAAGUCAGUCAAACCAUACCCAGCCAAUCUCAGAACAAAAAAAGAAAAAAGAACAUCUGCUCAUCUUCUCCAUAAUCUCCAAAUCUCAAUCUUGGACAACGAGCGGCAAAACAACAUAGAUCGAGACAAAAACCACAAGAGAGACUCGAAACCGCAACGUCUGACCACGAAACAAACCAGAUGCGAAAAUGAAUUCAAGAAAGAACAGAUCUGGUGGAAGAACAGUUCGACAGGAGAAGACGCCGAGAAGAGACGUUUGCUCUCUCUUGAGAUCUAUUUUAAUAGAUCGACUGAUAAAGAAAUUAAAAGAGACAAAACCUUAAGAGGAUAAAUAUGAAGAUUAUUUGCUUGCAGAUUAUAAUCGUAAUAAUCUCUUUCUUUUUGUCACCCCACGGUGGCGAUUCGCCGUACGUGGCAUACUCCUCGUCACGUUAUGCCCGGUGAAUACAAACACCACCCUUGACGUGCCGUAGUCGCUUUCGUACCUUGACUGCCAGCGGACAAGACCUUGAAGCGAUGUGGGGUCCUUCGCCUUGUGGCUCACCACGUCCGAUUUCUCACGGACGAAUCGUGUCGGUUCAAUUCCGGUACGGGAUGACGUAGUUGAAAUGACUCAAAAGGCCAUCGUUAUUUUCCAUAACUACGGUCGCGCCAUAUCAAGUGCAUGGGGUCGGACGGGGGCACGAUAACCGCGGGGGAAAGCGUACCCGUUUAUUUGGUCGUUGACGGACGUGAUCGCCUCAUCAGACUCGUACACGAACAUUAUUGCACGUCUUCUUAAUGUCCUAUUCAUGAUGACGACCGUUAGUGGUCUUUGGGAUAUAUAUAUAUAUAUAUAUAUAUAUAUAUAUAUAUAUAUAUAUAUGAAAAAAUAAAAAUUCUUAAAUAAAAUUUAGAAUCAAAAUUACACUUGUUUGAUUGAUUUAUAUUGAAUUAGAAUUUUUGUUGGUCAGAUUUGAGAUGAGUUUAUAAAUAUGUCAUAUAUUAUUUAUUUAUGAUAAUUGAAUCAUCAACAUGCCCACUUAAAACUUUAUUUAAAAUUAAUAUUUUAAAAAAUAUUGUACUAUAAAUAUGCCAUAUGGUGUUUGUAUAUGUUAAUUAAAUCAUCAACGUACAUACCUUAAAAUUUUAUUUAAUAUUAAUAUUUUAAAAAUAUUAUACUUAGUUAAAACGAUCAUAUAGUCGAUUUUAAAUAGUUAAGAUUUUUAUUAUAAUAUUAUUUAAGCGGAUAAAAUAUAUUUUAAAUAUUUGAUAUUUAAUAUAAUAAUAGUUAAUAUUUUAAAAAUAUUUAUGAGGUGCUUAUAUGCUAUUCCAAAAUUUGAAGGGGACAAAUGUGCUAUUUCUAAACAUUUGAAGGAUAAGGUUGUAAAAGCGCUUUGAGAUUUAUCCUUGUAAUAGUUGGCAAUAAUAUAAAUAAUAUUCUUCCUCGAAAGCGAUCGAUUCGUUUCGAGGCUGGAGCCUGAUCCCAUCCUUCCUCUCUGAUUCUUCGAUCUCUUUCUUGGAUUCCCUCAAAUCUCUGAGAAAGAUCUCUUCUUGGUCGUCCCUGUUGCCCGGUCUCCGCUGCAAACCCUUAAAGCUAGGGUUUUUCCAUGCCCUAGCUAGGGUUUCGGCGGUUGAUCCGGUUCCUCCUUCCAAGUUGCCUCUUUCUGGCUGGAAUUCUGGUUCUUGAGGGUGAUCGUCCGAUGGCCUUUCACCACGCGGGGCCUGGUUCGGCAUCCGGAUCAGCGUCGAGCUCCAGCUCCGGGUUCCACUUCCCGAAUUCCCUUUUCGGGGACACCACGUACACGAAAGUCUUCGUUGGGGGCCUUGCGUGGGAGACCAAGAGCGAGACGUUGCGCCGCCACUUCGAGCAGUUCGGUGAGACCCUUGAGGCCGUCGUGAUCACCGACAAGAACACCGGCAGGUCGAAGGGUUAUGGUUUCGUGAGUAUCGCUUGUCCUAUCAUCUUGUGGAGGAAACUCACUUUUCUUUGCAAAUAGAGGUUUUGAGGGAAGAUUUGAUUUUUCUGUGUUAUUUUGUAUGAAUCGUUUGGUGUUGAUUUCUGUGGAGGGGUUAGGUGACUUUUCGAGACCCUGAAUCUGCAAGAAGAGCAUGUGCAGACCCUAGCCCAGUUAUCGAUGGCAGACGUGCGAACUGUAACUUGGCUUCACUUGGGCGAUCUCGCCCUUUUCUUCCAUUUGGCGGUACGCCCCUAGAAUCUCCGCUUCUGUUAGCGUUGCCAAAAGUUGCAUUACAAUCUUAGUAUCAGAAAACAAUGUUGCAUCUCCAACCUGUUGAAUGGCUUUUUGUUGUCAAUCCCAUUUGAUUGUUUCUCAUCGGUACUUGUGCAGGCUUCACUUUGAGGCAGUAGUAAUACUUUUAAACAUCUUUUAUCAUGUUAUAAGUAGUGUACUUGAUUAUCUUGUAUCUGGUUGUUUUACCCAAGAAUCUCAUGAAUUUGGAGAUGACAUAUAUAUUUAGUAUCAUAUUGAGUUGGUUAAUGCACAUAUUUGUGCUAUUUAAGUAAUCAUAAAGCAUUGGCUAUGGACUCCAAAUGUUUUAGAUUAAGUCAAAGGCAUUCAAUAUGAUUUUUGGGUGCCAAAAUUUUGUUUUUUGUUUUUCAAAUUACAUUCAAGAAUUCUGUCUGUCCAUGUUCGCUCCUUUGUUUUUUGUUUUUUUGACCUUUAUGUUUUUCACUUCAAGGGUUCAUGGAGUCAUAAACUUUAAAUACCUAUUACUUUAUGUUCUGGAAAAUGCUGAAUCAUGUUUCUGAGCAUGAGGAAGCAUAUUUAAAUGGAUUAAUGUAACAAUGAUUAAGGAUCAAAUGGAUAAAUUCCACUACAUAUUAAUAAUUAUAGGCAAAUCAAGGGUUGCCAUGCCAAUCUGUACGUCUUGGCAUGGUCCAAAAGUUGUGCUUGAAAAGAAUUGGUAUACAUCAUGUUGAUCCGUGCUUGAGAUGCCAACAUGUGGCUAGUCCAAUUUUUGGCUUGGGUUAGACAAUGCAGAAGGUGUACUAACCGACACAGCGUGGAACACAUCAUUCCAGAAUUCUUGUGCUGUGAAACAACUAGCUAUCGAGCAAACUAAUCUGACAUUUUUUUCAGCUUCAUUGAACCCUUUUUGCCCACAUUAUCUAAACAGCCCUUUUUUACUACUUGUCCUUAUGGAACCCUGUAAAUUUUUUUGUCUGCUUCACUAAGGUUAUUGCAAUUUUUCACAUUUGACUGACAUAUCUCAAUCCAUGUGCACCUGCUUCUUUAAGGUCUAAAACAGCAAAAUUUCCUUGACAAGAAAGCUCUUAUCUUCCAUACUAAUUUUUCCUUCUUUUUAACCACACUAACUGAAUGGACCUCUGUUUAUGAGGCAUAUGAUACACUUUCUAACUUCUGAUAUUAAGUCGGUGUUUUGUUGUUCCUUUCCACCAAUAAGCUCCCUGCAAGAUAAAGCCAAUAAGAAGAAAAAAGAAAUUGAAGUUUAAGAAUAUGAAGUAUAAUGGUUUACAUCAUUCUUUAUGUUUUUCACUGUUCUUACCUAGCCAUAUUAUGCAUGGCAUGUUAGACACAUGUGACAUGAACGGCGGUCUGUUUGGAUUUUUCUGUUCUAGUGCGCCCGAGGUCAGGCCUUUACCUUGGAGGUAUGUCAGUCCAGCGAGGGCCAUAUGUUGGAAGCCCCGCUCAUCAACAACCUGUUCCAUUCAGCUACCAAGAAGGGUUACCAUAUGCUGCAUAUAGGUUAGUUCAUCUCCUGGAUCUUUUCAAAACAGUCGUUGGUUUUGGUUUAAGAAACAGAGAAAUGAACCUUGGAUUUGAUGCCUAUGUUUUAAUCUUAUGCUUAAGUUUAUUCCCAAAUAAUAUGAUUGGUUUGAGAACUAAGUAAUUGGAUGAAUGAGUAAGAAGCACUGAAGCUAAGAAUCCUGUGGAGCAGAAAGAUGUUUUGUUGAUAUUCAGUCUCUGUUUGCACUUUUGAAUCAGAACUGAUAUGAUAUUAAAGCUGUAAUUUUUUAAAAGUGAUCCAUUACUGAGAGCUCUUUAUCUGGUUUACCUUUCCGACUUAGUAUUUUAUUACUAGAAAUGAAAAAAAUAAAGUAAUGUAUGUUUUAGUUUAUUUAUUGUUUGUAUGAUCAGGUAGGUCGUGGAAGUUUGGCUGAAAUCAAGCUAGAUGUAGCCUGAAAUGAUAGUACUAUUACUAAAUUUAUGGUUGCUUUAAUUUGAUGGGCAUGAAAGAAGGCAUCAAUAUUGAUCAAAAUGUUAUGCCCAUAUAGCUAAAAGCUAUGAGACUAAUAAGUAAAUGGAAUAAGUUAAAAGUUAAAAACAUUUUUUUGAAAUGUGAUCCAUAUUCAGAUAUACGUUAUCUGAAUCAGGAUUUCAUUAAGACAUUGCUUUUUCUAUUUAAUGGCUUAUACUUUAGAAAUAGCCUUUCCACAGUUGAUGUAUGGAUGCAUAUCUGAAACCCUUCUCAGAUUAAGGCUGGUUUGGUUCGUAGUUUCUUACCUUAAAAUGACCUCGAGGAACCCUACCGCUGCUUCUGCCUCCGCUGCUGACGCUUUCUGCCAUUGCCUUCGCUACAGACGCAGCGGACCGAGCCUUCCUCUGUUGUCGACGGACGAGUACAACAGCCCUCAUAGUUUCCUUCCGUUGUCACUUCCUUCCAUUGCCGAGGGAGAGGACUACAGGUUCCUCUGCCACUGACGGACGGCCUUUGGAGCUUCCGUCGCUACCGCUGCUGUUGUCCGUAGCUUUCGUCGUUGUCGCCGUUGUUGUUCGCAGCUUCCGUCGUUGCCACCGCUGUUGUUUGCAGCUUUUGUCGUUGUCACUGCUACUGUCCGCAGCUUCCCUCACUGCCUGCUAUCCACAGCUUCUGCUGUUGCCGAUGCUGUUGUUCGCAAUGCUGUUGCAACUAUCUUAAACUAAUCCUCCGCUGCUAUUGCUAUCUCCUUUUGUUAUUGUUAACAUUUUUUUCUUCUCCCUCUAACUUUAAGUAAUAUACUGUUAACAAUAUAUUUUUAAUUUAAUAUCAUAUUUUAAUUUAAAUAAUUAUAUAUAUUUUUAAUUAUAUAAUAUAUAUCUUUUUUAUUUUUAAUAUUUUAGAGAAUUUUUUUUCUUCCCCUCUAAAUUAAGUAAUAUACUGUUAACAGUAUAUUUUUAAUUUAAUAUCAUAUUUUUUUAUUUAAAUAAUUAUAUUUUUUAAUUAUAUUAUAUAUUUUUUUUAUAUUUUAAUAUUUCAGAGUGCCUUACGUUUUGGGACCUUGGCGCCUUUUGGCGCUUAGCAUUUUUUAAAUCACUGACUUGUACAUAUCCUACACGUUCUACUCAAGGAAAUUUAUGCAGUUGGGCAAUAAUUAUCAUAUAAUUGCUAGUACUAUCAAUUGAUUAGCCACUUAUGAAUAAGGAUGAAGGCAUAUUAAUUAAUGUUCCAUCUGAUUAAAUGAAAGUUAAUAUUUUAAAUGUAUGGUUUACUUGAGACAGCAGUGGUGAUACUGUUUGCACCAUGAACAUAAAUGUUGUUCUCAUACUAGUAUCAGCAACUGGGUGGUAUACAGACUGGUGCAUUCCUGUAAAUUUGGAAAAUAAAUUAAAUAUUUAAUACUGACUGUUACUGACCUAUAUGAUCUUGUAUCACUCCUUGUUCAGACUGGUAAAAAUCUGUUGGUAUGUACAGAUAUUUGAAUUCUUGGUUUGCACGUCUAAGAAUAUGGUGAUUGGAUUAAAAAAAAGGGUUAUCUUGGCCUCUGAUAUUCAUGAACUCAGCUUGAAAAUUUAUGUAUAUUGCAUCUAUGCUUCUGGUACAUAUAAGGUUUAUGUUUCAUGAUGGUGAGAAUACACUUGUUCAUUGAAUCAAGUGCCAUAGGUUUGGUUAAUCAUUCAAUGCUUUGGUUUCCUUUUGCAGUUACAAUCUCUAUGGGCCGGAGUAUGUCUAUCCACAGGUUCAAGACCCAAAAUCAUGUCAAUCCUUUCUGAAUUAGAAUUUGUUUUGAAAAUAUGCAACCAACAUGCUAAUUUUGAUGUCUAGUCUCUUUUGCAGAAUGCAUACAAUCCUUAUACAGGGCAGCCUUAUGUUCAAGUUUAUGGUUUUCCUGGAGCUAUAAACACAUCUAUUUACCCAUUUGAUCAAUUUGGCCAGCCUAUUCCACCUGGUUAUACGGCAAUGCAUGGCUACACACUGCCAACUCAACCAAUUGUGCAAUUGGGUGGACCAAAUGUCAAUGGAAUGGCAAGUGCACCUCGACCUGUUAUUCAGUCACCCUAUCCAGCUGGUACAUUUUCAUCUAGAGAUUUCUUUUCUCUUUAAUACUCUUACACACAUUAUAUUUAUCAGGUACCGUGAUAGGUAUGUGCUGGAUAGGCUUUUCCCAUGUUGUCUGGGACAUUGCUAAUCUAGCACAGAUAGUGUAGUAUUAAUGAGGUCUAUAGUGAAAGAAAUUGGGUAAAUGUUACGAGGUGAUACAAGUCUAGUUUGAUGCUUAAAGAUUGGUUAUCGAAUGACAUUACCGAAGCUCAAUUUGGUGCCUAUUUUUCUCACUGUAGAACUUGCCUGCAAACAUCUGUGAUUUAUGUAUAGUUUGUUGCGUUUUGCUUAACAUCAUAACAGAUUGGCUAUUAUCUUAUUUAGGUUGAUCAAUUUAGAUUAUGAUUUGUGCCCUUUACGUUUGUCUUUGUUCUCAAUAGAUGUAUCAUUUCUAUCUCAAGGGAGGGCAGAAGCCUCUAAUGUGUUUUUCUUUCUGAAAUUUGUUCUUGUGGAUGUGGUUCUUUUAAUAUUCUACCUUAUGUGCACAGCAGCCAGUAAAAUAUUAAUCAUAUUGGAUUUCACAGGAUUAGCAGCCCCAAUUCCAGCACAACCACAUGUCAUAGUUCCUGCUCAGUCUCCACAGUUUAUGCAGGGCAGCAGUUCAGAUCAAACGACAGUUUAAAUGUGCAUCAUGAUAUCAUCUUGAGGUACACCACCAGUCCCACUCCAAUUUUUCUUGAUGGUUUUUUUAUUGACAGAGAUAUGUUUUCUCUAUCUUUAAUAGAUACCCUUAGAUUGCAGCAGGACCAAGAACCGCAGUACUGCCAUGUUAAUGGCUUGCAUUCUUGCCUUGCAUUCUAUCAUCUUUGCAUUCUAGAGGUUAGUUCUAUUUGAUAUCCACUUAUACAUGUGGUGAUUAUAGAAAUUUCUUAUUUUGGAGGUUAUGAUCUUGGCGAGUAAUAUAUGACAAUAUGUCACUGCAGCUUAUCUCAAUGUAGUACUUUUGCUUUUAAUUUUAUACGCAUGUGGACUCAAGUAUCUGGUAUGAUGUACCAUCCGUUUGCCAAGCAGGUGCUAUGAACAAUACAUAUUGCAUCCUAAUGUAUCAGUCUAAAUACAUGCUAGUGUGAUGCUGGAAUGUUUGCAGACAUCAUACUUUGGCAUGCAUGGAUGUGUCUGGUUUUAGCUGUAUACUUGUUUCUUGCUAGCACACUAUCUUCUUGACAAUGAUUAGUUCUUUUAUGGCAUCCAAGUUUUAAUUUUCCAUAUCUACUAGGAAUUUAUUGUUCAAAAUCUUAUGACCAUUUUUUCUCGUGCAAAACCGUUCUUUGAUCAUCCAAUUUGCAAAUUGGUCAUCUUGUUCAUGGCUACAUAUAUAAAAAAAUCCUUCUGACUAAUAUUUUCUUGUUUGCCAGUCCUAAAAUAAUCACCCUAGUCAUGGUUUGUUCAUCUUUGGCAUGACAGUUAUUUUUUGCAUCAAGUUGAAAUACUUGGAUGCCUUCAAAAAGGACAAUUAAUUAUUUUGUUUGGAGAUUCCACCUGGAUAUUGCAGAAUUAACUAUUUGUAAUAAACAAACUUCCAGGAAGGAGGGUCAUCAUUGAUUGUGCAUCAUUUGACUCUAUUUAGAGAAGGUUCCUCUGUUUCCCUGCUUUUGUUGUAACUCUUUUCAAGUUGAUUAUCAAGUCUAUGUAGCAAAAGUGAAAAUUUCUGCUUGAUAAUCCCUUCACACAUUUUUCUUUGUCCUUUUUGUGGUUCAUGCAUAUAAAAAUCAUAUCUUAAGCUUCAAGAGAGUACCUGAUGUAUUUCCUGAUUAACACAAAGGAGCAUGUCAGUUCCUCGUUUUACUUUUUGUUCUUUCUUUUCAGCAUCAGCGAUUCUUCUUAUAUUAGCUAUGCUGCAGCCUUACUCUGAAGAGAAUCCAUUAUAUAUAUAUAUGUAUAUGUAUAUAUGUAUAUAUAUACAUAUACAUAUAUAUACAUAUACAUAUAUAUACAUAUACAUAUAUAUACAUAUACAUAUAUAUAUAUAUAUACACAUAUAUAUAUAUAUAUAUAUAUAUAUAUAUAUCGCUUCGAUAGAGGAUGAGAAAAAAUCAUUUAAAAUGGUAUGGGCAUGUGCCGAGAAAACCUCCGGAUGUUAGUGAUACGAGAAAAGAUAGUGGACGACCUAAAAAGAUUUUAAUAGAAAACUAUAAAUAAGGAUUUAUAUGAUUUUUUUACAAACUCAAUGAUGGCAAAAGUUCCAUGUAGCCGACUCCAAAUAGUUAGGAUAUAUGGUUUUAUUGUUGUUGUUGUUAUAUAUAUAUAUAUAUAUAUAUAAUUUCUUGAUGUGUUAUUCUUGAUGUCAGAAAAUCUAGAAUAACAGAUUGAUAUUAUUUUGCUGUUUUUCUAAUAUGGUCAGUUGCAUAUUUACUAUGAACAGGGGAUUCUAUAUGUUACUAUCAAGCUAACAUUUCCUUGUGCUGUUUUCGAUAGGAAAUCUAGAAUAACAGAUGAAUCUUGUUUUGCAGGUUGUCCUAGUUAUGAUCAGUUGCAAAAAGCCAUUAAGUUGCUCCGAUGGAGGGAGCUGAAAGCACAAGAGCAUGGGUUGCUCUUUGUUGCACAGUGUCUGUAAAGUCUCUUGCCCUGCUGGAAGUUGUGAAGUCUGGUGGAGCAAGAAUACCUGGAUGUCAAAAUUGCAUCCUACAACCUGUAUGAUAGAUUCUGGAUGUCAGAGUUGGAGUCUGACAACCGAGAGGGAAGCUAAAUUGUAUCAUGGGAUCCAAGUGUUACUGCCACAUAUAUAGACAGAUGAAGACAUGUUGCUCAUGCAAAGUUCAACUUCAGUGUAAUGAGUAACGGAUUUGUAUGAUUCGCAACAUUAGUUUCCUACAGUGUCCUUCAUUUAGCAGAAGAACCCUAAUGGUACUAAACAGUACAUGAUCAAAUAAAAGGUCUCAAAGGCAUGGAAACAAACCAGAUGGUUCAGUUCAAUUUCCAACACAUUUCUUAUCAGCAAUAUCAUGUCAUGCAUCCACUCAAUUGAAACCAAGCUUUUCAAGGCAUAUAUAAAUGUAGUCCCUGAAACAAUAUUGCAGUGCUGUUUUUUCGAGUACAUUUCAUUUCUGGUGUUUGAUGUCGGUGAUCGUCUUGGCGAAGACGGCGGAUUUCAUGACUGACCUGCAAAUCAGGUUUAGUAUGUUUAGAUCAUUGCUAAAUGAACUUCUAUGUAGAUUUUUACUGCUACAUUGAAUCAUGGAGCAUAUAAACUCUGUUGCACUUCUGCAUUUGUUGUGAUUAUGUAACAUUUGAACAGCGUUGCAUAUGAUAUCACCAAGUUCGACUGUGAAGAGUAAUAGUUCAGAUGAUUGCCAAUUCUUUGUAAGAAAAUGAAGUGUUCUAUUGUCAAUACAGUUGACUUUUUUUCCCUGAGAGAUCACUAAAUGAACAGGUCUCAACCAAACCUCUAUUUACACAGCUUUUUUUACUUCCAUCUGGAAGCACUUUUCAUGCUCAAGGCACAAAGUUUCACACUUAGUCAAUCAGACAGCCUUCUGAUUCACUAAGCCUGUGUUGGAGAUAGCUCAUCGAACUACAGUAGUCUGUGUCGGAGGAUAACUUCAAUGGCUACAUCACAAGCCACCAGCAAAGUCAUCGCAGUCAACUUAUACAAUAUGGAAAUGGAUGACCGCGAAAGUGGCAGAGGGGUGAUCUCCUGCAGCUUGCUUUCGUACUCCACUCGGAUUCAUAGACCAGAAGUAUGUCGAAUCAUGCAAGGCCAAGGGGGUUCUUCUUUACUGGCACUGUCUUCUUUUUCUCAUGAAGUGUGAAUAAGGAACAAAGACGCUUCAAUGCGCAUGUCAUGGACGCAUUUACUUACCCCCUGUUGUUGAUGAUGAACACAGUUUCUGAGAUCGACAUCAACCCACAUGCGUUCAUACCAAGAAAGGACAUUGAAAGAUGAUCCUUUUCCUAAACGAGACUUAAAAGUCAGAUAAUAGAUGAAGAAGACGAAGUCAGUUCGAUGUUAGCCUCAUCUUGAUGGUCAGAUGGGAGCAAGGGAACACGCUGUUUCCUUUCUCAUGUCUUGACUGCUUCCUGCUACUUUAUGGUACCUGCCAACACAUGCAUACUGCUUCCUUCUCACCCUCAGCUCCUCCUAUAUAAACCCCUCCAAUCCUCCCUCGACGGCAGCCAUGGAGUUCGAGGGGUGCGUUGCAGUGGCUGCAGGGCGGCCGACGACGGUCAAGAAGCCGAAGCCGAAGCCGAAGACAAGGAUCUUACACGUGUUCCCGCCGGAGAUCAUAAAGACGGAUGCUGCAAACUUCCGCGAGCUCGUGCAGAGGCUCACCGGAAAGCCGGUGACGCGAGCUAGCAGCAACAGGAGGAAGAAGAAGAAAGAGGACGAGGCUGGUUGCGUGGGGCUCGAGGGAGAGGUGGCUCCGAGCUGCGAGCAAGUGGGACUGUGGAGGGGGACGCAGGAGCCCGGAAGUGGGGGAGGAGCGAAGGUUGAGUUGGAGGAGAAGGAUUCCGGUGGCUUCUCUUGGGAGUUUGGAGAGAUCGAGAGCUUCCUCCAUGAACUCAGUGAUGUCUCGUGGCUUCCUUCGUGUACUUCCCCAGCUAAUGACAGUUAGAUCCUUUUUCGUUUUGCUGUGUUUUUGGUGGCUUUGAUGUUAUUCCCUGGGACGCCACGUUUGCUAUUGGGUUCGGGUCGUAGAUGGAUCCGAUACUAAUUCGAUCCGAGAACAACCCUGUGAAAGCCAUUCGAAAUGGCAUCGUCAACCCUAGCCGGUGGUAGGAUCGAGACGAUGAAGGUAUCGGUCAGGUUCCCAGAGGACCGGCCGGCCCUGGUGCGGGCCAAGAUCCCCGUCGGCGUACUCGGCCUGCCUUUCAUCUCUGGCGCCGCCGCCGCCGUCGGCGACGCCCGCGAGCUCCGGCUCGACCUCUCCACCGCCUUUAGCGCCGGCCCCUCCUUCCGCGUCUCCUACCGCCCCAACGACCCCCACAAACCCUUCUCCCUCGUCCUCAAGACCGGCGCUGGCCCCCUCGGCUCCCCCGCCGGGGGUUCCCCUCUCGCCAUGUCCGCCGAGUUUGGCCUCUUCGGCGCCCGACCAACUUUCUCCCUCCUCCUCAAGCCUCGCGUCGGCGACUUCACAUUCAAGAAAUCCGUUGCUGCCGCCCCCGCGGCCGCCUCCCCGGCCGUGGAGGUCAAGGUCGCACCCGUUGGUGACGGCUGCGGGAUCGAGGCGCCGGUUGUGGAGUUCCGGCCGGGUGGUGGGAUCCACGCCGGGAGGAAGUUGAAUGGCUUCCCCAUCGACGUCUCCGCCUUUUCCGCCGGCAGCAGAGGCGGGAUUGAUGGGCUGCUCUCCGGGUUUGAGGUCAGCGCCAGGAGCGUCCUUCCGCUUCCGAAUCGCACCGCUAUCCACUUCAAAUGGGGUCUGAGAGUGCCGCCGGAGCUCCGCACUGCCUUCGAUGAUCCGAUGGCUCGGAUCUCGCUGAGCAAGCUCCCACUCCUCGCCAUGAGAAAGAUCUCGAUCGAACGUUUGACGGAUGACCAGGAUGUGCAGAAGAAGAAUCCCGCUGCUGCCACUGAGGCAACGGAUGCGUGCGCCUUGGUGAGGCAGGAGAUCGAGGCUCUGCAAUCUGAGAGCAAGCUGCUGAGGGGGGCCGUGGAGGACCUCAGGGCAGAGGUUGGAGGCUGGAAGUUCACUGCGGCAGGGACCAAUGGGCGUUCACCAAGUAACACUGGGAAGCACAAGGGCAUCAAUGAGGAGCUAAUGAAGCCUGCAUUCAUGAGUUCCUCCACCACGGCAGUCUGAGAAAAUGGGGCUGGAGGUUUGCAACUCUUUACAUUUUGGUGAAUGCAAGCUAGAAAAAUAACUAGUAACCAAUAAUCCCUAUAUCCUAUUUUCCUUGGCAUAAUUGUGGUAGUAUCUUUUGUUAGGACAUGUAAAUGCUGCCUAUGUUUGUACUUGCCGCGGAAUGGUAUUGCAUUUGAUAAUUAAGUUAUUUCCAGGGGUUGCUUUUCUGUUUAUUGGAUCAAUGAUAGCUGGUAAUCAGUAAAUAGCUGCCUGAUUUUUUUGAAUUAAUGAUCUUUUUGGUAUAUUUCUUUGGGAAAUCGGCUUGGACAUGGUGAAGGAAGAACAAUGUGUAUCUAAAUAGGGAGCGUAAAACAAACAGAAAUGAAAUUUUGCUUGAUGGUGACAGAAUUUGUUUCAAAAUGGUGCUUGAUCUCAUUGCUUUCAUUGUAAAGUUAGAACACGGAGUGCUUCUUGCGCAUCUCUAUGAUUGUCGCUACUUGCAUGUGAUGCUAGACAUAAUGGUCAUCUUUUAAAGUUGCAAGUUUGGAUAUUUAAAAUUUCGAUCCUACUGAGAAUAUGGUACUUCAUUAAAUCUUGGCUUCAAAACUUAUCUCUUUUGUUGGUCGCAAUCGCUCUAUGUAGAGAAGCUAAUAAUGUUCAACAUCCUAACCUUCCCCGAUACUAACAAAGCUGGUGUGUGGCUCAUUGAUGUUCUUGUUGAUAGUUGGAGUUACAGAAAAAAGUAUGGGAUGUCUUUCUUCAUUUGUGUCAUCAUACAUGGGAUGAAUUUAGAUAUUUCAACAUUUUCUUUUUUUGCGUAGAGUUAAAUUAUAGAUGCUCUUAUAUUUAUGAAUGCUGACUGUGCUCAUUUGUUGUCUUUUUUAACCUCUAUACUUUGGUUGAGAGCUAGGGUUUGGGUGAAUAUUAGGGAUGGUCAAUGGAAAAUGCUACCGUCUUUGACUCAAAUGUAUGGCAAUACAUGAGUCAUGGACAUGGCAUGAAGAGAUAAGGCGAGAAGUUGUGUAAGGCUCGUGAGUACCUUACACAUAAAUCUGGGAGUCAAGAUCAGUUGCAGGUUACCCUGGGUGGUAAAUUUAGUGACUGCACUACUUUCUCAUUUCUAUGAUGUGAUGCAUAAUAAGGAACUUUGAAAAAAAAGUCUGCAUGUUAGGGCAAUUGAAGAUUGUAGUCUAUUGAAAACAUGGUAGUUGAUUAUGAUUCAGCUUUGAAGCAUCUUUUACAUGGAUCAAAAUAAAUAUUUCAUAAUAAUCCAACUAUUGGGGUUGGUUACACAUGUCUAUUCCCAAUGAUUCAGCUCUUGGAAAUAUGGUACCUCUAGUUAAAUCCAGGGCAUUCAUUCUCUUUUUAUUCAGUAUGAGCUGUAUAAUAUAGUGCAAAAUGUAAAUAGUUCAUUUUAACCUUACCCAGUACUGGGACAAGUAAAUAGGUCAUUUGGUCCCUGUACUCUCAAGGGAUUACCGGUACCAUCCUUACACUUCUCUUUCUAUCUUUUAAGUUGCCAAACGAAUUUUCUGUUCACCAAUAUUAUCUUCAGUGAAAAGAAUUCGUUCCAACAUCUUGAUGUCACCAGUUUUUGCUGAUAUGGAGGAAGGUAAAUUACAUUCCAACUUGGUAGAUUGCCUUAGCACUUGGCACUUGAACUACUAUUGGUAAUUCCAUGCAUUCAUUUGUGGCAGGUACCUUAUUUGUCACCAGUUUUUGUCAUCAAUAGUUGAUUGUUUGUUUCUGAGGAGGGAUAGCACACCGGUAGCGAGCCAUGGACCGGCAGGACAAUAGAGAUGGCAGAUGGUGGCUGAAAGUGAUGCUAGCAAAUGAAACAGUGCCGAUGAUGGAGGCAAGAGUUUCUCUGGAGCGAGUCAUGGUAACCUCCACAAACAAAGUUCCACAUGAAGCAUGGUUCUGUCAAUGGAAUGCUUUUACCCUUAGAUCAGCUGCCAAGUUAGAAUCAAAUCAGUGUUGUUUCCCCAUGUCAGCAGAUCCCAUCAAUCCUAAGCCACUGGAAUGGUUUUGUUUGGCCGGAGAGGAUGGAAUCGGUGAGGACAUUACAGCUUCUUGUCGCUGCUGCUGCAGUAAUUGUUCUCCUUAUUGCUACUUUUCUUACAUACGGUAAAUGGAUGGAGCAAAUCCAGACAACCAGCAGAGCUAAUUUCUUGCCUGUUCUCUUCAUUUGUUCUUUAUGGAUUAGCACGAAUGAGCUGUGAACAUGCCAACCCAUUAUGGCUUUUAUGUUCUCCCUCGAUCUCAUCAGGAAAAUCAAUAUAUUGUCAUAUUUGCAUUUCUUUCCUCUAUUUAGAGAAGAGGAGACGAGACUGGAGAUGAUAAUUAUGAUGUUUGGAAUCACUGCUUGGCUAUACUGUCCACAGACUUUUCUCCCAUAUAAGACCGAUGUAACCUAUUUCAUCCUCUCCUCUCAUGCCAAUUACCUUCCUGAUUUGAUCAGAUCAAUUCAGAGUCGGAAGGUGCUCUUUUACGAUCUUGCAAUAACUAUGUCUUCCACGGGUAGAAGAUUGAGAUUUAAAGGGAAGGUGGAAGGAUUUGAGAGGGCCUUUGAUAGCUUUCCUGUGAUACGUAUCUUCUCUCUCUACAAAGGGAAUGCAGCACACAUCUCGUCCAUCCAUCUGCAUGCUAUCUCAGCCACCGAGAGAUGUCUCCCUCCACCACCAUCCUCUGCGGUGCGCUCCUCUUCUUCCUCCUCGUCUCCUCAACCCUCCCGGCCGCGUCCUUUGACUGUGACGCGGGUGACCGCGCCGCCCUCCUCAAGAUCAAGAAGGGCCUCGGCAACCCUCGCCAGCUCAACAGUUGGAUCCCCGCCACCAACUGCUGCAACUGGUACCACGUCGGAUGCGACUCGCAGAGCGGCCGGGUCUUGUCCCUCCAACUCACCGACACCUACGGCGUGGUCGCUGACAAGGUGCCGGCGGCCAUCGGGGACCUCCCCUUGCUCCAGGUGCUGGCCCUAAAGAACAUGCCCGGCCUCUCCGGCCCCAUCCCCCGUUCCUUCGCCAAACUCAGGUACCUCGCCGGCAUCUUGAUCAAGAACAACUCCAUCAACGGCACAAUCCCCCGCUUCUUCAGCAACCUCCCCGAACUCAGGGUGAUCGACCUCAGCGACAACAAGUUCACCGGCCCCAUCCCGCCAGGCCUGUCGCACGGGGAGACCCCGUUCCUCGUCCUCCGCAACAACCUGCUGACGGGGGAGAUCCCCGCGUCCUAUGGCGACGUGGAGUACACCACCUUCGACGUCUCGCACAACCGGCUCACUGGGAGCGCGUCGUUCUUGUUCAAGAACAGGUCAAGGUCGACGUUUGACAUCAGCCUGUCGUGGAACCAGCUGGAGUUCGACAUUACGGAAGCAGCGCUUCCGGUGAAGCUGCGGACGCUGGAUGUGAGCCACAACCGGAUCCGGGGCGGCGUCCCCAAGGCGCUGGAGGACAACUACUACAUGUACCGCCUCAACCUGUCGUACAACCAGUUGUGCGGCGAGAUCCCGACGGCCGGCGCCAUGGAGGCGUUUGGGGCCGACAGCUUCCUCCACAACAAGUGCCUCUGCGGACCGCCGCUGCCACCAUGUCGCCACUGAGUGACGCACCGUGUUCGAUGAAGCGCGCCAAUGGCAAUGUUUGUGUCUGAGGUGUUGUGGAAGGAAUAAUUUGGUGCAUGCAUGUGUGCUGUUUGAUGGUCUGAUCAUAGUUCAUGAUAACUAUGUAGAUCGAUAAUUUUAAGUUGAUUUAGUUAAUAAAGGUAAUGAAAGGUAAGAUAGGAAAGAAAAUAAUCAUUUGAUUGUUCCAAUCACAAGGAAAGUGACACGAAAAGAAAUAAUCAUAGACCCAUGCCCCUCGAUCCUCGUAUAAGCAUUCAUAUUCAAGUUGAGAUUCUAUUGGUUCUUCUGGUCCCUGAUCGAAAGGUAACUGAUCUUAUUAUUUGAGAUGCAUUAACGUAUCAACAAAUAUAUCACGAGAAUUAUACAAAGAUCUAAAAUAGGAGUGACCAACACCAACCUCAUGAUCACAUUGACGAAGAGGCCUCGAUCAAGCGAGAUUCUCUAGAGCACAGAUGGAUCUAACUUUUGUCAACAUGUUUUGGAUGGAGAUCUUUCUUCGUAUCAGAAAGACGGGGUUGUUACGAGAUCCUGAUCCCAUAAAGUCCCCAUUAUGAAUGUGUGACAAGAUGAAAUAUUAUAGGUUUUAUCGAGACUAUAGCCAUAACAUCAAAGAUUAUAUCAACUUAAAGAGCUCAUUUGUUUAGGGACUAGUACUAAUUAUAAUUAAACAAAUAGUGAAUAUCAUAAAAAAAUAUUGUACUAAUCGUGAAUGGACAGAUACACGUGAAAGAGAAUUGGAUUUGUGCGAAUUCGAGAGGAUCCGAGGCCAAAAUAAAUAUAAAAUGACAUUGAAUAUGAAACAGAAGGUAGGUGAUACUGGUGACAAUAUAUAUAAUGAUACAAUACAUAUAAUAUAUCUUUGUUGGUAAAUAAACUAAAGUACAUUAUAGAUUUCAUAGGAUGAGUUGGCAAUGAUCACUUUCGCUCUGGCUUUGACUGUCUGUCUCUUGCAACUUUGAUAUAUGGUUUUGGUAAAGCAUAUGAUGAAAAGUGGGUGUACGAAGGAAAAUAAUAUAUCAUGUUCUCUUUUAGAUAAGAUAGUGUGUGCAUGGAGUCCUAUUUAAUGACCUGACAUCCCACGUGACAUGUUAAGUGGUAGACAUAUGAGACAAAUCAUUCCUUGUAAUGAUGUAAUUGUUCUGAGACACACUGUAAUGGGUAUGGCAAAGUAUUCAUGUGGAAGCUCUCUUUCGACAGUCUGUCUGCAUCCAUAAAUAGGGGAAGAUCUCCGGCUUCCAUCUCUCUCUCUCUCUCUUUCUCUCUCUCUAAGACAAAUGGCAUCUGCUUCCGUAGCUGUCGUCCUCCCCUUUGUGGCGGCACUGAUGGGAUCACUAUGGGGAGGAGGGGCUUCGGCGCACGGCGUCGCCGCCUCGUCUUUCAACAGUAGCUCCUUCCCUGCUGGCUUUGUCUUCGGCGCGGCCUCUGCAGCUUACCAAGUAAGUAAGAGUAAGAGGGUGUCUGUGUGUGUUUGUGUUUUGGUGAAGUGGUUCUGAUGUUGGGUACGUAUGUAGUACGAAGGUGCAUUCAGAGAAGGUGGCAAGGGGCCGAGCAUUUGGGACACCUUCACUCAUCACCACCCAGGUCUGCCAAUUUAUUUGAUGCUGUCGUUACUUAGAUAUUUUCGAUGAACGAAAUAUUUUACGAGUCUAUGAUUUUUUCCGUUAUACUAAUUCACUUCUCUUAGUGUCGUUCUUGAUCCUAACACUCUUUAGAAUCUGUAAAAAAAAAAUAGAGUUAUAAGAAAGAUAUUGAUAAAGAUCGUUAGUGAAUACCGAUGAUUUCGACGAAAGAGAAAUGCUUUAAACUGAAUGCGUGAAUGAAUCAAAUAAAUUAAACGAGUGAAAGAAAGAAAGAAGAAUUAUUUCAUUUUUGACGGAAAAGAUGAUAUCACUGAAUCCACCUGACUGUUCGAAGAGCCUUUCCCAAUCUAUUCUUCCCACCCACUCUCUUUCCUUUAGUGUUGGGAUUUUAUUAGACAGAUCACCAUUUGAUUUCUCUUCUUAUAUUCGUCAUUUCCACAUGCCAUUCUUUGUUAGGUGAAUCCGAUACAUAGAAACAAUCAAUCUAUUGAUCGUUCAUAUUUUAUCUGUAUGUCUGAUAUCGACUCAUCAACCAAAGCGAAUAAAGAUAUUCUAUAAAUAUAGUGUGAAUAUUUAUUUUGAUGGAUUUCGUACAAUCUCUAUAUCUAAUUUAGUGUUUGUAGGAGACAGCUUUCGAUGAUCCGAAAUGAAAUGGUUGUCCGAAUGUAAUCAUAUGAUAAGAUAGUGAUGAGAUCCACACUGCUUUUUGCGACCAGUGCGAGUCAUGUCAAAUUAUUGGAUUUGGGAUUCGUGUGCUCAAUCUUGUAUUAUACUUAUCGUGUAAACAACUUUAAGCUGUGGUCUCGGGAUCGAUGCGAUUUGGUUCGGAUCCGGAUGAUGGGGAUCUUCCUGGGACGCUCCUCCCGAUUGCUAAGGUGGCCGAUCACGGUGUUCCGAUUGGGACAGGGUCGUUAUUCCCUCCGGGCAAGAACUCCUCGCCUACGCGUUCAGUGGGGAUCUUCGGCUUCGCACCUGCACAAAGGUCAGGUCGGGGAGCUCGGCCCGACCCCUCCGACGAUCAAGUCAGUGGGUGGUCGUGGGGGGUUCCUCUUUUUAGCCAAGUUGUGACUGCUUCUCUUGUGCCUCUCUUUUCACUCCUCGGUGUGCGAGGGUUUUUAUAGUGAGAAUUACCGUCGCAUGACGUGUCGGCCCGCAGGGAGUAGGAUCGUACUUCUGGUAACGUCUGACAUUGCCGUUAGCAUAGCGUGAGGAAUCGAGCCUGAGCAGGGUGCUAAUGUGCCUUGGUAGACGUUCCAGUCCGCUUUAACCGGAUGCCUCAUCAGGUCAACAGAGGCGUGAGACGUCUUCUGGGGCAGCUGAUGUCACGCGAGUCUUAUCGCAAUUAUUACCCUCAUCAAUACUUUUCAGCGAUACUCUAAUUGAUAUGUGUAUAUAUAUAUAUAUAUAUAUAUAUAUAUAUAUAUAUUAAUGAUAUAUUAGCAGACUUGGAGUUUAUUGCAAUGCCUUUUGUUUUAUGACGUUAUGGGCAGAGAAAAUAAUGGAUAGGAGCAAUGGAGAUGUGGCAGUAGACUCUUACCAUCGUUACAAGGUUGGUUACUUCAUCUCUGUCAUCCAACGUUUUCCCUCUCAGCUACUGUGGUUGCCUUGGAAUCUAUCAGUUUGAACUUGAGUUGCAGGAAGAUGUGGCGCUCAUGAAAGAGAUGGGAGUGGAUGCCCACAGGUUUUCCAUCUCUUGGUCGAGGAUCUUACCAAGUGAGAUUCACAUUCCAUCAACGAAACUAUUCCGAAUGUAAUUUUUAGUUGGGUAGAAUGAUGCGCCUGCGAUCUCACAUCUCAGAUGGAAAGCUCAGUGGAGGAGUCAACGAGGAAGGCGUCAAACAUUACAACGAUCUCAUCGAUGAGCUCCUGUCGAAUGGUAUUCAUCUCAGUACACUUGUGUUUCUACUGCUCGUCGUCGUUGCUCUCCUUUCUCUCAUCAUCGUCUGCUCCUAACUCUUGUAGGUUUGCAGCCCUUCGUGACCCUCUUUCACUGGGACCUGCCUCAGGCACUGGAGGAUCAGUACGGUGGUUUCUUGAGCCCGUUCGUCGUGUUAGUUCCACAUACUCGUCAUUCUAAGUGAAUGUGUAGCAUCACAAUGUUUCAUCUCUAGGAGGAACUCGAUAUGAUAACUGCUCUGUGAUGAAUCUGUUCUUGCAGCAAAGACUUCCGCGACUUCGUGGAAGUGUGCUUCGGGGAGUUCGGCGAUCGGGUGAAGCACUGGAUCACCUUCAACGAACCCCUGAUCUUCUCCACCAUGGGUUACGCUACAGGACAGACGGCACCGGGCCGAUGCACCCCCAUACUCGUCGGCAAUUGCACUGCAGGGAACUCAGGCAGGGAGCCCUACGUGGUGGCUCACCACCAGUUGCUCGCCCACGCCGCCGCCGUGAAGCUCUACAGGGACACAUACCAGGUAAUUAAGCAGAGCGAGCUUGGCCAACACUUGGGUGCCAUCACCCGCCUCCUCACGAAGAAGAUGCAUGCAGGGAUCUCAGAAGGGAAGAAUAGGAAUCACACUGACGACCACAUGGUUUAUUCCACUCUCCGAUUCCAAGUCCGACGUCGAUGCUGCUCAAAGAAUCCUAGACUUCAAUUACGGAUGGUGAGCCAUGGACAGGUUGAAGCUGGUUCGAAGCAGAAACCCUGACUGCUGUUUCUUCUUCUUCUUCUUCUUCUUCUCUCGACUGAUAGGUUCAUGGAUCCUCUAACCGGAGGGGACUACCCAUUCAUCAUGCGGACGCUUCUCGGGGAUCGCCUACCGAGGUUUACCGACGAGGAAUCCAGGCUGAUUAAAGGAUCGUUCGACUUCAUCGGCCUCAAUUACUACACUGCAAGCUAUGCUUACGGUCUUCCUCUCUCCAAAACCGGCGUUCAGAACUACAUGACAGAUUCUUUUGUCAGCAGCACCGGUAAUCUACUACGAUAUGUAUCAGCUACUUCAUCAAGGAAGAGAUGUUUAACCUAAUCUUCUUCCUGCAAGUGCAGCGGUUCGUAACGGAGUUCCGAUCGGUCCUCAGGUAACUCAAAUCACCUCAGUUCUUUGUAAGCUUGCCGUCGGCUGACCAGGUGAGAGUGUGCAGGCUGCUUCCAGUUGGCUCUACGUCUACCCGAAAGGGAUAAGAGAUCUCCUGUUGUACACGAAAUCCAAAUACAACAAUCCGGUGAUCUACAUCACGGAGAAUGGUAGGAUCCAUCUGCUCUGUCUUUUGAUACGGGACAGGUUGAACUAUUCUCACGGAGAGGAUGGUUUGGCAAGCAGGUAUCGAUGAGGUAAACGAUGAAACAGUGCCUCUCAAGGAAGCACUCGAGGAUAAGACGAGGGUCGAGUACUACAGGGGGCAUCUGCUCUACCUGCAGAGAGCUAUCAGGUCUGCGAACAUGAGGUAGGAUUCCUGAGUUGCCGAUGUUGAAACAUGACAGCUAUUUUGUGCAGGAGAGGAGCAGACGUGAGGGGAUUCUUCAUGUGGACGCUGUUGGAUGACUUCGAAUGGAACUCAGGCUACACUGUAAGAUUUGGACUCCAUUAUGUGGAUUUCAAGGAUGGGCUGAAGAGGUACCCCAAGAGAUCUGCACUCUGGUUCCGUGAGUUCCUCAGGAGAUCGUAGAUGAUGCAUCUGCCACUGGAAGAAUGAUGAUUUGACGCUUGCUUCUGCUUUCUUUUACUGCAAAGAAACUGGCUGUUCUUGUGGUGCAUGUCGGAGUCUCGAGACAAUGCUGUAGUGCUUGCAAUAAAAUGCUACUUGUUUUCACUUUGAUAUCUUGAUUCUCCCUCGUCCUACAUUGAUAGGAACAGCUUUCUCGUUCCAAUGGCAACCCCCACCUUGUUUUGCUUGUGACCCUCAUAAUACCAAUUGCUUUCCUGACCUCUCAUGAACAACCCUCUAUCUGUUCUCUUCUUAGAUGUUUCACAUGAUCAUACCAUGCAAGGAAUCAAAUUUCGAUGACGGAUAUCAAAUCAUAUAAAUUAAUAUCGAUCACCGCAUCUUAUGAUAUACCAACACUGCAAAACAAAUAACAAAGUGAGUUAAACCAUUGAUGAUAAUGAGGGGAUAACCCUCUAAAGCAUAAAACUCCCACUCUGAAGCCAAAUUCUCAUGAUGUAAAGAAAAAAAAGUCUCUUGUAAUCACCAAAUUUUUGUAGAGUUUUUUCUAUAGAAGAACACGUCCGUGAUAUGCAGCAGAAAAGAAAUAAUUCCAAAUGAACUUUUGGAUUCAUAUUAUACAAGAUAUGCUGCUCAACACAAAAUAAUGUCAUAAUGUGAUGUUUAAUCAGGUCUUAAUACUAUGUUGGAUUACUUUGGCUCAAAAACAAAACUGCCCAAUCAGAGGGAGCUAUACGGUUUAAGAAAAACAAUUAAGAAAACUAAAAGAGUGAAUUUUAAGGGCUAUACAAGUUUGAGACCCUGAUGACCAUGGUUCUUGGACCCAUGCAGAAAGAUGCAUAAUCUCAAAACUUGUAUCAGAAGAAACAAGAUUGGUUGCAGUCCCUACAAAUAUCAGACUGAGCAAUUAUUUAUUCUAAUUAAACAUAAAAGGAGUGUCUAAUCUCAGCUGGAAUUGAAUUUAAUUAGUGUCUACAACACUGGGAUUUAUGAAUGAAAAUUAAGGGGGAAGAAAAAUCCCCCUGGCCAGCUUUAGCAUCUCUUCUCUGCGUUUUAGGCUUCCACCUAACAUCACCCUAUUAAUGUUUUAGAUACCCAUUGAAAAUGUUAACUGAUUUAAGUGUACCUCCAUUCCCCGGUGACCAAGUAACGGAUAUUAAAUCAGUUACUAUAGAUCCAUGGCCAACCUUGAUAUAUAAAUCUUCAACGCUUCCUUUAUCAUGAUGUGGCUUUGGAUUUUAAUUUUUGUUUCUUGGAGUCCAAUGAAGCUAAAGAUGUCCCUAAUCCAACAGGAGCUUCAUCUUUGUGGCCUGACCCACUGGCAUCAGUAGCCCCAACAGAGCCAUCAGACACCCAGCCAUUACCUGCAUCCUUGGGUUCUUGUGCUUGGCCACUAUUUGGAGCAUCAGGAGUAGAACUUGAAUUGAUGAUGUUGAGCAGUUGUGAUAAUGGGGGCAACGGUUGGACAGGAGCUGCAUUCUGGCGAACGAGGAUGCCUCUGGCUGCAGCUUUCUUCCGUGCUUCUGCUACUGCUUGAGCUGCUCUCUCGUCAACUCUCCUUCCACGAGGAAGGGCCUCACCAACCACAGAAGUGCUUCGAGACUUAUUGACUGUUAAGCCGGCAUUCCAAGACCUGGCUGCAGUUUGGAAAGCUUGUACCAGUUCAGGAUUUGCCUGUUGAAGCAAAAGAAGAUAUAUCAAAUGCCAGACUUUGCAUAAGCAGAAGAAUGUGAUAAUUAAUGUGGGGAUUCAGAAUUGAACCAAGGAAAUUCAAGAACCACUGCAAGGAUUCUAGCUCAUGAUUUAUGGCUUGGAGAAAAGUACAAAGCAGAAACUUUCAGUAACGUGAAUUUAUGUCACUAGCCAUGCACCUAUAACUUAACAUGACUUUAACCACUAAUAAACAGCAUACAAAUGGUCAUCAAUAUGAUAAACUGCAGAAAAAAUUAAUGGACACCAUUUGAUAAAAAAGGGCAUUGUCUGCUUCCACCUAUGCAACAGUAGGUGCACAGUAGUGCUAAUAUAGAUGGUCAGGCACCAUGAACCAACCUACCCUGGAGGUUACAAAACAAUAAGCCAAUCCUUCCUAAUCAUUGUGUUUGUAUGAAACAAUCAGAUAAGGCACCAUAAAAAAUUGCAGUUAAUGCAAAAUAUAAUGUUGCAUUAACUGAUGGCACUAUAGCCUUUUACCCUACAAAUUUAUAGGGUCUUAAUUAGGAAAACAAAUGCAUCAACGUAUAGCAUUAACAUGAAGUCCAAAUCGUACAUGUCAUAGUUAGUAACUGCAUAUAAAGAAAACCAAAACGUAGCAUGUCACUUGUUUGUAAAUGCCAGGACAGACGGACACAAGGCCAUUCCAUACUUUGCCUAUUUAUAAAAUUCUCAUAAUAGCUAUGAAAUAUGAGUAUAAGUUAGUCAUCCAUAACUAGGAUGAAACCUAAAAAAUGGAACACUACUAAAAUUAUUUUUCCCUAGCUUACAUGAUCAAUUAAAGAUUUAUUCAACAAAAUAAACUAAAUAUCCAGAGACAUUUUAAUCAUAGCAGAACAUAGUGCCUUGGUGGCAUAUGAUUUCAUCUGGACUUCCAAUAUCAGGAAAGAACCUAACAGAACUAAUGUUUAAUGUCAAUAAAGAAACUUCAUUUAGGAGAUAUCAGGUAGAGGUACACUACCUUCAAAAUAUUGAUAGCCUUGAGGGCAGAAGCAGAAUCAACAGUUUGUCCUUUUUGCUUUUGUGCAUUCACCUGGUUCAACGAAAACAAAUAGAAAAAGAAUGUAACGUCGAGCACUGAAUAGGCUUGCAAGUGGAGCAAAACUCCCAUAUUCUUUGAGAGAACUGAUGGCAAUACUCAAAAAACUAUUGACCAAGAAUACUUUAGUGAACUAAAUUGCAGCAUGAUCUUUAAAUUUUCCUUUCAUGUUCUACCAGGAAAAUGAAUUAGUUAAAGUCUUACCUUACUAACUUCUACUUUCCCCUUUUGUUAGGUGUCAUCAGAGUUUGCUUUCCUAAUAGAAGCGCUAGAGCAACCUCCUAUGCCUUUGAUACUGUAAAGGAACAAUCAGCACAUGAUUCUCUUUUUUUUUUUUCUUAAUCUUUUCACAUCUCUUCUUGUGCCUGUUCUUUUCCCCGUUCCUUAUAUGGUGGUCUAUAGCAUAGAGCUACCUCAGUUUCAAUCAAAAUGUAUCUACACCUGGGGCCCAUGGCAGAAAACAAUUUCUCGCUCCACUGCGCAAAAAAUGGCCGACCUUCUGUCCUGUUUCAUCUAGAUUAACCUGAUAACUAUUUUCUCAGUUGCAAGAACAACCACAAACCACAAUUUCCUAACUACUUGGUAUUGGCUAGAUCUUCUCAGUUGCAUGGCACUAUAAUAUCUACCAAUAGGAGUAUAUUUAUCCAUUCCUACAAUAUAACAAAUUAGCAUUACAUCUUUUCCACAUUACUGAAACUUGCAAUUACCUGCUGUUCACGCAAUCUAAAUGUCUCCAUCCAACUUUCUGAUUCUUUUGUUCUUGAAUCUUCCUCUCCAAGCUGCUUAACUAGUAUAUCAUGAGUUUUCUUUUCAUGCUGCCAUCAGAAUAACCAGUAAGUGCAAAUUCUAGCAUCAUUCUAUAAGCUAACUCAACAAGUAUCACUGAAGAUACAUGCCUGAAUAGAAAGUCUGUAGGCACCCAUACAGUCAAAUGCAAUGGCAAGAGCAUGAUAACACACUGCAGUCUGAAUAUGUUCAGGACCAAGAAGCCUUUCAUUCUUUUUCAGAGCUUCUUGUAAAUACCGGAGAGCAGUUUCCAUGUUUCCGAUAUCCUGGUACAUCAUAGCAACAUUUAUGAAGGUUGCUGCAACAUCAGGAUGAUCAGGCCCUGAUGAUAAGCUAAGUAGAAGCAGUGUCCGAGACAUAUGACGCAGACCAAGUUCUGUCUGAUUUAGACCAUGGUAGAAAAGAGCAAUAUUCCCAUAGCUGAAAUACCAAAAUAUCAUAGACGCAUAUUCAGAUUGUGAAAAUUAAUGGUGGAAGAAUAUCGGAUAGAACGAAUGAAAAAUAAAAGAAGAUAAGCCACUACCUAUGAGCAGUGUCAGGGUGAUCUAGACCAAGGCAACGCUCAUUUAUAAUUAGUUCUUUAUGCUGUUGCACAAUUGCUCCUGCGAUGUCACCCGCAUGAUAUAAAACCAUUGCCAGAUACCUGAGAAAGGAAGAAACAAAAGCCAUCAAGGAAAGCAAGUUAUAAAAACUCCAGAAGCAAAAAGGAAUGACAAAAACAAAUGUGGUUUAAUAACAGGAAUAAUUAACAACUUGAGGUGAUGAUUUACAAAUCUUUUGUUUGUAUUUCUGAUGCUCAUUUAUUUAGAUUAGUUUGGUGCACUAGCCGCUCUUAUCUAUUGAUGAUAAAAGAUCGACGUUUCAAAAAUAUAUAUAUACAAAGAUCAAUGAUUAUACCGACAACAACUAGCCACAUCUCGGUGCAAAGGACCUGUAAUCUGCAACAAAUCAAUAAAACUAAGGAACUCCAAAUGUAAAAAAAUGAUUGGAAACAAACACAAAAAUGAAAAGAGCCUACUUGCUGAAGUAUGGAAAAGGCUUCAGAAAAAAGAGUGUAAGCCUCAUUGAGCAGUCCCUGAACGAAGUAGCAUCAUAUGUUACUUCAACAUUGCCAGCUUGCAUUAUUAACACAAGAAAACACAUCAAAAAAAUUUCCCUUCAUUAUUGGUCUUUGACAUGUACCUCAGAUAAUCUAGCUUUCCCUGAUUCCAUGAGAUCCUUUGCUUCUGAACACGUAGGAACCGAAUGUUUUACAACAGGUUGGAGAUUCAAAAUAUCUGAGGUUUGGAAUGGUAGUGAAGCACCAAGAUCAUACUUUCUCGCUGCAAUUGUUAUCCCUACCUGUCUCAAGCACAAUAAUUUGAUAAAUAAUCUUAACAUACUAAUUUUGUAAGCAGAAGCAGUUCAAACAAUUGUCCUGAAUAACACUAAUAACUUGCACCGAUCUUAAUAACACUAAUCUUGCACCAAAUUGUCCUGAAUAAUUAAUACAGUAUACAUAUAACUCUUAAUAGAUUUCUGACAAAAAACUUGUAGAUGGCUACAAUUGUAUGCUAAAGAAAAAAAAAUGCACAAAAAGAUCAAACCAUAAAUUAUUAAUGAAAUAAACAAGAGAUCAAUCUAUAACAACCAGAAAGUAGAUUGUAGAACUACAAUGACGUUCUGGUUUCAUAAUUUCGAAUCAGACAACAGAGUAUAAAAAUAGUCUUACUGGAAAAAAAAAAUUAGACAGUGAACUUCUAAUAAUUGGAGAUGAAGAUGUACGGUACAACCUUUUGGCACAAAUUGCGAAUAACUGCCAGCUUUUUUACCCGAGUCCUUGCAGCAUCUGGUAAUUCAAACUUGAAUAAAAAACAAGUCGAAACUGUUAGGUUUCGCAGUUUCUUUUUAUGAACAGAAAUCACAAGUGAUUGAUUUACCUGAUAUUUGAAAUUUGCAAAUUCCUGAAUGCGAGACCAUAAUCCUUCAGAGGUUAAAUGCAUAUAUGAUAGAUGAUUUUUAGUAGAAAAUUCUCCAUGGAGCCGUCUAAUUUGACCCUUCAUGAACUUAUGCUGAGAUUGGUGGCGUCCUUGGGCCUGCCAAAGAUCAUGUAAAAGAAUAAUGUAAUCAAACCAUCAAUAAAAUCAUCCAAGUUCAGAAAGAAAAGUUGAAAAUACAAGUUUGACAAGGAUGCUUUUCCUUUUUGAAUUUUGUAAGAGGCAAGGAAACAAUAUCAUAAUAAGUUGCAUUAGAACAAGCAGAUAUCCUAGAAUUACAACCAAAACUAACAAUAGAGCUUCCUUUUAAUUAACCUAAGAUAUCUAAGAAACCUCAGAGCACAUAAGCUGUACUGUGGAAUGCCUAUCCUUUUGUCCCAGGCAAGAUACAGAGAUUGCCGAAGGCAACUACUAUGCUGACAGCUGGUGAUGGGGAACGCUUAUAAGAGUUAAUGCUUGGUUUGAAUUUCUAUUACAUUCCAAUUGGACUAAUAAUGAAAAAUCACUUAACCACAACAUGAAAGCCAAAUUAUCACAAAAUCUAAAGUUGCUGUACAGGAGAUCAUCAGCUCACCUCAAUAUCACGUAGCGCAAGUAUCUACAUAAUCAAUUCCUAGUUGUUUUGAUCAAGCAUAAAUGGAAAAAAUGAGACAAUUUUGUGUCUGCAUGUAGAAACCAAUUAAUUUGUAUGUAUUUAAUGACUGGCACUAAAGAGACGAAUAAGAACAGGCAUGCUCUAAUGCAGGUAAAACAUCUAAAAUAUAUCAUGUACUACAGAUAUAAUUUCAACAGCGUAUUCUGCGAUACACGAAAACAGUAGGAAGGAGACAAGAUUUGCCAUACUUUCUUUUGGGUUUUUGACUGCAUAUUGUCUGAAUUGCCUUUUGCAGCAACAGGUGAAACAUGCCCAAUAAAACAAUUAAAGAAAUGUGUGAUGGCUGGCCCUAGAUCAUGAUCCUCAGACUCCCUAAGUAAAUCCUACAAGAGACAGAAAUAAGAAUUAACCCACAGGACAUAAAGCAAAUUAGCAAUAUAUAAUGGCAAUACAUAAGUAUUUUAGCAUGCGAAAUUUUAUUCCUUGGCAAGAUUUCUAGUUAAUGUGGGAAGCUCAUUGUAUCAACUCCUAUCAAGAACAAAGGAAUCCACAAAAAGAAACAGUAGCUAUCCAAUGCCUAUAGCUACUCAUGAUACCUUGAGUACUAAAAACAGGUUGUACAUGAAACGAUCCUUAUGCAAAAAAAUAUUGACUGCCAUCGAAUAUAACUACCAUGUAUGUAGAUUCAAAAACUAACAAUUCAAUAGCUAAUUAAAUUGAUUAAAGACAACAUGCUUGACAGCAUCAAAGUAAUAUCAAAAUACUUGCCAACAAGAAUAUCUGCAUAGAAAGAAUCCUAGAAAGCUAUAGAUGCAAUAAUUUUGGCAAGCUCCAGUAAAAUAAUGAUAAACUCAUCAACCUACAGAAAAACAAUAAAAAAACACAAAAUGUACAUUAAUAUAUGCAUAUAAGUAUGACCGUCACAAACUCUGACAUUUCAAAUUCCUCUUAUUAGGGGUAGAACCAUGAACCAGAUUCAAGGGAUCAGCCUAUUUAACAAACAAAACAUGGAAGCAAAAAAUCUUACUUGACGUUUCUGCAGCAGGAAUUAAAAUCAAAAUCAGAUAUAUGGUACACCACUCAACCACUUAAGGAAUCAUAUUAAAAAAUGUUACUGUAGUCAGGUUAUUACCCAUAUCUGAUAUUAUAAGGCAUACUUCACCUUCCCAAAGAUUCUGACCACGUCUUCUUAUAAAACAUCAAGUACGCAUGUCACUGUGGAUAAAGUAACAAAGACAAACAAUUAGCUGACAUGAAAAAGAAUACCUUUAGGAUGUGCUUCGUUGACCUAACAACAAUCUCAGUGGAGCAUAUAUCCCAUAGAUGAGGCAAAUGCUUGAUCAUAUUAGCUACCUGACAAUAAAACAGUGUGAAUUAGUAUAUGGAAAGCUCGAGAUAAACACCAAUUAAAAAACGAAGUAUACUUUUCCAAGAUAUCGAAUGUUUAUCCCAUGAGCAUGGAGUGCAUCAGCUAAUGUUUGGCCAUCCAUAGGUGAAAUCUCAAGAGUGCAAAGAUCUUGAACACAUUUUGGGAUAACCACAUCCACGAGAUAAGAACCAGCUUUCCUAACAACUGAUUCAUCAGCAUUAAUUUCCUAAUGAUAGGAACAGAGUACAGCACACAAAGAUCAAAUUAGUGCCAAAAAGUACAGUAAGGUGAAACCUAUAGUAGACGAUCAAUUAUGCAAGUUUACCUCUUGGUCACCGGCCAUUUUAAAAUCAGUAAACACAUUCGGAUUCAGAAGUAUUUUGUCAGAUGAGAUACCAAGCACAAAAGGCGCAGGAGCACGUUCUUCAUCCGUAUUUGAGCUGUCUUCUACGGUAACCUGCACAGAGAUAUUUUUUCAAUCUUAGAACCAUAGCAAAUUCCUUUCAUUUUUUCACAUAAACUAUUGAAAGAAAUGAUGUUUCCUUACAUGAUGGUUUUUCUUGUUAGGUAUAACACAGGCACAUCCCAUGACUAAAGCCUGGUAUGUGCCUGAUUUGACCGUAUAAAUUUGUUAAUAUUAUGGGCAUCUGCCAAAGAAACCAGCCUAAUGACACACGGCAGCAUAGCCAGUAUGAUUAAUCCACACUUUAGUAAAUAAUUCCUGUGAUUAAAGGACCUAUGAGGUGGAGCAUGAACAUUUGCCUGGCUUAACUGCAUGUGGUGGCAUAGCCAGCUUAAUUAACCAAGCUUUACUAUGUAAUUAUUAUACUGGAUGGACAUUUAAAGUGGAACAUGUAAAUUUUUCUUUUGACUUCUUAGUUAUUCAACCAUACGUAGGCCAAUAUGUGCACAUUUUGAGCAAAUGGUGGACAAAGAACCAAUACAAAACCAAAGAAUCUGAGAGAAGAAAGCACCAGCCCCUUUGCUUUUGUGGAUUUGGAUAUAAUGGUGAAAUUAAAAGUUAAGAGGUGCCAUCAUAGCAAAUAAAUUUUCAUACUAGCAAAAAUAAAUGUCACACAGGACAUAUUCAACUUAAAGAAUUCACUUGGCAACUAAAAUAAUCCAUCAGCAUAAACAAAAGAAUCAAGAUCUGAUAUUAGCACUCACCGUUACAUCGCCACUGCUAAUAUCUUGAUUGCACGGGGCUUCUGGGGCCUGUGUUGUUGUUUUAGCACUAGAUUGUGACCUCUCUGCUGCUUCAGCCUGUAUGAAAUAAAUAAUGAUCGACUUGAGAACGAAUCUCUGGAUUUCAUCAUGAGAUAAAUUUUCUUACUGAAAACAAUUUUACCACACAAAAUGAAGCAACAAGCUCAGGCCUCAAGACACAAAAUCGGUGUGCUGGUCCAAUAUAAUUUGCAUCACGCGGAGUCACUCUCAUCAAAUCCAAAAGAUAGUGCCUAAGAAUAUUGCAAAAUAUCAGAACAUAUACACUAUGAAAAGUCUGACCCUAGUUACAUUAGUCUAUAUUGAAUAAUUUGCAUCAGGGGGAGGCAAUAGAAUGCAACGAUGAAAAAACUGUGGGGUUUUAUUUUAACUUGAAAAAUGGCAAUCUGCAAAAGAAGGAACCUAGAUAGAAAGCUGCUAAAGAACCAUUAAAUUCAAAAAAACCAUCACAAAUAAAAAGGGUGAUAUAGAAAUUGAAGAAGUCGUUGAGUUAAACAUGAAACAUACCAAAAAGAAUCAAACCCAUUGGUGCACAAUCAGAAAGCCCAAGCAUGGACAGGUACAGCCAAAUACAAGGGCAUGUCCUAUUAAAUAUUCUAGGAUACUCAAUUCACCUUCAAAUGUAUCCAAGCAUACAGAAGCAUCUUUAAGGCUGCAGCUCUGUCUUUUUUUAUGCCUGAAUUCAUCUUUGAACUAUGCAUGUGUUUCUCUCUAAAAAUAAUUACACACAGAAAGAUGAAGGGUCUAGAUAUCCUAAUAAACCUCCGGAAAGAAAGGAAAUUAACAUUUGCCUCCAGUUUUGGAAGCAAAUGAUCAACAGCUCUGCAUUUUCAAUUUUGAGAGCAUAAUUAUUGUAAAGAGAAAGCAAUUGUCGUAGUCGAGUAACCACUUCACUGACAUUCAAAAAGGUUGAUAUUUAUUACCUGUCAUCACUACCCACAAUACCCUUGCAUUCUACUGGAGCAGCUAAUUUGACAGCAUUUCCCGAACCAUCCAACACCAUGUGUUCCUUCAAGUGGAGGCACUUGGCUGCCUCUACAACCUAGAAAAAACAUUAGAUGAUAUGUCAUAAGAUUGCUCAUGGAACAAUAGAAUCAAAUAACAAAGUGAUGUAUGCAAAUAAUAAAAUAAAGAAUUAGAACUUUGAGAGAGUCAGAAGUAUACAUUAAUUUUACAUGAAAUUGUAUAUCUGUGAGCAUUUCAUCAGAAUCAUCAGCAAUCAAAUCUUUAACUGUGCUUAAACAAUUUUCAUUAUGAGAAAAUUGCAAUAGAAUGAUGGAAAUAUCUAAAGAUCCUUAUUAUUGAAGACUAUUUUACAUGAAUUCCAACAGUCCAUCCCCCAUCAAGAAUCUGUGUUUAGCUUCUACCACUGGAUUAUUUAUGCUGCUAAACCAAUCUCAAUUGUCAACGUUGCAAGGGAGCUAAACUUGAUAGGCAACUGACUCAAUAAUCUAAGUGAAAGCAGGAAAAUAUAAUUGUAGAUUGACCUCAUCCUAAAUUGGUUGCUUUUGCAACUAUCUGCAGAUAAGGCAGCUAAUAAGAAUAUAGACAAAGAUAUCACAAAAUCAGAAAAAGGAAGGAAAAAAAGGAAAUUAGGCCAAACAGAAAAACCCAAUAAAUGUUAAUUGUCUAAAGAAUAUUAUUGGUGACUCACCUUGGAAUGAAAUGAUUCAUUCCAAUAGAUCUUCUUUCCAUUGUCAACGGAACCAUACUGUAGGGAGUUUGAUUUAUCUCCUUGAAGGAUACCAGGAAUAAUGCUCUGAAAUCAAUGUACACUAUUAGAAAACUUGCCCAAAUUUCAUAGAAAAUAAUUUAACAAACUGAGUGUUGUUAAGAGUAAAAAAAGUCAGUCAACACAUGCUAAUAUUGAGAAAAUGGCAAAACCUCAUUGACAUAAGCCUCUUGGGUGAACAGUGUAGUCAGUUGUACUACUGAGAAAUCUCGGAAUAUAAAACCUCUACUUUCCUAUAAACCUAGGUGUACAGUAAGACAUACAAAGUACAAAAUCAUAAGAUCAAGAGCUCUCAAUUCCAGUUGGGCUUUUCAAGAAUACCCAUCAUGAUAUUAUUGUAGUGUCUUUCCAAACACUAGUUAAACUUUGGGUCUUCUGUCUUUGACAUAGCCUUUCAUUGCUUGAUUCUUUUUCUUUCAUUUAGUGGCGGAAGUAAAAGGCUACCUAAGGGAUACAAUACUUGGUCAACACACAGACAAGUUUAAUACUUGUAAAUUAGCACUCUGGACGCUUUCAGAUUUAUGAGGCAACCCUCCCAAUCGCCCAGAAAAAGGUGAGAGAACUCGUUUCCACAAUUUCCAUUGGGCAAUUUGAAUAUGGAGUACACAAAUAUUUUUUAACAAUGGAACAUAAAUAUCACUAUGGUGGCAAACAGAGAAAAGUUGAAUAAUAAUUCCUUCAAGACAAAAAGGAGAAGAGAGAGAGGAGGUAUAAAAGGAGGGUCCCCAAGUGCACCUGUGCUACCACUCUAUAGCCUCUGUAAUCAACUAUAGCCAUUGCAAGAUUAUAAAGUCCAGGAACAUCAGCUUCCUGGUAGGCUUUGGUUCCUUUCAGAUCAUUAUUUGCAGAAGCAUAUGUGGCCUGCUCACUAUCAGCAAUCUGCACCUCAGCAGAUGCAUCAGUCAUGAGAUCUGAAACACCUUGUUUUUGUUCUUUAUCUGGGCUCGUGGACAUACACAUGCUGGAGUUGGCAGUGGCCCCAAACAACUUAUUACCAGCGGUCCUUGCCGGAGGAUUACAUGAUACUUUGUCCUCACAGUUUUCAGAAACAUCUCUAGAGUUCAUCUGAACAUUUGGUUCUUGACUUUUGGACGUAUGUCCAAGGUCAGCAUCCACAGCAAAACUGAAGAAAAUGUUAUUAUGUACAUACCUAUAAAAAACAGAGCACACAAGUUUGUUAAGAAGGCCAUAGACUUAUCUAGAAACAUGUUAUUAAAGAUCAAAGCUUUAAAUACAUGUGGAAAUAAAGACAAACUGGAUAAGAAUGUGCUGAUGCCUGAUAGAAAGUGCACUAGUUGAAUAGCAGUAAAAGAUCUUGCAGAAAUAAACAGAUGAUUCAUCAUAAUGAAGACUAGCAACUGAAAUUUUGAAAAUGCUUUAUUUAUUCAACACCACCGAGGUUCAGAAAGGAGUUAAAGCCACUGAUAAAAUAAAAUGCAGACCCUUUUGGGCCAAUGUUGACAGGGAUAUAAUAAAACAUUUGCACUUGAGAAUUUACAAUAGCCACAAUGGAUUAGAAUAAGAACACUAAUUCAAAACCCAUAAAUUUCUAGUAAAUAACAGGCCAGUGUUCAAAAAUUCUAUCGUACAAACCAAUUACAACUUAAUAUGAAUAAAAAAGACACUAAAGAUUGACAACUGACAUAAUUUGUUAUGCUAACUAAACAAUAAUAACUGGGAGUAUAAAGUUUCUCCAACUAAAGUAAAUUUAUUACAAACAUGUUGACCGCUUGGCGGAAACAACAAAAGUUGACAGCACAGAAUAGCAUAACAGAACCUAAUGCAUCAAAAUGAAUUUUAAAUGAUGGCAAAUUCAUAUUCACCUUCAAAAUCAGGCUGUAAAGUAACUCCAUGAUUCCUCAACAUUUUGUUUCAUAGCCCAGCAUCAGUAGAGAAACAAAUAGUGGUUCAAAAUAAUACAUCAGAAAAAAAAAUUAUCAUGCUUUGAAUCUUUUCGAUAGGGUUAUUCUCAUGCUUCAGACUCAAACGAUCAAUGUAUAAGUUGAAAAUUUUACUAGAUAAAAAACUCUCUUCCCAGUCUCUUCCUACAUGUCACCUAUUUACUACUUUGCAACAACCAAGUUAUUAAUAUGUGACUACCUUCCCCUGCAAAUUAACGUUGCAAGAAGAGUCCUACUUGAAACUCCCAUGGCAAAUUUAUAUCACUCAAAAAUUACUUAUUUGAAAUUAUGAUAACCAAAUAGUUGAAUAUUGUAUGUAAAUGACGACUUCUAUAACAUAUAUGACUAAACGAAGUGUGAGGAAGCAUUUUGGGUUGCAUGGUUAAAGCCAGUUCAGCAGUCAUUGGGUUAGAGGCUACCAAGUUGGAACAACAAACAACUGAUCCCAGAGCAAAUUUAGGAUUUCUGGUGUGCAAGUUAGCGGGUUCAGUAGUGAAGAGGUAUACAAGGGCGAUACAAGGCCACAUCUGCAAAAUGAUUUUGAACUAUAUUUCAUGCUUUGAUCAGCUAGUCGAGCAUUUGAGUGAGAUUGUGAUGCCUCGGUCCUCAUUGAAAGUUGGUAAUGGGUGGUAAGUAAAAAUAAGAUUAUAUGGGCCUACUAUCAGUAACUUGGAAUUAUGCAUUUCAUGUCAUAUGAUCUAAGGCCUGCUAGUGCAAGUUAUUGGGCUACCAGCUGAUAGAUUGUGACAGAAAUCAUGAAUCAAGAGUCAUUUGAAUCUAACAAGGUUGUUAAAAUAAUUAAUAUAGCACUGAAAAACUUCAAAAGAAGAAACAAUGGGUCCAGAUGGUAGACUUCUACAAAUUUGCUACCCAAGUACUUAUUGGUUAAUGGCAUACAUUCACACUGCAAAAGAAAAAAAAGAGUGAUGCAUACUAAUCUGAAUUAACUUACAUAUGAAAACACUCAGGAUCUGUUGGAUUAAUAGGGGGAAUACAUCUGCUGAUGACUCCUAUUGCACCCUCGAUUGCUGCAUCAACGAAAUCACAAGUCACUUUAUAAAGAGCCCUUUCACGCAAUAUCCUGAAACAACAUGUUAACUUUUAAGUCAGAGAAAACUAAAAUGAAUAUUUUGUUAUACAACUUCAUAGAAAACAGUUCUGAGCACAAGAUCAGAAAACAAGUUGCACUACAGAAAGGUGAAGAGGAAAUCAAGAAAGAAUUUAAACCUAAUCCUGUGUAUAUAUGUACUUGAGUACAAAACAAACCUUUCUUGAAGAGUCUUAUGAGGAAACUCUCGACAUGACUGUAAUUCUUCAUUCCAAUCCCUUUGCAUGCCGAUAAGCUCGCUUCCAAAUGAAAGAGAAAGAGAAUCUUCUGCCCUUGCUGGGUCCCUUUUAUGAUCUGCAAAAGAUCAUUGGGUUCAUCUAAAAGAACUAUGGGUAAAGUUUAAUUGCUGAGCACAUAAGGACAAGUUGUUUUGCAAGAUAAAUGGCACCAAAAUUUGAAUGAUCUCCAAAAUAGCCAUCAACUCAUGCAAUAAAGAAGGCAUGUUCCCACUAAGACAAAGAGGAGACAAGAUUGAUUAAAUGAGGGUGAGAAGUAGGAACCACAAAAGUUGCCUCUCUACUGGUGGAAAGUUGUAUAAAUAAUUUUAUGAUGUAUCUCUUGACAAAUAGAUAUAUUUUAGUAGUAGCCUCAUCACAUCUAACUGAAAGCUCAAUUUACUUGCCGGUCUUUUACCAGUCAAUUAGAAUGACAUUUUUCCAGUCCAGAUUUCUUUUGACCUAUUGUCAUAGACUUAGUUAGAAUUGUCUAAGUCAUGACGCACCCUUGAGGCAAUGUCACGAACUUAGCUGGAAUUACCAGAGUCAUGAGGCACCCUUGCGCUAAUGUCGCAAACUUAACUGAGAUUGUCUAAAUUGUGAGGCACCCUUGCAUUAUCCGUUCGCAAAAGGUCAGCCUAGUUGUAACCUCGCUUAGAUCCCAAAGGACCUGUAAAAGAGCAAACAGAUUAGUUUGAAAGCGAGCGACGGACAAGUCCUGACGUCCCGCAAAGAAGACAACUUUAUAAGCAAUUCAGCAAACGCUCAAUGUGCAAGAGAGAAAAGAGAGGAAGGAAAAAACAAGGACUUUAGAAGACAAACGAACAGUCGUAAGACUGCAAACGACUGCCACUCGAGUGUUGGGCGCGAUGGCAGGUUCCCGUAGGCUUAACGUGCAAACUUGUGAAUCCAAUCAAUGCCUAACACUACUCCAAACCCCCAUCAGCCCUAUGCCACCCAGGGGUUUUCAGGGUUCUGAGAUGGUUAACGUUUCGCACAACACCACAACAUACAAAAAAUAGGCCAUGACACCUAAAAACUAAGCCAAUUUGGGGAUGUUCUAUUAUUCUGGUGAGCAAUCACUCUAUGGCGCUACAAACUGUUCCUACUCAUAAUUUUCCAACAAAAUCAUACAAAAACACCACAAAACACGCUACCAAACAUAUGUACAAGAAAACAAAAGUGACGAAUGGCCCGUUGACAAAGAUGUUACAGGUGCACAAUGAUCAUUUGUGACAUUCUCCCCCACUUAACUAUCAACGCCCUCGUCGACGCUUGCUGCUAAGCUUUGAUGACUGCUUCUUCGUGUCCCAGGGCCACUUCACCAAGAACUCGAUCAUCACUUAGCAGUUCAUCUAACAGCUUCCUAAGACUAUCACUUAGCAGUUCAUCUAACAGCUUCCUAUAAGAUUUGCCAACUCUGGAGGGGCCAUGCGGUAUGGUGGUCUCGCUGGAGGCUUCACUCCCGAUUCCAGCUCGAUGUGAUGAUCUACGCCACUGCAUCAUGGCAAGGUUUUUGGCAACUCAAGUGGCAUAACGUCGGUGAACUCCUUCAAAACGUCCGCCACUAUAGCAGGUUUAUGAGUAACCUCCACAUCAAAUGGCUCUAGUUUUACCGUGGCCACAAAAGUUAGUUUGCCCUUUUGCACCAACUUAUUUAGUUAUAGAGCAGAUAUUUGUCGUGGAUCCUUGGUUUCUCCUCAAUAAACAGGAACCACGAAGGGAUCGUCACUGCCCAUCAAGCAUAAGGAGUUUAGGAAUGGCAUUGGCGCCAACUUCGUUAUGUGCAUGAACUUCAUUCCAAGGAUUACAUGGAAGUCAUCCAACGGAACCGCCAUCAUAUUUGUGCUUCAGUUCCAUGUCCCAAUCUUGAUGAGGACCCCCUUUGCCAAUCUAGAUAUUUGCUUAGCCUCCGAGUUCACAGCCUUCAUCCGAUUUUGGUUCUUCUCCAAGUUCAGCCCAAGUCGCUUUGCUUCUCAAUCGGCAAUGAAAUUGUGGGUAGCACUCGUGUCCACCAUCGCACGGGUUGUUCGGCCAUUUAGCUUGAUGUCCAUGUACAUCAGCUUGCUACUCCAUGCUUCGUCUUUAUGUUCUCCCCUACUUGACCCCGUAACGCAUUCAACAAAGGCAUUAUUCUCAUCUAGGGUCCUUACAACUCCUCAUCAUCGUUGUUGAAUUUCGAACUACUAAAACUAAGGGCGACGACCUUGCCCUUGUCCGAUCUAGAGAGUGGAUUGAUAUUGUUAAUGCAUUAAGUGCUUACUUUUAUGGGCACUCCCUCACCAUGUAUGAUCUUUUGCACAAGAAGUAUCUGUCAGGUUUUGGGGCAUUGCCUUUUGAGCUUGGCCCUUUGUGAAAACUUCUUUUCUUUUGCUUGCUUCUAGACUCCUUCCCUUAAGAAUACUUGGAUGAGCGAUUUUCCAAAGAUUGUUUCCUUUUCCCCAAGAACUCCGAGGAAACAAAGUCGAUGAGCCUUUCCACAAUUACAAUUACCUAAAUCACAUUAGUGAUAUUCCUUCGAUGCAGUUCCUGCUGUGCCCACGGCUUUAGGCUAUCAAGGAAGCUGAACAACUUGUCCUUCUCGAGCAUAUCUUGUAUGUCCAGCAUCAGUGCAAAAAAUUGCAUUGGGUAGUCCCAAAUGAAGGUACUUUGGUGAAGUUGUCUCAGAUUCCUUCUUGUGAUGAACUCCACAUUCUCGAGUAGGAACUGAGUUAUCAACUCCCGCUUCAAGUCCUCUCAUGUGUCCACUCAACGCCAACCUUGUUGGAUCUCUUCCUUACGUGUUCACCACCAAAGUCUUGCAUCCCCAUUCAGAAACAUGGUUGCUAUCAAACUUUAGUUUCUUCAGAAUCGGCCCUCAUAGUUCGACAAUACUGUUUCAUGUCAAACAGAAAAUUCUCGAGCUCAUUCGCAUCCCUGACACCCUCCUAGUAAUGCGGCUCGGGUGCCCUCAAGUAUUGUGCAGAGCAACGAGAGGUGUUGCUCCCUCCCACAUUAAGAGCCCAUGUGAGAAAUGUAAUCCAAGACAUGAGCUCUACCACGACUUCGUGUAGGUGUUACACUGAGUCUUUCGUGUCUUCCGUCAAUCGAUCAACUCAGAACUCGACCUUGUCGAUCCAAGAUCCUCCUCCUUUUGCAAGUUCUCUACCCCAAGAAACCUUAGUUGGCCUUGGUAGAGUUCCUCUAAACUCGCUUCAAGAACGUCAAAGUGAGUUUCUACAGUUGUAAGCCUCUUCUAAUGGCUUCUUUUUUCGAUUGGUGCUAUGGAUUGUACUUCCUCCGCUCGCGAAGAAUAGCUAACUUCUCGCUUGUCUUGUUCGUUGUCACGCUCCUCUUGAGUAGCUACAACAGCAUUAUAGCAAGUUUGCACUUGCAACACACCUACGACUGCUUGGGGCAAUGGUCCAGCUUGCCCCAUCUUGCUUGAUUCACCAUGAUUCUUCACCAUAGUAAGGUGUUGAGAUGGCUAACAUUUCGCAUUGCACUACAGCCUACAGAAAAUAAGCUACGGCAUGCGAAAAUUAAGCCAUUUUGGGGUAGUUUUGCCCAUUCUAAUGAGCAAUUGCUUUGCAAUACUACAAACUGCUCCUAUCAAGGAUUGCAGUUCCGACCUGUGCUAGUGUACCAAGCCCAGCUCGGUACGUAAUCAGUAUACUCAAAAUCAUUAAAAAAAAUCUCCAAAAAUACCUAAAAAUAGAAAGAAAUAAAUAUAAUUUUAGUAUAAUUUUAACAAAAAUAUAUAAAUUGACUAAAUAUCGAUAAAUUCUGAUUAAAUCAUCAUUAAAAUCACUAAUCACAGUAUUACAAAAACUUAAUUAAAACCUAAUUAAAUCUAUUAUACCAUCACAGUGAUCCAAUCCUUAAUAUUCAUGAUAUAUAAAGAUUUAACUAUUUAAAUAUCAAAAUUCGAAAAUAAAAUCAAUAUUAAACACACUAAUCACAACAUUAAAGGCCUUAAUUACUCCCUAAUUAAUACAUCUUGAUUAAUUAAAGUGUUCUUCCUCUUAUUCCUCCCAACUUAACUUCCUAAAUUUGAUACAAUCCACAAAUUGUAACUUUGUUGAGUUUAGAAAAAUGAAAAUAUGAGAAUAAGAGAGAGAUGUGAGUGAAAAAGAGUUUGAGAGAGCUUAAGAGAUUAAGGGAGUAAAAUAAGUUAAAAGAGGCAGGAGGAAAGGGCUUAAAAACCCUUUUCUAAGCCUUAAACAGUCAAAUUGGCCAUUUGACAUAGGACAAUCUCAACCCUUGAUCAAUAACGAUCAAAAUCUGAUUGUUAUCGACCAGUACUGAUCGAUAACGAUCGGAUUUCGAUCGUUACUGCCUAGUACAGACUCCAUAUCACCCGAUACAAGGUCAAGUAAUCGAUACCACCCAGUAAAGGGCGACCCGUGUACCGGUAUCCUGUCAGACCGAUACAUAUCGCUUAUACUGGGCAAUACGCAUCGGCACAAUAAACCUUGGUUCCUACUCACUGUUUUCAAACAAAAACACACAAAAACAAGGCAAAACACGCUGUCAAACAUAUGUACAAGCAAGCAAAAGCGACAAACAAUACAUUGACGAAAAUAUUCGUGACACUAUAGCGCAAUAAAAAGAGGAUCUCCUGGCUAUAUUAUAUUUAGAUUAGCAGUAUGCUAGCAUUUGCAUUUUAAAAUCAAAGACUGUCUUGAAGGUCACAACAAGGUGUUCAGAAAGCAAUAGCAUCAGGAAUUUCUCAAGAAAGCAAACUAACAUGACAACAAAUAGGAAAAACUACACCAUGGAUGAAAACUCUCUUGGACCAUGUAUUAGGAAAUAGGAAGCACAGCGACCAGGGUGUAUGAAGAUAAAUGACAAAUAGAAGCAAACUCUAUCUUAUCUCAAUCUAAUUAGUAAAAAACAACCAGACUCCUUUAUGAUCAUGAGAAAUGAAAGAUUUAAGAGUUAGCAGUCUGCUGAUAAGUAGACUAGAAUGCACAGGAGACAAGUUGAUUUCAACAUUUAUGAGUUUAACUGUGAUAGUAGACCUACAUAUCUAGAAGAAAUACCUAGGGAAACUAUACAUAGAAAAUUUAUCCGGAAAAAUAAUGCAUCAAAUCAUAGAGGAAAGCGGUAAAAAAAUAGGAAGCUAAACAUGCAAUAUGUUAAUAUCACUCGUUACUAAUACCUGGAAUAGGAUAUACUCCCAACCAUGUAUUUGGUGGCAAAAGUGAUUGAACACUUUCAAAAGGAUGUGUAGAUGCUUUUCGGUCCAAAAUUUCCCGAAAACCUGCAACAAUCCUAUUAAACUGAGAAUUGAGAAUAACACGUAAAACUUAGCAAAACACACACAAACAUGAGCUACCUUUCUUGAACUUGGAGCUGAUCUUUUGCAACAAACCAAUUAGAGUGCUUGUCUCAUAAGCAGGCUUUAAUGGUCUAGGAUCCAGAAUUCUUGCUGUGCUAGAAUUCACAUAAAAACCUCGUGUGGUUCCUGUGAUGCAAUAUGUGUUUCCUUCUAGUGACACUACAUCCAUAUAAAUCAGAUCUCCAACUAAUCUACAAAAGAGAGGAAAAUGCCAAAGCACAUCAAAGUUAAUAUAAAGAUCAAAUAUACAAGACUAAACUUGCUUGUUAUAAGUUACUAAAAAAAGGACUGAACAAAUAAAUGGUUAUAUACAUUUUGGGUAUCAAAUUAAAAUCGAUUGAAACAAGACUAUAAUACUGCAUAAAAACAAAAAACCUGCAACACAACAUCUUUGCAUCAUCUACACUGCAGAUGUAAAAAUAUCAUGGUUUAUUUAACAGACAAGAUAGAAGGUUUGUCUAACUAAAUAUGGUAGGCCAUUAUGCCUGUGUAAAUGCAAAACAAAGUAAAUCUCAAGUACCAAUUCCUAUUAGUUCAUCAUAAUUUAUCACAUAAAGUUUUACACUUUAUGCAGAAUAUAGCCAACACAUGUUCAAUAUCUCAUGUCUGUUCUUUUUAGUUAUUUUUUAUGGGAAAUACAAAUACAGCACAAAAGUGGGUCCAAGGAAGAAAAUACCAGGAUACAAUUACUAUGAUUGGCUAGAGUCCACAAAAGUGAAAGAAAACAUCUCAGAAAAAAAAGGCUGUCUUGUUAAUCAUAUAGUGGAACAUUCCUAGAUUACACCAACAGAAAAAAAUAAAUUUUGAGAAAUCAUUAAUGUAUAUUUUAACAGAAUAUAUCACAAUAAAUCUGAAAUUUAUGUAAAAGCUAGGCAGUAAAAUAAGUCUUUUUUUUAAUUUAAACUACUUUGAAAAUCUUAUCUGUCUAUGCAGACCAUGAAGUUGCAUAUGCAUAUUUCAACUGCAAUUCUAAUGUGUACUGCUAUCAGGGGUACACAUGUAAUAAUAGCAAGGUCUUCAAUUUCAAAUAAUAUCGUCCGUACCGGGCGGUACAUACCAGUCCGUCAGUAAACUAAUACACAGACCACCUGCUACCUGACAGUAUUUUUUUACUUAUAAUAUAUAUAUAUAUAUAUAUAUAUAUAUAUAUAUAUAUAUAUGCGACGUCGCCCGACGUGGGGAGAAGAGAGGCGGCGUCGUUUUUUUUUACUUUUAUAAAUAUAUAUAUAUAUAGGCGACUUUGCCUCGUUUUACUACGACAUCGCCCCACAUGGGAAGAAGAGAGGCGAUGUUGCACCUUUUUUUCCACUUUUAUAUAUAAAUAUAUAUAUAUAAGAUUAUAUAUAUAUAUAUAUAUAUAGAGGCAACGUCGCCUUGUUUUUCUACGGCAUCGCCCCGCCUGGGGAGCAGAGAGGCGACGUCGCCUCGCUUGGGGAGAAGAGAGGCGACGUCGGCAAAAAAAUUUUAUUUUAUUAUUACUAUUAUUAUUAUUAUCGACGGUAUACCAAGCGAUAUAUCGCUCAGUAUACAAUAUCGUACCGUACCAAGCGAUUGUCGAAACUCCAGUACGAUACAAUAUUUCAAUCCUUGAAUAAUAGAAAAUUUAAGGUUUGCAUGUAUGUCGCUGAAAAAUGAUAGAAGACAAAAAUUAAAUCUGUGAGGAAUCUACUUCUACAAAACCUCAUGUUUCAAGAAAGUAUGAUGCAAUUUUAAACUUCUGCAGAGGUAAGUAAGCAAUUUUUUGCCUUUAUCUUUUUUAUCCUUUUAAUUAAAGGUUCAUGAUUAUAGAAUGUACAUCUAAAGAAGCAAAAACCAAGAGUUAAAUUGAAAACUAAGUAAAGAUCAAUUAACAAUUAGACGGAAACUCAACAAUAAAUAUUAGAAAUACUAAAACAGAACAAAGAAGGUUAAACAGAAAGCAAUUUACCUCCUGUAACUUGGAGGAGGGUUAAAAGUGGAGAAAAUGAUGCUCUCAACACAUUUGAUCUCCUUAGGUGAGGGCGAUGACAGCAGAUCAGAAAGGGCACCAGUAAUAUCCUCCAUGAAUCCUGGUCGAUCAGUCUCUGCAGAUUCCACUUUCACAGCAUCUGUAUAACAGAAGAUUUAUAAUCAGAGUAAUGAAAAAAAUAAAACAUAGCUGCAUUGGAGAAGAAUUCUUCCACACAGGGAAUAUAUGAUAAAAAAUAACAAACAUAAAAUAGAUACUGAAAAACAAGAAACAACCAACAAAACAAAACAAGGGAUACUCCAACAACUAAAAAUGGUGACCAGAAAAAGUAAUAUUACAAAUGCUGGACAGCAAUGCAGAAAUACAGACCUGAAGUUUUUUGUUGUGUGUUUUCAUGCUGCAAAGCCAGCAAUGUCGAUAAGGAUGGCUGCAAACUUGCAAGAGAGAGCAAUUCCCGGCAACGAUGGAUAUGAGACCGGAUGGAUCUGUCAUUGUAUAAUGCUGCAAAAUAGAAACAAUUGUCACCCAUUAGGCUGAUCAACUCCACAAAAAUCAAUGAAGAAAAAACAGUGGUAACAAUGUCUACAUCAAGCUUUAAAUAGUGCUGCAAAAUAGAUCAAUCGUCACCAGUUGGGCUGACGAACUCCACAAAGGCCAAAGAAGAAGAAACAGUUGUAACAAAGUCGACAUCAAGGUUUAAAAUUCACGAUCCGAUGCUGAUACUGGUCAGCAGCCAGGCCAGAACGGUUAUCAUAUGAAUCAAUGUGCUGACACUCAGUAUAAAGUCAGUACUGUCAGCACCACCCUAACCAAACAGAGAGGGAGAGAAGAGGAAAGAGGAAGAUAAGUAGAAGAGGAAAGAGGAAGAGGACUAGGAGGAGAACACAACGGAGGACGAUCAUCAAUCGAAAAGGUGAUGGUCGUGAUGGAGGAGAGGCAAAGGAAGUGGCAUACCAGAUGUUGAGUGAUAACGAUUACGAGGAAGCAACAGUGACAGCGACGAGGAGAAAGAGCAGGGGAAACACACACACACACACAAAACACAUGAGAGAAAGAAAAGGAAAGAGAGAGCACACCUCAAAACAGAAAGAAAGGAAAAAAAUAAAAGAAAAAGAUGGUUCUCAUAAGUUAUCAAAUAAAAAAAAAGAUAAGAGGACUAGGCAAUAAGCCUCCCGCCUGAUAUGCCCAGUUCCAAUGGUCAAGACCAGCAAUAUGCCCUGGACAAUAAUCAUACCAGGUGGUAAGCCCCACACAAAUAGGUUCUGAGCAAAACUCAAUGGCGUGCUUACCAAUUCACAUUUGGAACGGUAAAUACCAGAUAGUACCUACCGGUAUUUCUGAUUUUGAAUGCCCUAGUCUAUAUACCUGCAACCAUCUCUAAGGAGCAACCACCGGCAGUAAUAUCUGCAACUUCAGAAAUUUCAUUGUAGUCUUCUAAAUGAUGACUGGAACCAUCUUUUGUAUGCAAAAACAAAUCAUAGCAAGUAAAGAAACAAGUCUCUGGAGCAUCAAGAAGGAACUGUCUGACAUCCAUCACAGAAUCCCCUGGGCUUAGCUGAAAUUCAAAACCAAAGUUGCUGUGUGAAGAGCUAGGCUUAGCUAAAAUUCAAAACCAAAGUUGACAUGUGAAGUGCAAAAUGACAAAGAGAAAUAAUUUUAAUUUGCCACACAGUCGUCAAAAAGGUGCAUGAAUAAGCUGAAUUUUGUCACCGAAAGCAACAUAAGAGACAGCAUGACGGCAGUAAGAAAAAAACAAAUAAUCUACUUUCAUUCCUAUUUGGUGUAAGCCUAAUAAACAUUGCAAAGAGCAAAAUUUUCAGGAUUACAAGCCAGGUUGCAUCUUUUAACAAUCCUAAAGUAACAUCAACUCUCAUCAGCAUGAGGUUAGCUGUGGUGCGCAAUGCACACUAUAAUGCGGUGCUCCAUAAAAGGUUCACCAGAGUCUCACAACUAGUAAUGUCAACCCUCUAACUGGUUCCAAAUCCUAAGCAAAACCAAUACCAUUGAGGAGCUAGGAGCUCACCAGAUCACUAUAUGACAAAUUUGCAGGAAGCAUGAUCUAACAUCAUUUGUAGCAAGUUUGAGUUCAUAUAAACAAUAAAACAGAACAAAACAAACACCUCAAAAGGCAUCAUACUUGAAUCGCUUUGAAUUGUUAUAACAAUGUUAAAGACUCCCAAGUUAUUUACAAAAAAAUAAGCAUGUCCAUCCCUGAAGACAAUAAGAAAUUGUGUGAUGCACACACAAUCUAGCAACAUGGAUGUUCAUAUAAUGGAAUGUGCACUAAACUAUCUGCAAGUGUGAAUUAGAAUGCCAAGAACAAAGCUACAAUAGUAGAAUUAUCAAAUAAAGAAAUAAAUUUGGAAAAAUCUAGUUCAUUCAGUAGUUGCAUGUCAUUCCAAAAAUAUCAACACGUAGCAAAAAGAAAAUGGCAACAGCAUCUAUCUUGAAGCAACUAACCUGCAACUCUAGUUUCUCACCAGAAAGUGCCUUGACUGGCACAGGGUAGAGAUGAAGAUCACCUGCAUAGCAGAGCAGGGAAAAGGUAAUUGCUAACUUCAGUUGUAAAGCCCCAGUAAGAAACUAAUUGCAGUGGCAUUUAGGUGCUUGGAAGAACAUAUCAAAUACAUGUAUCACAUGUUAUAAACAAGUUCAAUUUAACAAGUAUAGAGUAUAACUUAUUUGUUACAAACAUAUCAAACAAGUAAAAGAAUCUGACAUAAACAUCAAAAUAAUAAUUUUCCCAUAUGUUACAUGCCACAAAAUCAGCUAAGCAUUUUGGCUAUAGAACAUUUUUGUGCAGACAGCAAGUUGCUUUUAAUUAAGAAAACACAACACCUUUGCAGUCUCUAACAACCCUCACCUACAUUGUGGUCGUGGACAUCAACGAGCAAACUGAUGAACACGCAGAAAUUGCUUCUUUUUGACAAAAAAAUCACUUGAUCUCCAAAAAAAAGGCAAGGAUAUAUGAAAGGAAGCACUUCAACAAAUUGAAAAUAAAAAAAUACACCUUCAGCCUGCUUUGUAGCUGUUGCUGGAGCAUCUCCCUUCUGUGCCUUGUCACCCACACUACCAUCCGUUGCAGGAGUUCUACUUGCCCCUUCGACUCCAUUGGCAUCACCAUUAGAUGCUUCCACAGCACCCGAACCAUCAUGGGAUAAUGCCGAUGAAUCUAGUGGCUUCAGUUGUGAUUCUGCUGAACUCAGGGAAUCGGAAUUCAAUGUUCUCCCCUUAUUCUUUCCCUUAGAUUUUCCAGCCAUCUGUUUUGGUGAAAUGUCAAUUAGAAAACAUGUACUAGUUUAUUCAGUAAACUCCCACUAUAAUCAUGAUUCCUUGCAGGGGAAAGAAGAUGAUAACCAACAAUGGCACAGAAACUCCUUGCCUCAGUUAAAAAAAAAAGACCACACAACUCCUCAAAGAGCUACCGAACAGAACGAGAAGAGAAGAUAUAUUUGCAAAAGAUCACCCAAAAAUGGAAAAAGCAAAACAAGAACAGGAAAGAAUUCGCAUUCAUACGAAUACACAACUUCUGCAUACUAAGUUAAUGGAGACAGUGUUUCCAUCGGUCAUACUUCGGCAUGCCAAACGCGCCAACAAAAAAUCCAGAGCAAGUAAUUAAUGGAUCGAAAACAACAAAUUAAAUAAGAGUAGCAGUAGCCAGACACUUUCCCACAAUACAGCAGGUGCCAAAAGCGCUCCUGACUGACAUUCGAUCAGCAGACACAACCAUUUGGCGAUCACAGGAGUUCACUUAAUGAAAAACACGAAAGAAAAGAUCGAAACCCAAAUCCAAUGGAGAAAAAGAAAGGACAACAAUAGGAGUGCAAUAUAGAAACUCUUGGUCAAUACUACUGGGGUAAAUCAAACCAAUCCCACUAAACAAUUCGGCAAAGCAUGCAAAGAAAACGUACAAUAAUCAGAACACUUCGAUUGAGCUACAUGACUCUAAAAAAAAAAAGAACGAACGAUCGGUGAGGAAACUUCUUCCAGAAGGGAGAGCGAAAGGGAGGCAGAAGAUUACCGAGAAGCUAAAGAAACAGGAGGAAGCGAGGAUUAGUUGGAACGGGAGAAAGAUAGGGAAUUUUUGGGAGAGGGGCGGGCGUAGGGGAGAAGAAGAGGAGAAGAGAGAGCGGGAGGGGAAGAGGCGGCGGCUCCGAGUGAAAUGAUGAUGGAAGACCUUCCUGUGUCUUUGGUGUUUUAGGGGAGGGGGGCCGUUUUCGAAAUUGGCCCAUCCAUUUAUCUUGCGAUCAACCGAACCGUCCCCGACGAUCGCACCCAUAUCGCGAUUGCACCAGGCUGCGGUGGCGGGUCCCACGUGAGCCCCGCUGUUUAACCGGCUUAACCACGCCGAUGGUGCAACACGUGGGAGUAAGCAGCAAAAACUGGGUUCGGAUGUGCGUAGGCUUUCCUUCGCUUUGCACAAGGUUUUGUGUGUGGCCAUGCUACCCGUUCGGGGUGCACUCCCUCAAUCACCCCUGGAACCUUUCCGGGGUGAUGUAGUCUCCCAGGGUGGGACGCUGACGAGUCGUUUUCUGCCACAUGGAGUUGCCCCACACGAGACAACACUUCCAUUGUGGGGCCCACACGAGUGGGGCUGCGGGAGCUGGAGUCGCGUCACCCCUGAAGCAUUACGUUGCACCAUAAGAAGUCAUACGCAUCUCGGCUCUUUAAUAUGCCACCCAAAUCAUAUCAAUCUUGCUGUGCUAAGCCUGUUUGAUGUUUCUUGAAUGUCUGAUACCAUUUGCAAUAGUAUUAAUAACGUUAUCCGAGAUUUUAUGUAGGGAAAGGGGGAUAAUUCUAGUGGCUUACAACAGGUCAUUCAUGCGAAAUAGAACAAUUUUCCUUGUGGAGUGUUCAUGCGAAAUGAAAUCAUGUUCUAUCAGACUAAAAAGACACUAUCCAAUAUUGCUACUGAGGAAUGACAGUCUGUGAAGAGAAGCCCUUCAGGCAGGCGGUGAGGGACGGCCUCAUAUUUACAUGGGUUAGAGACGCAUGCUCGCAAAACUGGCAGCAUCAUCAUCAGCAGCAGCAGCCCGAGACUAAGCAGAUGAGAGUGGUGGCUAAGAAGGGGAAACGAAAUCUUCCGCUCAUCGCAUCGAGAUGAGAGUGCGCUUGGCCCGUUUCGCAGGCGGCAUCGGCGACCUCUUCAGGUUCUCCGUCACAAGCCUCUCCAUCUCACCGAUAUAAAUCUCCAAGUUCUUCUCGUAUUCGGUUGGUUGAUCGGGUGGAUCCUCCCUAGGAGAUGAGGCGUUGGAAGACGAACAUAUCUGGGGUGGUUGCUCCGUUGCAGAAACGGAGGAACUGCCGGCAGCUGCAGGGAUGGAAGAGGAAUCGAGGAGACCCUUCUCAACUGCUGCUGGUUCAGGGUCGGAGGUCCUUUGCCGGGCCGUAGCAGCAGCCCUUACACGCAUCCUUCUCCGCUCCAAAGCAUUGACGAUGACGGUGAUAUCGCGGAGAGGCGUACGAGGAUACCACUCGGGCAGAGGACUCUUCCUCGUCCGGCCACGGCGUCGCGCUGCCCGCGACGGGGUGACGUUCUCCUUGUCGUCGGUGGCGAACACCACACUCUGGACACGCGUUGAUCUCGAUCCCGUCCUCGACGCUAGGUAAGCAGCCCUCCGGAUCCAGAACCCCAGGUUGGUGGCACUUCCCGUGGUCUCCCUGCCCCGAUUCACCCCCUGCCUCGUCUCGGCCAUUCUUUCCACCACUGCGACCGCACACAGAUUCCGCCAUUAAAACCAAAGAAUUAGAGGAGAAGAUCACGUGUAAUGGCUUUCACUCAUUGAAACCCCAACUCUUACCGAAUUAGCUUCCGAUUCUUCUCUAUUUCUUUCUUCUUUCCUGCCGAUCACAGAUAACACUCAAGAUCCUUUUCUUCUCUUGGUCCCCUUCAAGUCCCAAACAAGGAGAAAAGCCUGAGACAAACUAACGAACAAAGAGCAGCUUGCUAAGUAUUAUUUCUUACCAAAAAAGGCUUCAGAUUCUCCUCCUUUUACUCCAAACUCCCAACUCAACACAAAAGAGACCAAAUCAGACCCAGGAAAGGCAAGAGAGAUGGAAGGAAAAGCAUUCAAGAAAACUGCUUCAGAUCUCUCGCUUCCUCUUCCUCUACCCCUUCCCCGAUCUCCUCUUCUUCGUCGUCCGAGAUGGUGAGCGAGAUAAGAUCCGGAACUGGUGGCGUCGAGAUCGGCGAUUGGUCAGCGGCUGGGUAAGUAAGAACAGACGGGUUCGAUAUAUGUGGCGGACUCCAAACUACGGCUGAAAUGUUGUGCGGGGUGGGUUACGAUCACCGCGCGGUCGAGUUCCGCCCCCAUUUCAAAAUUUCAAAAUUAGGGAAUGGGCGGUGACCAGAUUUUGUCGGGUGGCAGACGCGCCGAAGUACAACUUAUUCAAGUUUACUAAAGAUGCUACAGGAAAACAGCCGACUAAUCCAUGCCAUUGACCUAAUUACUCUAUUUUAUUCUCAAAGAAAGAUAACAAGAGAGAGUAAUUCUUGGGUUUUACUGAACUAAUUACGUAUUAUUUCUAUAAUUAGUUAUCUUUAAUAUCUCGAUAUCUAUAUUUACAAAGUAAAUUAUUUAAUUUUAAUAUUAUAAUAAAUUUUUUUUUAAUUUUUAAUCUUACAUAAGAAUUUUAAUAUUUUAUUUUCAUAAAUAUAAAAUAUAAAGACUCAAUAUAACUUUUAAAUAAUAUAAAAAUAAGAUACUAAAGAUAACUAAUUACAAAGAUAAUAUAUAAUUAGUUCGAUUUUACAUGUCUCUCAAUGAUCAGCAUCAAUAUAAUAACAAAGGAUUAUCCUAUAAAAUAUUCUAAAAUAUCGAAUGAUUUAUUAUCUCAGUAUUGAUAUCAAGAUAGUAUGUCAUAGCUUAAUUUCAUUAUUUUUUUGGUUCAUCAACAUCAGAACAUUAUUGUGUCAUUAAUAAUGGAUUUUAAUCUCUUGAUCAACAAAUAAUGUUAUUAUAGAGAACACAAAUAAAUGAGCUUUAGCCACGAAAGAAUUGUAGAUUUAGUACUGCAUGCGAUUCACAUAUCAACUCCAAGCAAUCCCAUCCGACCUCUCUUUCGAAACCACGUAGAAAGAAAGAAGGCAGACCGGAGCUGAUGACACUCACAGAAGAAACAAAGCACAAAUGCAACGUGAAAUGGAUCGCAAGCAACGAUGGCUGCCCUUCCGUCCUCCUCCCUGUGGGGUCACUGCAAGUAGAAGGCGAAGAAGGAGAGGAGGGAGGCCCCGAUGGCGGCGCCGACGGCGGGGGUGGCCGCGAAGGACGAGCUGGUGGGGGAAGGAGCCGGGGCGUCGGCCGCAAGGGCGCCGGCGGCAGAGGCGGCCACGACGAGGACGGCGCAGGCGAUCUUUCUCAUCUCCAUUGCUGGUGGCGAGAAAGAGAGGCUUAUUCUGAUCUCGUGGCAGCUGCUGCUCCUUCUUCUUGGUGUCGUUCACAUGCCUGAGGAGGGAUUUAUAGGGUGCGGGAAUGGCUGGGAUGGAUGGGCAGUCGGAGAGGCUGGAAGAAGGUUUUGUGGCCUUCCCGUUGUUUAAGGGCAGCAUGCGGUGGAUAUGUGCUGUAAGGUAGGGUUGGUCUUCUCCUUUUUACGUGCAGGCAUGUGCAUGAGAACCGGACACUCUGCAACAGCCAAGAAGGCUUCUUUCUUUUAAGACUGCUUUCAUUUGACACCCUCUUAGGGAAUGAUUUCUGCCAUUGGAAGCUUUUUUUGGAAGCAAAAAUAGUCUCUGGUGCACCUCAACAAAGAUGACAAGUACUUCUAUAUUACUCUUAUGAUCAUCAUUAGUAAAAACAUCUUUAUGUAGGAACAAUUUAUUUAGUUUGUUAAUAAUCCUUAGCUGGUAGGUGUGCAAGCAAGGAAAAUAAAACCUUAGCUGGAAGAACACCAACAGAUCAUUGUGUUUAUCACCAACCUGAUCACAAGUCACAUGCAAUUAUGAUUGAUGGUCACACUAAAAGACAUUAAUCUUGGUAGAAUAAUUAUGAGUGAUGCUGCCUGGUUUUCAUGUGUAGGAAGGUGGAUAAGCUCAAGCAGAGGUUGAGGAACAAAAGAAUCAAGUUGUUCUCUAUAAAUGAUUGAGAAAAGAAAUGCACCCUCCUAUUAUUAUGAACUCAACAAAAGAUCAGUUCAACUAUGAACUGAACCAAAGUCGAACCUUAGGUUUGAUUGACCGAAACCAAGUCACAUCGAAAGAGUUCGAUUAGACCCAAACUCGCUCGAUCGUGUAUGAUCACAUCAUCGAAGAUAGUGAUAGAUUCUGUCUGCCCUCGUCUUCUUCUUCUUCUUCUUCUUCAGAUACCUGCAGGGUAUACGUGGACGGAUGUCCUGUGCGAGGGGUCGUGUGUGGCUUUCAGGCUGCUCGUUAUCCAUUCGCUCACGUACGCACGAACGCAUCAUUUUGAUCUCUGUCUACUUCUUCCUCUUCUUUUUUUCUCAGUGAAGAACAAAGAUUCGAAGCUGUGGCUGUCCUCCUUCAAAUGAUGCCCACCGCAGGAAUCCUCUUAUCCAUCAUCUCCUACGCAUCCCCCCUCGCCCUUCCUCGUCUUCACAUACAAACCGCUGCUUCUUCUCCUGGCCACUCCUCCUCCUCCUCCUCCUCCGGCGCUUGAAGCAGUAGUAGAAGGGUACAUCCCUCUCUCUCUCUCNNNNNNNNNNNNNNNNNNNNNNNNNNNNNNNNNNNNNNNNNNNNNNNNNNNNNNNNNNNNNNNNNNNNNNNNNNNNNNNNNNNNNNNNNNNNNNNNNNNNNNNNNNNNNNNNNNNNNNNNNNNNNNNNNNNNNNNNNNNNNNNNNNNNNNNNNNNNNNNNNNNNNNNNNNNNNNNNNNNNNNNNNNNNNNNNNNNNNNNNNNNNNNNNNNNNNNNNNNNNNNNNNNNNNNNNNNNNNNNNNNNNNNNNNNNNNNNNNNNNNNNNNNNNNNNNNNNNNNNNNNNNNNNNNNNNNNNNNNNNNNNNNNNNNNNNNNNNNNNNNNNNNNNNNNNNNNNNNNNNNNNNNNNNNNNNNNNNNNNNNNNNNNNNNNNNNNNNNNNNNNNNNNNNNNNNNNNNNNNNNNNNNNNNNNNNNNNNNNNNNNNNNNNNNNNNNNNNNNNNNNNNNNNNNNNNNNNNNNNNNNNNNNNNNNNNNNNNNNNNNNNNNNNNNNNNNNNNNNNNNNNNNNNNNNNNNNNNNNNNNNNNNNNNNNNNNNNNNNNNNNNNNNNNNNNNNNNNNNNNNNNNNNNNNNNNNNNNNNNNNNNNNNNNNNNNNNNNNNNNNNNNNNNNNNNNNNNNNNNNNNNNNNNNNNNNNNNNNNNNNNNNNNNNNNNNNNNNNNNNNNNNNNNNNNNNNNNNNNNNNNNNNNNNNNNNNNNNNNNNNNNNNNNNNNNNNNNNNNNNNNNNNNNNNNNNNNNNNNNNNNNNNNNNNNNNNNNNNNNNNNNNNNNNNNNNNNNNNNNNNNNNNNNNNNNNNNNNNNNNNNNNNNNNNNNNNNNNNNNNNNNNNNNNNNNNNNNNNNNNNNNNNNNNNNNNNNNNNNNNNNNNNNNNNNNNNNNNNNNNNNNNNNNNNNNNNNNNNNNNNNNNNNNNNNNNNNNNNNNNNNNNNNNNNNNNNNNNNNNNNNNNNNNNNNNNNNNNNNNNNNNNNNNNNNNNNNNNNNNNNNNNNNNNNNNNNNNNNNNNNNNNNNNNNNNNNNNNNNNNNNNNNNNNNNNNNNNNNNNNNNNNNNNNNNNNNNNNNNNNNNNNNNNNNNNNNNNNNNNNNNNNNNNNNNNNNNNNNNNNNNNNNNNNNNNNNNNNNNNNNNNNNNNNNNNNNNNNNNNNNNNNNNNNNNNNNNNNNNNNNNNNNNNNNNNNNNNNNNNNNNNNNNNNNNNNNNNNNNNNNNNNNNNNNNNNNNNNNNNNNNNNNNNNNNNNNNNNNNNNNNNNNNNNNNNNNNNNNNNNNNNNNNNNNNNNNNNNNNNNNNNNNNNNNNNNNNNNNNNNNNNNNNNNNNNNNNNNNNNNNNNNNNNNNNNNNNNNNNNNNNNNNNNNNNNNNNNNNNNNNNNNNNNNNNNNNNNNNNNNNNNNNNNNNNNNNNNNNNNNNNNNNNNNNNNNNNNNNNNNNNNNNNNNNNNNNNNNNNNNNNNNNNNNNNNNNNNNNNNNNNNNNNNNNNNNNNNNNNNNNNNNNNNNNNNNNNNNNNNNNNNNNNNNNNNNNNNNNNNNNNNNNNNNNNNNNNNNNNNNNNNNNNNNNNNNNNNNNNNNNNNNNNNNNNNNNNNNNNNNNNNNNNNNNNNNNNNNNNNNNNNNNNNNNNNNNNNNNNNNNNNNNNNNNNNNNNNNNNNNNNNNNNNNNNNNNNNNNNNNNNNNNNNNNNNNNNNNNNNNNNNNNNNNNNNNNNNNNNNNNNNNNNNNNNNNNNNNNNNNNNNNNNNNNNNNNNNNNNNNNNNNNNNNNNNNNNNNNNNNNNNNNNNNNNNNNNNNNNNNNNNNNNNNNNNNNNNNNNNNNNNNNNNNNNNNNNNNNNNNNNNNNNNNNNNNNNNNNNNNNNNNNNNNNNNNNNNNNNNNNNNNNNNNNNNNNNNNNNNNNNNNNNNNNNNNNNNNNNNNNNNNNNNNNNNNNNNNNNNNNNNNNNNNNNNNNNNNNNNNNNNNNNNNNNNNNNNNNNNNNNNNNNNNNNNNNNNNNNNNNNNNNNNNNNNNNNNNNNNNNNNNNNNNNNNNNNNNNNNNNNNNNNNNNNNNNNNNNNNNNNNNNNNNNNNNNNNNNNNNNNNNNNNNNNNNNNNNNNNNNNNNNNNNNNNNNNNNNNNNNNNNNNNNNNNNNNNNNNNNNNNNNNNNNNNNNNNNNNNNNNNNNNNNNNNNNNNNNNNNNNNNNNNNNNNNNNNNNNNNNNNNNNNNNNNNNNNNNNNNNNNNNNNNNNNNNNNNNNNNNNNNNNNNNNNNNNNNNNNNNNNNNNNNNNNNNNNNNNNNNNNNNNNNNNNNNNNNNNNNNNNNNNNNNNNNNNNNNNNNNNNNNNNNNNNNNNNNNNNNNNNNNNNNNNNNNNNNNNNNNNNNNNNNNNNNNNNNNNNNNNNNNNNNNNNNNNNNNNNNNNNNNNNNNNNNNNNNNNNNNNNNNNNNNNNNNNNNNNNNNNNNNNNNNNNNNNNNNNNNNNNNNNNNNNNNNNNNNNNNNNNNNNNNNNNNNNNNNNNNNNNNNNNNNNNNNNNNNNNNNNNNNNNNNNNNNNNNNNNNNNNNNNNNNNNNNNNNNNNNNNNNNNNNNNNNNNNNNNNNNNNNNNNNNNNNNNNNNNNNNNNNNNNNNNNNNNNNNNNNNNNNNNNNNNNNNNNNNNNNNNNNNNNNNNNNNNNNNNNNNNNNNNNNNNNNNNNNNNNNNNNNNNNNNNNNNNNNNNNNNNNNNNNNNNNNNNNNNNNNNNNNNNNNNNNNNNNNNNNNNNNNNNNNNNNNNNNNNNNNNNNNNNNNNNNNNNNNNNNNNNNNNNNNNNNNNNNNNNNNNNNNNNNNNNNNNNNNNNNNNNNNNNNNNNNNNNNNNNNNNNNNNNNNNNNNNNNNNNNNNNNNNNNNNNNNNNNNNNNNNNNNNNNNNNNNNNNNNNNNNNNNNNNNNNNNNNNNNNNNNNNNNNNNNNNNNNNNNNNNNNNNNNNNNNNNNNNNNNNNNNNNNNNNNNNNNNNNNNNNNNNNNNNNNNNNNNNNNNNNNNNNNNNNNNNNNNNNNNNNNNNNNNNNNNNNNNNNNNNNNNNNNNNNNNNNNNNNNNNNNNNNNNNNNNNNNNNNNNNNNNNNNNNNNNNNNNNNNNNNNNNNNNNNNNNNNNNNNNNNNNNNNNNNNNNNNNNNNNNNNNNNNNNNNNNNNNNNNNNNNNNNNNNNNNNNNNNNNNNNNNNNNNNNNNNNNNNNNNNNNNNNNNNNNNNNNNNNNNNNNNNNNNNNNNNNNNNNNNNNNNNNNNNNNNNNNNNNNNNNNNNNNNNNNNNNNNNNNNNNNNNNNNNNNNNNNNNNNNNNNNNNNNNNNNNNNNNNNNNNNNNNNNNNNNNNNNNNNNNNNNNNNNNNNNNNNNNNNNNNNNNNNNNNNNNNNNNNNNNNNNNNNNNNNNNNNNNNNNNNNNNNNNNNNNNNNNNNNNNNNNNNNNNNNNNNNNNNNNNNNNNNNNNNNNNNNNNNNNNNNNNNNNNNNNNNNNNNNNNNNNNNNNNNNNNNNNNNNNNNNNNNNNNNNNNNNNNNNNNNNNNNNNNNNNNNNNNNNNNNNNNNNNNNNNNNNNNNNNNNNNNNNNNNNNNNNNNNNNNNNNNNNNNNNNNNNNNNNNNNNNNNNNNNNNNNNNNNNNNNNNNNNNNNNNNNNNNNNNNNNNNNNCUCUCUCUCUCUCAUAACAUAGACAUGUUUUAUAUGUGCAUAGAACUCCAAAAGUCUCUGGGUUUGGUUCUAAAUUUCUCCUUCGUUUUGCACUACGAACACCAUGCAUGCAAAAUGGGGCUACAACUACUUCUACUCUUCCUUCUCAUCGAAUAAGAAAUUUCUUAGGUGUCUACACUGAUAGAGGAAAGAGAUGUUUUUUAUAGUCCGAAGCUGUGGUAGAAUAUAAAAGAUUUAUUACGAUCUCUUCGACGACGACGACGACGACGGAGGGUCAGAAAAGACAGUGAAAAGAGGAGGAGGAAGAAGAAGAAGUAUAAGUGCUUGCAUGUCUGCAUGCACUGCCCAUGCAUCACUGAAGCACAGGAAAUGUCACACGGCUAACCAUCCUUGUGUUCUCUCAGGUGAGCAGUCCCCUUCGUCACCAUGGACUUCGUCUAUGGACCAGGGAAGAACCACCUCUUUGUUCCGGGGCCGGUCAACAUCCCCGAGCCAGUGAUUCGAGCAAUGAACAGGAACAACGAGGACUACCGCUCCCCUGCCAUCCCUGCCCUCACAAAGACCCUUCUCGAGGACGUCAAGAAGAUCUUCAAGACAACAAGCGGCACCCCCUUCUUGAUCCCAACAACAGGCACAGCAUCGUCCAUCCAUCCAUCCCUCCACUUGUACUACUUUGCCGUUACCGCAUCGGCUUCCUUCUAACAACGGGUUCUUGGAUCAGGUACUGGUGCCUGGGAAAGUGCCCUUACCAACACUCUCUCGCCUGGUGAUCGGAUCGUCUCUUUCCUCAUCGGCCAGUUCAGCCUCCUCUGGAUCGAUCAGCAACAACGCCUCAACUUCAGGGUUGAUGUCGUAGAGAGCGAGUGGGGGCGAGGUGCCGAUCUUGAUGCCUUGGCAUCGAAGCUGGAAGCUGACCGGUCUCAUACCAUCAAGGCUGUUUGCAUCGUUCACAACGAGACCGCAACCGGAGUCACCAAUGAUCUGGCAGCCGUCAGGAAAUUGCUCGGUACGCAUCUAAUCUAUUCGAUGAAAUUACUGUGAUAAGUGUGCAGAAUGUAAAUGUGCAUCACAUCCCAAUUCAUAUGAAUAAGUAUCUCCAUUUAAUCUUCCUUAAUUUUCUUCCUUAUAAUUUUGUGUUUGUUUUUUGUCAUCAGCACACAAUCUUAGAACAUGAUGUUGGCAAUUGUUCUUAGUGUGCUUCUCUGUAUCAUAUUCUUCUCCUAAGUCCCUUAUCAUGCUCGAUGUGUUGACCAUAUGAUUAUAAUUUUGCAGAUGAGUACAGGCAUCCCGCAUUGCUGCUGGUGGAUGGGGUUUCAUCCAUAUGUGCUCUUGACUUCCGAAUGGAUGAAUGGGGAGUUGAUGUUGCCUUGACAGGAUCACAGAAAGCUCUUUCCAUGCCUACUGGGAUGGGCAUUGUGUGUGCAAGUCCUAAAGCCAUGGAAGCUGCUAAGACGGCCAAAUCAGUAAGAGUGUUCUUCGACUGGAAUGACUACUUGAAGUUCUACAAAUUGGGAACUUAUUGGCCCUACACACCCUCCAUCCAACUCCUAUAUGGCCUUAGAACUGCUUUGGAUCUUCUUUUCGAGGAGGGUCUUGACAAUGUGAUUGCAAGGCAUAGCCGUCUCGGAAAGGCGACAAGGUAAACUCUUAAGUUGAUGUGUAUCAAUCCUCGUCUUCCUCUAUGUAGCAAGAAGAAUAGCAAGGAAUUCUCAUACAAGAAUUCCACAUCUACAUUGUUGUUGAGAGAAGAUAAAUGUGCAGACUUGCUGUGGAGGCUUGGGGGCUGAAGAACUGCACACAAAGGGAGGAAUGGUUCAGUGAUACUGUCACUGCUGUGGUAGUGCCAUCUUAUAUCAAUAGUGCUGAUGUUGUGAAGAGAGCAUGGACAAGAUACAAUUUAAGCUUAGGGCUGGGACUGAAUAAAGUUGCAGGAAAGGUGUUCAGAAUAGGACAUCUAGGCAACCUUAAUGAGGUAUGUAUUUCUUCCUUCCUUGUUUGAGCAAACUAUGAGAGUUGGUGUGAUUACCUUUUUUUUUUUUCCCUAACAAAUUUAGAUAAAGCUACUUCGUUUAAGAAAUAUGAUGCAUUUGUUUUUCUUUUCCUAAUAUAAACACCAAUUAUGAGUAUAGUGUUAAAUUUUCCUUGUUAUGUUUCUCCCUGAUCUUUCAGUUUAUAGUAAUUUCAUAGUUUAUUUUUGUAGAUUCAACAUCUCCACUUGUGCAAGAUGUAUUUCUUUGUACUUACAAAAACAACAAUAAAGUCGUAAUCUUUUGCCAGCACUGAGUUUUGUAAUUGGUUAUAUAUCCUUAAUUAAAUUAAAAAAAUUAAUUUUUAAUCUGUAGUUUUAUAAUUAAAUCUUUCUCUGUAUCUUCUCGCAUUAAUUGUUUUACUUCUUUUGACUACAACAUCUAGAAAAAUCCUUAAAAUAUAUCUCUGUGUGCUUGUACUUUAUGAUUUUGUUUUGUUCAGGUGCCAUUGUCAAGCUUGUGUAGUUGCAGAAUUAUAUUCUAUUUGUCUUAUGGUUGUAGGACUCACAAAUUUAUGUGCCAAAAAAAUCAUCAGUCCUUUAGUAUUCCUUCUCCCAGAAUAUUCUACAAUCACAAAAUCAUGAAUGUGAACAUAUCUUUAGCAUGUACUUUCUUUUUUUGUCUAAAUAGAAUAAAACUUGAUUUUGAUUGAAAUUAGAUUAAGAAAAAUGUGUAUUUGACAUCUUAGCUAAUUCUUGCCUUUCAAUUUGUUGCCAGGCAUUCCAUUUUAAUCCAUGUAGAUUAAGUGGAUUAUGGCUUAACAAAAUCAGCACCUGGGAUUAGUUGCAUGUUUCCAAUGUGCUUUACCAUUUGUUUUCUUAAAUCCACCAUGUAUUUAAUUAUCUUGCUCAUGAGUAAAACAAUUCCAUACAAGAAAUGUUCUAAAAGUAGGUAAAUGCUGCCAAUUGCUAUUCUGUUCUGCUAACCAUCCUUGUUUGAGUUCUGCAGCUGCAAUUGCUGGGUUGCCUGAGUGGUGUGGAAAUGGUACUCAGGGAUGUAGGAUACCCAGUCAAGCUUGGAAGUGGAGUAGCUGCAGCAGCUGCAUACCUUCGGAACUCUACCCCUAUGAUCACUUCUAGGAUAUAAGACUUCUCUGGUUGGGCGUUCCAUGAUUGAAUCAAGAAGUCGUAAAACCGAUGUAUAUUGGUAGAAGUAAGAUAUCCUUAUUUCUCAAACUGUUCCAAAUUGUAAUAAUCUCAUCUUGGUUGUUUGUAUUUACCUCCGUUUCCUUUUUGUCAAAUUGUACACUGCAUAUGCUCACAGAUGCUAAAAAAUCCUUUCUUUCACAACCUGCUAAUAUAGGAAAAGCUGUAAUCGGUCAGUGUUAUCUCAAACAUAACCAGUAGAUUAAAACCUGAUUUUCUACAGUCUCUAAUAGUUUGUACUGACUUACAUUAAGUUUUCUUGAUCCCUAAUCCUACUUUGAGUUGCACAGAGUACUGCAUCAUGUCUGUUCCUUUCAUCGGUUAGUUUCCACCUAUAUAGUCAUGAUAUACGCCUUUUUGUAACUUGUAAUUAUGUUUGUGAGCCUUUGGUUGCUGGUUAAUGAUAGAGAACAGGAUUGAUAGUUCACAAAACAAAUAUAGAUGUCAACAGAGGAGACUGUUUCUUGUGGAACUCAUUCUUGGGGGCUUAUGAACCAUUCAAUGUCGAAACAGGUGCUGCAACCAGCAGAGUGGUUUUCCUCUCUAAAUCUUUGACAGGAAAAACCAAAAAUGAUAUGAAUUGGAAAUAGAUCCAGCUUUGAGCACCCAUUUCAUUGGGUUUGUGUUUACAUGCCAAUCUGGUGCUUGACUCAUUUGGCUCACUGAGACAUCAAACAGUGAUGACAAACCUAAUCAACCAACUUACAUUUAGUCAGAGCUUGUCACAUUUGUCUCUUUCAUCACCUCCACAUAAUUUGAAGUUUUCUCUAAGAUAACUAUUCUAUUGAAACUAUUUAAUCCAAUUAUCGAGACAUUACACAUUGGCACUUUGUUUACAUUUAAUAUAGCAAAAACAGCAAUGAAAAAGGAUGCCCUAGAAUAUGUCGUACCAAAUAACGACCUUUCUUCUUUGACAUAAAAAUGGAGAAAUAUGUUUUCUUUUGAAGGAAAUAAUUACAGAUGAUCAUGAAUUAACUUUUUUGUUGGUACAAAUUAUUCUUUCAGUGCGGAACAAAUCAUCAUACACACUUUGUACAUAAUGUACUAAUUCGUUCUGUUCUUCUUCUUGAACAUUUUCGCUGAACAGUCGGAUUAAUCUCCCUUUCCAAUUCUUUUCGUGGUAGCUCACACUCAGCAAGCAUCAACCUCAUUUUAUCUCAAUCAACAAAUAUCAAUCUCGUUGCUUGUCUCCACAACCACUUCUUCUUUGAUUGAAGUCUUUGAUCAUCCACUGGAAUGACUCAGGGUGGCAGUUCCAAGCAGGUCUCCUCAACUUCACUUGCAUUUUCUUUCUUCAUAAGAAAAUUCCUUAAUCGACAGGAUAGUUGUAAUAUCAGAUCAUAUGUGGAUGGAUGCUCACUUGCUAUUAGUGAAAACUGAUCCUGAAAUCUCAGCACCCCUUCAACCAUCAAUUGCCAAAUCAGAGCACCAACUCCAGCUCGCCCCAUCUUAGUUGACUCAUACACUUUAUCAUAAACUAUUUUCAGUAGUAUAUUUCUGUCAUAUGUCCCAUUUCUCUUGACAUGCAAUUGGGAGCCAACCUCUGCGAAGAGGACUGGUUUCUUCAGCACAUGCUCACUGUCAUUGACAUGAGAAUCAACCCAAAUUGACAGAUACUUGACUUUAUCUUCCAGGCUUGCCUUUGGAAUCCUACAGGAGAAGGUGAUGAUGUCCUCAAUACUAAUAUGCAAAAUAGCAAGCAUCAAAUAAUUGAAUUAAAUCAAGAAGGUUACUGACCAGCUAUCUGGAUAUGCAUGUUCCAAAGAAAAAUCAAUGUUCUUGGCUGCUGAGUUCUGUAUAAAGUCAGAACCAAGUCAGGCUGCCCAAGCCCCUGGAUUCACCCUUAACCGUUCUGUUCUUCGAAGUCCAUAAAAUCCUUCAAGCCCAACUGUGAUGAGAUGUUUCCCAUCCAGACUAUUUAUAUAGGAUGCCAUUUCGGCAGUCCAAGCCUGUUAGAAGUGCUUGAUGAAGUUAGACAAGCUGUUAGUUUUCAUGUGCCUUUCUCCUUUGAGAAAUUUAGAUACUGGUGGGCAGGAGGUGGGAGAAAACAACUUGGUAGACAAAAAGGUUGCAGGUUGUUGUAUUACCUGAAGAAGAGGACCAGAUGAAUUGGAUUCACAUCGAGACUCGUUUAUAAGCUCCCAAGCAAAUAUUGCAGGCUCAUCAGAAUAUCUGACUCCACUAUAUGAGUUCUUUCUUGUUAUGAUUGCCUGCAUGCACAGAGCAGAAAAGCAGAACAGAUGAACUGUACCUAAGAAGCUGUUAUUCAGAUCAUCAUAUUUAUGACACUCUAAUAGAUAGCAUUUAUAAAUCAUCGACCACCUUUUUCUUUCAUUUUUUUUUUCUUUUAUGGCUGAGAUAUUAAAAGGUAAGUUUUGUUUAAUGAAGAAGAAAAGAAUACAAAAUAUAAGUGAAAAAUGACACAGAUGUCCACAAAACAAACUAAACUAUGAAAGAAUGAAUUUGAUCUGUGAUAAAAAAGGCCUAGUAGCAUAUUUUUGCAACAAUAUGAAGUUUCAUUCGAGCGAAAAGUCUUUAAAAAUCCCUAGCCAUGUUGAACAGCCACCUUAAACAAGAUCUCAACCACAGUCCACUCAUGAUUUCUCACAGUUCUCAUAGUAUAUCUCAUCAUAUCCCAUAACAAUCACAAGAGAUAGCCUUGUGACAGUAUAUUGAAAACUUUACCUUUAUGAGAAGAAUGUUUCAUUAGCCUGCCUAUUGAAAAAAGGGUUUCCAAAUUACAGUUUUUGUUUUUCCAAUAUAAACUAACACUAGCAGGUUAGACUCGUCCUGAAUGAACACAACAGGAUCGAUCAACAAAAUCACAUGCCUCCAGAAAAAAGUUGGGAUCCAAUGAGAGUAGACAUGAAAAGUUACGUUGUGCGGUAGAAUAUAACUUAUCAUCAUGCCUAUUUGAACACCAUGAUUCAUUUUCCAAUUAUUUGUUGCAUGUUUGCACCAGCAUAAAUAGGAGUGUUACGUAGCACCCCUGCACGAUGCACUUAGUGCACAACAAAGGAAUUUAGCAUCUUAUUCAAAUCUUGCUCCAAGACAUAUAUGCUACAACAGUAAUAAUUACAUCCACCAGCAUACCUUAACAUAAUCCUUAUGAUAGCCCUUGAUGGUUGGAUGUGAGAAAAAUGAAUCUGUGGAAGCUGACACACAUUAACACCAGCAGCUUGUGCCCACAUGACAUACUGAGCUUUUCCCCCAAAUGGAUUGAGAUUAUUUACAGGAGAAAGAAUUAACCUGAUGUGAUGUCUCCUAGCUUCAUAUAUGACAAAAUCAAGUGCCUGAGACAAAAUGGAGUUUAUGAUAAACACCGUCUUUUCAAACAUUAACAAAAGGCAUAAGCUGAUAUUACUGUAUAAUAGCAUGUCUACAGACUUGGAUGCUGAUGAUGGUAAAGAAACAAGUAAUAUUUCAUAUUUCUAGUAAAGAAUCUAAUUAUCAGAAACCCCACAAAUUAAUUCCAAAUUUGCUUAUUUUCCUAUGAAUAGAAGUAUACUUCAUAAGCAUCAUUAGCUAUGAUGGUAAACAAUUAGAGAGAAGUAUCAAAUAAGAGCAGCAUCUUUCAGACACUCUAAUAGUAUUGAUUGCUUCUUUCCUUGAUCUAACUGUUUGUGUCGAUGUUGCUUCUCAUGACAAAAUUCUAUGUGCAUGAAGAUAACAUGGUAAGAUAUCAGUUAGUUUGUAUCUUAUAAUCAGAUAAGAAGACUCAAAACCCAACCACAAUUGCACUCUAUCAGAAAUAAAUCAAGCUUAUGCUUUACAAAAACCCCAGACAAGAAAGAAAGAGUUCAGAAGAAUGAAAAAUGGAACUAAUGAAGGGAAGAAUAAUAGAACAUGUUCUUUCUCAUAUUAAAAAAAAUCAGAUACUUUUAGUUUUUCCUCAUACUCAUUUGAGAAAGAAAAGGAUUUUAGUCAAAAGAUUUACAAAGAAAACUAAAAAGGGAAAUAAAAUCAUAUCAUCCAUGUUUGAGAAAAUAACAACCCAUCCGAGUUUAGGUUCUUCGAUCGGGGUUGAAGUCGAAAAAGGGUCGCGAGCAUCCAGUUUUUAACUUUAACCUAAUUUUGCUCAUCUCCUCCCAAGUAUCAUCUAAUGUGCAUUUGCCAUUCAUGUAUUGAAUUAAACACUAGGCAGGUAACCAAAACCCUAAAGGUUGAGCUAAUCUCAGAUAGCUCAAGUAUCACCUUUUAAGCAACAAGCAGAUAAUAUGAAUUCAGCCCAAAUCAUAUGCAAGGAAGCUGAUAUUUUAAUUUCUCAAAAUUAAAUCCAAAUUUCUGCUUUCCUAAAAAUUAAUCACUUUUUGUAUUCUCCUCUGCAAUUUACCAUCGCAGGUUACUAUUCGUAUCGCCCACCGCCAUCAUUCAAGAACCAAUAAAUGGUUUCCAAUUGGGAACUUGUUUCCCCCAAUCUGAAGUCCCUCAUUCCACCCAAAGGUUCAAACUUUAGAGAACAAGACAACAGAUCAAGAGAGAUGAAGCGUUAAAGAGCAGAUACAGAAGAGCCACAAAUCGAGAACCUGGAAGAUCCGUUCGUCGAAGCGGCCGGGGGAAAUCUGGAGCGCGUUGGCGCCGCCGUCACUGAACGCCCAGGUCUGGCACACCGACAUCCCCAACGACCGCCCGCGCCGGAGCAUCUCAACCACGCGAUCGCCGGAGUCGGAUGACAUCAGCCAGUAGGAGUUCCACCCGUUGACGUACACCGGCGACCCGUCGCGGAUGUUGACGAACCGGGUACCAUUCCGGCCCACAAACCCCAUCCUCGGCAAGAGCCAGGGGAUCGGUAUCGGGAUCCUUCUGCCACCGCCGCCGCCGGAAGACCAGUUGAGGUAGCCGAGGGCGACGAGGCGGACGAGGCCGAAAAGUGUGUACAACCACGCCCCUUCGUCGCUGCUCCCCCGUUUUACACCCGACCAGGAGAUCCACACGAGAACGAGAAGUAAUCUCUCACUGUCACUUGCGGAUCCAGUGGGACCCGAUGGGUGAGCGACGGGGUUAAUCGCUGGGAAGGCCCUUUAUUAUUACUCGCUCUCCAUCUCCUGCCAGUGAGUAGUCGUUGGGGAAGUUGGCCGUUGCUUUGGAAGUUGAAGUGGGUGAUGCCAAAUAAAUAGUUUUCUCCAUUUUUUAAUGUAUCAAUUAGUUUAUUUGGUGAUUUAUUGUAUUCUACUUUACAAAAUCAUUCAUGUUUAUUGUCUGUAAAAAUAUUUAUAUAUAUAUAUAUUUAAUUUGAAUUAACACUUCUAAAUAUUAAAAAUAUAAAUUAACCAUAUGAUAAUCCAAUUAAUUCAUUAACUUGAUUUAUCCAUUGAGUUAUAUAAAUCAACAUAGUUUUCCUCUUGCAUGUAAGAUUAAACUAAUACAUCAAUCAGCUUUACUUUCCCAAUGUAUAAGGCUUCAUUUCAUAAAUACACAUAAAUAAACCACUAUUAGAUUAUAGCAAAAGACUAAUAAUCAUAAAACUCUCUCUUAUCAAGAAAUUAAUGGCAUUCUUUCAAAAUUAUGCUCUCUUAGACUCUUAGCAUAGACAUAAUUUCCAUAAUGUCCUCAGUUUUCCUUUUUAUUAUCUCUCACUUUUUCUACAUAUUCAUUUUCCCAACAUUUUAAUUAUAAGAAAUUAUUUCAAUGGAAACUUCUCAAGAAAUUGAUGUGUAUUCUCAGAAGUUAUUUGUAGAGAUAAUUCUCAUGAAUCUUUCCCAUUUUUUCUGGUUUUUUUAUUGUCGUGUUUCUAAAAUUUCAAUUAAAAGAUUUUUUUUAACCCCUUACAACUUAUAUGAUGAUUUAUUUUUUUUUUAUGUAAAUCGUAAGCGAUGAAGAAGAGAUUUGAUCCAAAAACCUUGUUAUAAAUUGUUUUAAUACAUCAUUACCAAACCAAUGUUCCAAGUAUAAUGUAUAUCUUGUAUGACAAUUCAAUGCAUAUUAUUUUUCCAAGUAUAUUCUACACAAGAAGUCACAAAGCAUACUAGAGAGGAAUACAAGCUCAUAAAACACCAGUAUAGAACAACAAUAAAAGUUCAUAAGAUAAUGAUUAGCAUGAUUUAUAACCCAAAUUUCAUCCAUCAAUUCAUCUUGUCAGAUAGGAAGAACAGUGCCAUUGUCCUAUGUGAUGAAAGAUUAUGAGCAAAUGAGAUGGAGGUUUCAUUGAUGUCAUCUACAACCUGAUAACAUAUUGCUGCAUGCAUGCAUGCAAAUCCUGUAGCUGCCAACUCUGAGAACGAUGGGGGAAGUCACAGACUUCCGACACUAGCUUUCUUCUUCUCCCAGCCUCGGUGCCUCAUUGAGAUCGAAGUCCAACAGUCCAUGGCUUCCUCCCUUAUCAGCUUCGGCCUCUUGCUGCUCCCUCUUGUGGUUGCUCGUCGUCGUUGCUGCUGCGGCUUCUUCUUGUUCUUCUUCUUUUUCUUCUUCUUCUUCGGGAUGAUGAUGACUCCUGAUCUUAUUGUGGCUUGCUCGGUGUCCUCCCAGCGCUUGGUGAGAAGAGAAUGUCUUGGAACACACACUGCAUCGGUACCUACGGCCACGAUCAGACGUACCGGGCUCGUUCGCCAGCACCACCUGCUCCGUCUUCCUCCUCUUGAUCAUCUGCUUGUAGCUCGAUAGCGGUUCAUCUUCAACUGUGUCGUCAGAACGAGCGUCCCUGUGCUCUGCAUCAGCCAGGUGCAGCAGGAUUCUAGCAGCCGUAAUGGCUUCGGGAUCAGCGGUCACGGCCUUCCGUUGUCGGCCUCGCUUCGCACUCGGCCUCUUGGCCGCCGGAGAAGCGCCGGACUUCCUCCUCGCCUCGGGCGGCGGGUUCACUCCCCUGUAAUCCCUCUCCGGGUGGCACCUCAGGUGGCCGAACAGUGACUUGUCCGAGGGGAAGCUCUUCCCGCACUCCGGGCAUGUCGCAUGACGACGCCUCGAGCUGCCGUCGUCCUCAGCGGCGGCCGCUCCAGCCUCCGACACAGAUUCCUCGUCGUCACCACAGCGAGACGACGCCACCUCCUGAGCCACGGCUUUGCCGGGUUCUUCGGCGCACUCGACUCGAUUUCCAAGGCUGUUAUCCGCUCCCAGCGCAGCGUCCUCGGUGUCGCAAUAGCUUCCACCUUCCACGAGACGAGCUCCCAUCCCUGCGUAACAGAUCACAGAAGCAUCAGAAAAAGACACUACAAACCAUUGAGCUCAUCAAACAGAUAACCCACUGUCGAUCGACGGCAAGAAGCUUCUUCUUCUCGAUCUCUCGGUUCCCGAAAUCCAAAAGCCCACACCACAAACCUGAAACCCAGCUGAAACGGGAGAGAAAGGAAGCGCAGAACACAUCAAUUCCGACCCCAAGCAAAGAAAGCUAUCAACAAGAAACCGAAAUGGCACUCGUAGAGAUCCGGAAAGGAACCAACUUUCGAGAAGGCCGAAUCCAAAGACGGGAUUUUUCGAACAAAAAAGGGAUUUUUGGAUCGGGAAAGCUAAAGAGACGCAGAGUUCGAGCGAAACAAACCCCGAACGGAUUGGUAGAUCAAGUAAUCCACAGCUGGCAACACCCUGUUGACGCCCCCCUCGCUCGAGUCCUAAAGGGCGGCCCUUUAGAGAAGGAAACAGUGACGGGAGAUCGAAAGAAGAAGAAGAGGAGGAGGAAUCCUUCGUUCGCGGCAAUAAAUCUCGUCGCCUCGCCGAUCUCUCCAAUGGUUCCUAUGCGUUACACUCUGCUGGUGUUGUGUUUGCUUCUUUCUUCUGGGUUGCCAUCGCCGUUUCUUUCGGAAAGGAGAGGGGGUGUGAGACGUGAUGGGGAAAUCAGAGCCGUCGGAUGGUGGUUGAGAGAUUGGGAAGGGAUUUAAAGUGCGAGUUUCCAUUAAAGAGAGGAUUAGAUUUGUUAACAUAAUCUCCAUCCACAUAUAUAUAUGUAUAUUAUAUUUUCUUUCUUCCAUUUCAAUCUUUAGCAGAUAUGGUUAGCAAAAAGAGAUGGAUUAAUUUGAGAGGUUAAUUCCGAUCAUCCUUCUAAAUUACAUCGAAUAAACCAUUUGGUCAAAUAUAAGCUUAAAUGUUUGAGAUGUUAGAAUGCUCCACUUUAUUACUAUCACAUAAUUUUCUAAUUUUUAUUAAGUUAAAUAUUUAGUUAAAUCGAGCACAUAUUUAGUUCAAUCGACCGUCAAACUUAACAUGAUCUAAAUUAUUAAAUAUAUUGAUGGAAUCGAUAUAAAAAAAAUAUUUACUAUCGUGUUAAUGUGUAGUAUAAUGUAUGAGUUUACGAUCUCAUCUGAAUAUUAUUUCAUAUAACUCCUUUAUUACUAUCACCUAAUUUUCUAAUUUUUAUUAAAUUAAAUUUUUAGUUAAACCGAGCACAUAUUUAGUUCAAUCGACCGUCAAACUUAACAUGAUCUAAAUUAUUAAAUAUAUUGAUGGAAUCGAUAUAAAAAAAAUAUUUACUAUCGUGUUAACGUGUAGUAUAAUGUAUGAGUUUAUGACCUCAUCUAAAUAUUAUUUCAUAUAACUCCUUCAAAAUGAUCUAUUGGGUUUACCAGUCAAUUCAUAUCUCCUAAAAUCUCUAAUCUAUUGUCAAGUCAAAUAAGGUCUAACCCAUCAAUUAUAUUAUUGGUGGAGUCAAUAUAAAAAUAUAUACACCAUAAUUUCAUGUGUUGGAUACUUUUAUUAUCUCAUCCUAAAGCUCAACCUAAAUUAGUAUAACCCAACCUCUAUCUAAUUAUAUAUAUAGUAUUAUCUCUAGGAUACUUAUCCUAACUUUGUGGAGUAUAUAUUCCAUCUAACUCAGGCUGGUAUGAUUACUGGUCAUUUCAAAUAAAAAUCUUUGACAUAUAGAGUCAUUGAAAUUGCUACAACAAAAUUUUAGAGUGUUUAAUGCUGAGCUAGACAGAUUCUUUGAAUCUGAAGUCAACCUUGGUCAGACCCAUGAUGGGAGGAUGGAAUGCAGCAGGGUGGGUCAAAGUUUCCUCAGUCCAAUGCACACAAGUUUUUGGUAGAGAUUAAGGUGGCUUUCCCAUGACAAACACCAAUCCAUCUCCUCCCAUGUAAGUGAGUCAAUUAAGGAUCUCCAAGUGUUCCAAUGACCAGUUUGAGUAGGACUCAGGGAUGCCAGGCUUCACAUACUCCUAAACCUAAUUGCCAUCUCCAGUUUCUGCACCCUAAGUUUCCCAAAAGAUGUGGUUUUGGUAGCACAUGCCACCUUCUUGACUCACAAAAUGGAAGUCAAAAUGAGCUCUUCGAUACUUUCUCCUUUGAUGUCAAUCAGGCAGGCAGCAGCAGAAGCUUGGAGGUCUUCUCCUACCUGCUGCAGUCUACUCCCAGAGAACAUCCAUUGGCAGAAGACAUAACAAUACUGUGUCAUCACUGUGAAGGAGAAGUGUGGCAUCUGCAAUCUCCAAUAAAGAAGGCAAGGAGUUGCAGCAAACCAUUCCUAUAAUUUCAUAGAUGAUGGUAACCAAGAACUAAGACUCAUCUCUAACUCAUCAUGUUUCGAUAUUUUGUCCUUUAUUCCAACUUUUGUUGUAUACGAGAUACAAAAAAAGAAAUCUCCAGCACAUAAUUAGAGAUUCUCUUGACUUUUAUUUGGGUGGAAUAAAACACAUAAAUGUGAAAUGCAUGAAUCCGAAAGUGUCAUGAUUGGCAAGUAUUUUUAGAGUUCUCAUCUCGGAUUUAGAUUACUUGAAACAUGAGCUUACUUGUAGGAUAAGAAAUUCAAAUAUGGAAAGCUCUUACUGAUUAGGGUUUAGUUACUUAAUAAAUAUCCGAACAAGUUUAUUUGGAGAAUAAAAAAUUUAAGUACAUGGGGGACUUAGUUACAUUAUAAAAACACUAUAUAUUUUGAAGUUAUGAGGAAAGAGAGACAUAAAGAAUAAAAUAUGACAUACGAGAGUUUUUCAUGGUAUAUAUAUGAGAUGACGUAUGAAUGAUUAUACCAAAAACUUAAUUUUUACCAAAAACUUAGUUUUUCAUGGGAAAGCCACCUUAAUUUCUACCAAAAACUUGUGUGCAUUGGACUGAGGAAACUUUGACCCAUCCUGCUGCAUUCCAUCCUCCCAUCAUGGGUCUGACCAAGGUUGACUUCAGAUUCAAAGAAUCUGUCUAGCUCAGCAUUAAACACUCUAAAAUUUUGUUGUAGCAAUUUCAAUGACUCUCUAUAUGUCAAAGACUUUUAUCUGAAAUGACCAGUAAUCAUACCAGCCUGAGUUAGAUGGAAUAUAUACUACACAAAGUUAGGAUAAGUAUCCUAGAGAUAAUACUAUAUAUAAAAUUAGAUAGAGGUUGGGUUAUACUAAUUUAGGUUGAGCUUUAGGAUGAGAUAAUAAAAAGUAUCCAACACAUGAAAUUAUGGUGUAUGUAUUUUUAUAUUGACUCCACCAAUAUAAUUGAUGGGUUAGACCACAUAAGUUUGACUUUGAUCUUGACCUUAUUUGACUUGACAAUAGAUUAGAGAUUUUAGGAGAUAUGAAUUAAUCGGUAAACCCAAUAGAUCAUUUUGAAGGAGUUAUAGGAAAUAAUAUUUAGAUGAGGUCGUAAACUCAUACAUUAUACUACACAUUUAACACAAUAGUAAAUAUUUUUUUAUAUAGAUUCCACCAAUAUAUUUAAUAAUUUAGAUCGAUUAGGGAUCUUUGACCGUCGAUUGAACUAAAUAUGUGCUCGAUUUAACUAAAUAUUUAACUUAAUAAAAAUUAGGAAAUUAGGUGAUAGUAAUAAAGUGGAGCAUUCUAACAUCUCAAACAUUUAAGCUUAUAUUUGACAAAAUGAUUUAUUCGAUGUUAUUUAGAAGGAUGAUCGGAAUUAACCUCUCAAAUUAAUCCAUCUCUUUUUGCUAACCAUAUCUGCUAAAGAUUGAAAUGGAAGAAAGAAAAUAUAAUAUACAUAUACAUAUAUAUAUAUAUAUAUAUAUAUAUAUAUAUAUAUAUAUAUAUAUAUAUAUANNNNNNNNNNNNNNNNNNNNAGACCAUCCGACGGCUCUGAUUUCCCCAUCACGUCUCACACCCCCUCUCCUUUCCGAAAGAAACGGCGAUGCAACCCAGAAGGAAAGAAGCAAACACAACACCAGCAUAGUGUAACGCAUAGGAACCAUUGGAGCGAUCGGCGAGGCGACGAGAUUUAUUGCCGCGAACGAAGGAUUCCUCCUCCUCUUCUUCUUCUCUCGAUCUCCCGUCACUGUUUCCUUCUCUAAAGGGCCGCCCUUUAGGACUCGAGCGAGGGGGGCGUCAACAGGGUGUUGCCAGCUGUGGAUUACUUGAUCUACCAAUCCGUUCGGGGUUUGUUUCGCUCGAACUCUGCGUCUCUUGAGCUUUCCCGAUCCAAAAAUCCCUUUUUUGUUCGAAAAAUCCCGUCUUUGGAUUCGGCCUUCUCGAAAUUUGGUUCCUUUCCGGAUCUCUACGAGUGCCAUUUCGGUUUCUUGUUGAUAGCUUUCUUUGCUUGGGGUCGGAAUUGAUGUGUUCUGUGCUUCCUUUUCUCUCCCGUUUCAGCUGGGUUUCAGGAUUGUGGUGUGGGCUUUUGGAUUUCGGGAACCGAGAGAUCGAGAAGAAGAAGCUUCUUGCCGUCGAUCGACAGUGGGUUAUCUGUUUGAUGAGCUCAAUGGUUUGUAGUGUCUUUUUCUGAUGCUUCUGUGAUCAGUUGCGCAGGGAUGGGAGCUCGUCUCGUGGAAGGCGGAAGCUAUUGCCAUGAACAUGAACAUGAACAUGAACAUGCAUUGAACUUUGAUUAUUAUCAUUUUAUAAUAAAAUAUGAUAAAGAUCAUCAGAUAAAAUACCAUUCCCAACACAAUCAGAUUUAUGUAAUAAACGAAAUGAUGUAUCUUUAAAAUUAAAGGAAUACCCAAAUGGUACGAGUCUGGAAACAUGAGAUACUUGGUACAUAAAAGGUUCUUUCCAAUUUUAAAACAAAAUCACUACUUAAAGUUAAAAUACAUGUUCCAAUUGCUUUCACAUGUGAGCUCAUCUUAUUUCCUGAUAAGAUGCUUUGCUCACUUCCCACUGACUUCCUUAGGUUUUGCAUACCCUGCAAAGAGUUUGCAAUAUGGAUUGUUGAUCCAGAGUCAAUCCACGAGGUGUUAAUAUUAACAUUGACCAUAUUAGAUUCAUAACAUACAUAUGAGGUAAACCCUUCUUCAUGUGUUCCUUUCUUUUACAAAAGAAACACCUUGCAUCUUUUUUGAUAUCAGCUUGGGGUGGUAUUUUAUCUUUUCCCUGCUGAUGAGCUUUUUGAUUGGCUUGAUGUUUGUCAGUUUUGUUUUUCCCUCGAGUGGUUACUACCAAUGCACUCUCACCGAAUUCCAUCAUUAGCCUCUCUUCUUCUUGAACACACAUGGUCAUUAAUUCAUUGAUUGACCAUUUGUCUUUAUUUGUAUUGUAUGAAAUUUUAAAAGGGCUAUAUUGAGGUGGAAGGGUGUUCAGAAUAUAGUGCACCAGGAAGGAUUCUGACAUAUUAACCUCAAGUUUCUUAAGUUGAACCGCUAUAUCUCGCAUUUGCAUUAUGUGCUUACGCACACCCUUUAUGUUGGUGAGUCUAAGAGAUGAAAAUUUCAUAAUAAGGGUACUUGCUAGUACCUUAUCCGAAGUGAUGAAUUAUUCAUCAAUAGCUUUUAGCAAGUCUCGGACAUUUUCAUGCUGAUCAACAGAACCAUGUAUGCCAGCAGUCAUCUUAGUUUUGAUAAACAUCACGCUGAGCCGAUUGGAUCGCUCCCAUCACUCAUAUAACGUGAUCUCAGUUGUAGUGCUGGUAUUAGUGACUAUAGGUGGUUCGUCUUUUCUUAUAGCAUAAUCGAUAUGCAUCCACCCUAAAUGGAGGAGAACUCUCUCCUUCCAUAUCUUAUAGUUAUCACCAUUAAGUUCGGGAAUAUCACAUCGAAUAUCAGAGAAAUUAACAGUUUGAGAAACUGCAUAAAAUCAAACAUGCUUAUGUCAAAAUUUGAAGUUUAACAGACUAAAUUACAUGUUUUACCAAUGUGAAACAUGUCAAAAAUAUGAAUCUCAUGACAUAAAAAUUGCCUGUGGCCUAAAUUCUUAAUUCAAAUAGAUUCAUAUAGUCUUUAUGAUAAAACUCUUAAAUUAUAUUCUAAUUCAUAAUCCCUGUAGGUAAAUUAUGAAAAUAAUCUGAUAUUUUAUCCUGAUUAAUUAUAUUAAAUAUAAUAAAAAAUCAUGUGGGAUAAUAAUUAUCAUACGAAAUAUAAUCAAUCACAAUAUGAUGUCUAAUUACUUAUGUGAUACUUAUUUUAAUUAUAUAUAUAAUUUUAAUUAAUUAAAAAUUAAUUAAAUAAUUUUUCGAACAAAAAGGGGAUUUUUGGAUCGGGAAAGCUAAAGAGACGCAGAGUUCGAGAGAAACAAACCCCGAACGGAUUGGUAGAUCAAGUAAUCCAUAGCUGGCAACACCCUGUUGACGCCCCCCUCGCUCGAGUCCUAAAGGGCGACCCUUUAGAGAAGGAAACAGUGACGGGAGAUCGAGAGAAGAAGAAGAGGAGGAAGAAUCCUUCGUUCGCGGCAAUAAAUCUCGUCGCCUCGCCGAUCGCUCCAAUGGUUCCUAUGCGUUACACUCUGCUGGUGUUGUGUUUGCUUCUUUCUUAUGGGCUGCAUCGCCGUUUCUUUCGGAAAGGAGAGGGGGUGUGAGACGUGAUGGGGAAAUCUUUAAAGUGCGAGUUUCCAUUAAAGAGAGGAUUAUAUUUGUUAACAUAAUCUCCAUCCACAUAUAUAUAUAUAUAUAUAUAUAUAUAUAUAUAUAAUAUUUUCUUUCUUCCAUUUCAAUCUUUAGCAGAUAUGGUUAGCUAAAAGAGAUGGAUUAAUUUGAGAGGUUAAUUCCGUUAGCUAAAAGCAGAUAUGGUUAGCUAAAAGAGAUGGAUUAAUAUGGUUAUAUAUAUAUAUAUAUAUAUAUAUAUAUAUAUAUAUAUAUAUAUAUAAUAUUUUCUUUCUUCCAUUUCAAUCUUUCUUCCUUCUAAAUUAUAUAGAAUAAAUCAUUUGGUCAAAUAUAAGCUUAAAUGUUUGAGAUGUUAGAAUGCUCCACUUUAUUACUAUCACCUAAUUUUCUAAUUUUUAUCAAGUUAAAUAUUUAGUUAAAUCAAGCACAUAUUUAGUUCAAUCGACGGUCAAACUUAACAUGAUCCCUAAUCGAUCUAAAUUAUUAAAUAUAUUGAUGGAAUCGAUAUAAAAAAUAUUUACUAUCGUAUUAAUGUGUAGUAUAAUGUAUGAGUUUACGACCUCUUCUAAAUAUUAUUUCCUAUAACUCGUAUUGGGUUUACCAUCAAUUUAUAUCUCCUAAAAUCUCUAAUCUAUUGUCAAGUCAAAUAAGAUCAAGAUGAAAGACAACCUUAUGGGGUCUAACCUAUCAAUUAUAUUGGUGGAGUCAAUAUAAAAAUAUAUACACCAUAUAUAUAUAUAUAUUACGAGUUACCAAUGGCAGGGAAUUAUCAAUAGCAAGCUUCAUUAUCUUUUCCUCUCCUUUUAAGCUUGAUGAUCAUAAUUACCGGAGCAAGCAUCGAUUAUACUCAUUGGUUGGACCGAUAGGUCAAUUUAUUAGAUCAUAAACGUAAUAAUUUUUUUAAAAAAUAAUUAAUUAUAUAUUAUAUUAUAUUAUAAAUAAUUAAACAUAUGAUAAUAUUAUAAUAAUAUUAUUUUUCAAAAUGGAGCAAAUAUGUCAAAGAAACGAGGGAACAAAUAUAAUAGGAUUUUAGCAUUUUGAAGACUCAAAUGACCAAAACUAGUAAAGAGGAAAAUAAGGCUUAGGUUUUCGAAUCUUGAGGUGUUACUAUAUACACUUGACUUCCUUAAACUUAAAAAGUGUAUUGGAAAACAAAAAAGAGUUUAGGUUUUCAGUUGAAUUGUAGUUCCAACACACAUUCAGGUAUAGUAGAAUUUACAUGUAUUUCUAUCCAAUGUAAAAAAUACAUGUAUUUUUUUUAUUGGACACUCUUUUCAUUUAAGUUGCUCAAAAAACCCAAAUCAUGGAUUGCAUUGGCACCCACUACAAGACAAACUGAUUUGGAUCAACAAGAGAUCUUCAUGGCUUGAGCAUAUGACACUGAGCUUACAAAAAGAGAAGACUUGCUUGAACCUCAUCAACAGACUUUGGUUCAAAUGCACUCAUGGAAGAUUGAAUCUGUAUCAUGACACACAAUGUGUAGGAAACACUGUUACAUGUCACAUGAAGCAAGAAGGUUAUUCCUCCUAUACAGAGAGAUCAACACAGCUUGUCGGAUGGCGGUGUCUACUUGUGCUACAUCCAAAAGCUAACUUUAAAGAGCAAAAAUCAUAUAUGUUACUUUCAAAGUCACUAGACGAAGAAAGGGUGAUGUGAGGAUGCCAGGAUCUGUGCCAGGAUCUGCACCAUUCCCAUCCCCGAGUACCGAAAUAAGGCACACAACUUUUGGAACUCAAUAAUGGUAGUAAAAGAAUAAACGAGGAAUCGUUCUUUUUUUUUUAGCUUUUCCCCCUUUCCGCUCCCUCUUGCCUCUGAUCUCAUGCUGCAAACAAUCUGCUCGUAAAAUUUUGUAUGCAGCUUUCUUGCAUCAGUCCAAGUAAAAGAAAAUAGAACAUGAAAUAUGGUAGGAAGCGUUCUUCGCUGCAAAUUUAUAGAUAUCUCAUCCAUGUACAGCUACCUCCACUUCAGGAAUCAACAAAAUUUCUUCGGCAAAGAUUCAUAAAGCCAAACUUAUAGUGAUUGGUUUCCUACCAAAGAGACGAGAUCGGAACUGUAAGUUCACAGGUAACUUAAAAUUUUAAUCUAAAGAAAUUUGAAUGACCAAAAUGAUACAUGUAGAUAUCUUGUUGCAAUAAAUACAAGAAUCAUUCCUGUACCGGCAAAAGGCAAAGGUGAACCACAGAGUAAUGUUUAUAGUACUGUGAAUAUACAUGGAGAAAACAAGAUUCAGCAAUUUGUGAAAAUGUCCAGUAAGUUUGCCAAACUGCUUAAAUAUCUUUUUUAGCACAAGAUACACAAGUUAUUUCCUAGAAAACAAUUUUACCUUAAUAUCGGAGUCUUUUAAAGCUUCUAAUGUUGCUUCAAUCUCCAUUUGCUUCAUCAAAGUUGCUUGCAGGACCUGAAUGAAGAAAAUGUGAUUAAAGAAAGUGACAAGGAUAUAACAUAACAAAUCAAGAUUGACAAGGAAAACAUGCAUAAGGAAAACACAGUUUUAUCAGAUGGUACAAAAGUCAGUGAUUUGAGCCUGGACCGAUGAGAACUUGAUCGAGUCAGUUAGCAGCUUUAUAGCUCAUAUAUCUCUGAGAUUAAGAUAGUGUAUGUGCAUUAAAAAGAAACAACAAGACAGAUUACGAGAAGACAAUAGAGAAAAACGUCAAAAAUAGGCGACAAGGGUGACAAAUCAGCUAAUGAACCCAGUAGUCAUUUAAUAGAUCAAAGUUCUCAUGUGAUAUGACAUAAUAUCAAGCAUCACCAUGGAUUCGAUGUGAGCUUUCAACUUGCGCUAGUACGUGAUCUAGAGCACUGGGAGUACCUAGUGACUUCAUGAAUCAACAAAUCCAUAAAAUUAAAGCCCUCAUUCAAAAUGCUUAGACUGAUGUGUGUAACCAAAAUAUAUCUGACUGAAUCACUAUAGAUUAUAUGUGGUCAUCUCACAUGAGAUAAAAGACUUACUUUAUUUGUCUUGUGAAUAUCAAACUCGACACACUUUAUCCUGUCCAUUGAAUCAAGGAUCAUGUGCUCUUUUUCUCGAGGAAUCUCAGCAGGCUUGUUGCUGAGCUCAUUUAACAUCAGCUCAAGCUUUUGAAGACGUUCCAUGCAAGAAGUGACACAAUCUUCCUUGAGAGCUUCCGUAGUUGAAUUUUUAUUGCAUGCCAAGUCCAAGGCAUUUGAUAGAUGAACAUUCAACCUCCUAUCCUGUCUAGACCAUAAGAUACGAAAGAAGGACAGCAUUUUUAUGAGAAAUGCAACCAAUGUUCUUGCAAAAGAGUCCAACUUUCCUUCUGUAUCAUCCUUGAUGUUGUUGUGCUUACCAGCAAUAGAGUUACCUGAAACCAUCAAGGUAAAACAAAUUUUGACUGAUAAAACUAUUACAAAGAAACAGGACUAUGUUGACAAAAGGGACAAUUAAUAUAAAGUUAUAACUAAACCUUGGCAGAGGAGCAGCAAAGUUAUAUCUUUAAUAUGAGACAAAACUCUUAAAAUUGUAGUUUGAGAGAACUAGAAGAACAAGAGAAUUGUAUUCCCUUUUAGCAGCUUGAAUGCCAAGAGAGACCAUGCAAACAUGACAGAAUGGAACUGUUUAGAGAGAUCUUGGACUCUUCCUAGAUAUGUUGUGGUUAAACUAUUCUUUUCUCGCCGAUAGAACCUGGACAAUUACAACUUCAACUUGCCCAAACUUCUGUUAGUAAAAUCCAGAGAUGAACCACUUUUUCCCUGUGAACUUAGCCUUGAGCUUAUGAAUAAGAAAUACAUAAGCUACAGCCUACAGGAAUUAUGAAGAAUGGGAAAAAAAUAUUGAGAUCUUACUGCCUGUAUAAAUCUUUUAUUUCAGGAGAAUUUGCCUUAGAUAUUAAAGGAUGAGAAAUUGAUUUAGAUGAGACAAUAAAUGACCACCAAACACUACGUGAAUUGAUGGAAUCAGAUAAAAUCUAUUAUUAGGUCAUACAAAAAAGGAGCUAUUGUAGCAAAACUUUAGAUGUUGUCUCCGAUGCAUCACCAAUUUAAUUUACCAUGCAGUUCAAAAGUAUAAGAAAUCUAUUGUGGGUACCAAAACAAAAUUGCAACCUAUCAAAGAAAUACAAAAGGAUUUCUUGACAUUUCGGAAAAACAAAUAAUUGCAAUCUUGAUUCAGGCCAUUGAGAGACAGAGCACAUCAAAGUCAUCAUUGUUCUGUUUAUUACCAGCAACAGGCUAGCCAAUUGACUAUCGUAUUAUUCCAACUUAAGCACUCUUAUUUCCAUAAUGAUGUCUGCAAUAUUAGCUUCUAUUUCACAGAAAACUCAGAUGAAUAUCUCCAUAAGUGUCAAGAAUUUUUGAAUUAUCAACUAGAACAUAUCCCGAGGAUUAGAAGAAAAUAGCUCUAAAGGCACAACUUAUCAGGAUCUUUGCAGUAAUCUAAGUGAUCAUCUGACGAAAAGGGUAAUCGAAGGAUUUACAGGGAUAAAUCAUCACAACUAAUUAAAGAAUAAUGCAGUAGAGAAGAUUAAAAGUCAAUACCAAAGGAAUGUGGGGCAGCAGUUGCAGAGGUGUAGUCAAGAUCUUUUAAUUCUUUGGAUGCCUUCACAGCAAAACCAGAUCCUCUUCUACCAUUAUCUACAACUUUAUCAACAGUUGCAGAAUGGUCAUCACAGCUCUGAUAAGGUGUAAUGUCUGCUUCUCUGACCUGCCAAUCCAACGAUCGAAAAAUGAGAUGCAAAAAGUGUGUUUAGUAAGGGAUUUGCACUAUACAGUCAUAUUGUUGUUAUUAGAACUCAGCCAUUAAGAGACAAUAUUCUAAAGGAGUUAUGAAGUUCCUAAAUCUGCAAUGUUCAGGACAGGUAGACUGAUUUAAGCCAGUGAAAUAUAAAACCUAUAAUAAGCAUAGACUUUAAACUUUCAAUGCAGAUCAGAUUUUUUUUUCUUUUUUUUUCUUUUUCUUGCUUUUAUUCCCUUUUAGAUGUGGAAGUUGGUAGACAAAAUUGUAGGCACUUUCUUGUAUUUGCAACAGCUCAAUUAUCCGUUGAUCAGAUCUUCCAAGGAGGAGCUUUGUUCUCUUUGUUUCUAAUUGUUGGAUGGAUUGAUAAGGAAUUGAUAUAGCAAUCUGAAGAAGUUAAAAGUCUCAAUCUUUGAGCAUAGAUGACUUCUUCAUAGGCCUAUUCAUCAUUAAUUAAUAAUACCAUCUUCUGAUACACCUGCUUGCAGAUUCUGUUUUCCCUAUUAUGCAAUUAAAUUAGGCUGAUAGUGCUUGGAACCAUACAAUCAUGACCAUCGUCAAAGCAUAACCUUGUAUACUCAACAUAAACUAUGCAAAAAAGGAAAAAUUAAAGUAUGAUGUAUGAUAUUCAUGUACUCCUUCACUGAACAUGAACAAAGAUAAUGUAUCACAGGAUUAUCGGCAUGCUUUGAGCUCACUUCUUUAUAAAUUGGAGACAGACGAGCAUUAUCAGCAGUCACUGGUAUUACAGGAGAACAAAGAUCAUCAGCAUCAGAAACUGAUUCAGCUGCAGAAGUUUGACUAGUCCUUCGCUGCCAUUAAAAUAAGCACAGCAAAUCUGAAUAUGAGAAAAAGAUUAUCUGUAAAAUCAACUAGGGCUACAGGUUUAAGAUUUUAAAAACUUGCCUUUGAUGAGUGUAGUCUUACACAAGAAUGGCCUAUUUUUUCUCCAUCAGAUGUAUGUCUGUUUUCCCUCGCAGAUGUUGUGUCAAUGCCUUGUACAAACUACAGGUGAAAAUGACAAUACUAACUAGGUUGAUAAAGACAGCCACUGACCAUGGUUUGAGUAAAAUUUACUGGAUACUACCACUUCUCCAAUUAGAUAUGAGAUAUAUACCUUCAAAAUAACUGGGUCAUUCCAUGGUCCUCUGUUAGAUCUAAGACAUCCUCUCUCAUAAUAGCAUGUACAUGAACCACCGAGGAAUUCUGGCAAUUGGCUGAAUGUGCAUAUACAUAUGCAUAUUAUUAAUAUGAUGAAUGAAUAGUCACAAAGUAGCAAAAGGAGAUUCAUGAUGCUAUAUGCCAGAGACAUAAACACACAAACCUUGAGUCAAUUGCCUCAAGAAGUCUACUCUGAUAUUUGGUUCCAAGAACCUGCACAAAAGUUCUAGACAUCAUCCAUAGAACCAAGAAACCAAGAAUCACUGUAUUUCUUCUAUGGACGCUUUAUCUUACAUGUAUCUUUGAAGUAGUUUUGGGAUCAAGAAAUCCUUUCACAGUAUUCCAGAGAAGCUUAAAACCAUGGCCAGCAUUAACUACAAACAUUUGAUGUAGUGUCUGUACAAAUAAGAAGUUAGAACACCUACAUGCACUAACAGCCACAUGAGAAGCAUCUUAAACGUACCUCAGGAUAAUAAUCACCAUCAAUUUUCUGCAUAUUGAGCAAAAGGUCCCUUGCUGUCUUGCUGAAAUUCUUCAAGCCCUGUAUUCAUGAUGUCAAACUUCGAUACAUGCUACUGACAGUUUGAAAUAAAUGAUCAAACCCAGGAUAUAGCAGGGCAAAAUCCAGCAAUUGUUGAUUAUAAAUUUUAUACAAUGUGUUUCUAUGUGCAUCAUAAUAUGUUAAUACAAUAUAAAUAGGAGAGAAACAAGCAAAAUACCACGCCUUGUACAUCCAAUAUCGUGGUGGAGGAACCAAUGUGUUUUUUGGCAGCAAUAGAGCAUGCAGGAAAUUUCUCAUUCAGGGCUCUCUCAAAUUCUUGUACAUGGUACUUCAAAUAGCGCUCUACUGUAGUUACGUGCAUAAGCUUAUUUGGCUCAGCUUUCCCCAGUCUCUCAAUGUAGACAGGCCUUCCCUCCUUGUCAACUCCAUGAUAUCCUUGGGGAUAAUAGCGCAGAACUUCCUCCAGCUCUUCAAAUUCAAAGUCCUACAAUCAAUGAAUUAGAGCACUGUGGCAUGUCAGAUAACAUCAUUUAACAAUGAAUUUGGUUAUAUAAAUAAUAAUAUUCUCAGAUAUAUGACCAUGAAUACUGCUGAAACAGACAUUUGCACUUCAUUGAUAACUGCUAAAUGCCGUACACCACUAUAGAUUAAUGUGGACUACAUGGAUUGCAGAAUACUGCAAGGGUAACCUUCAAGGCCGCUGAUGAUUUAUGACAGUGCUCAACGAUCCAUAAAUUGAGGUAGAUACUGAGCAUCCCGUUUUUAGUUACUCUUUAUGCAUGUUCAAUUUCUCAAUCCAGGGGUGCUAAAACCAAAAUCAGCCCCAUAUGUCACCAAUCACAAGAAGUUCAAGCAACAUAUUUUUCUUCCAUACAUGCUUUCAGACAAAAACUAAAGUGCCACCAUUUCUUGAUUAUUCAAGACACAUCAGGCCACCUGAUUCUCGAUGUUACUUUUGUGCAUGCUAAAUUGCUACAUAAAAUUUAACAAUGACUUUACCUCCAGAAUUGUGUCCGUUCCAAAUUCUUUUCUCCAUUGAAGCAUCUCAGCCCACAUGUGGGUUGCUUUCUCAAAGUCAAAUUUUCUAGCCUUGAGGAACCUGAUCGAAGAAAAAAGUUUAGCAAACCCCAACUUAACCUAAGCAUAAGACUUAAGUAAUGAAAUCUGGCCCAGUAGAUGCUUGAGGUAUUGGAUUAAAAGGACCAGAAAAUUUUUAAAUCAUUCUAACCUAAGCAAUGUGUGAUAGUCAUCAUGUUUAUUAGGCAACAAGUCCUUGGCAAUGAGUUGUUGCCGGAAGGAAGAGACAGCUUGCUCCUCUUCAGCAUCUCUAACAUCCUCGAUUGGAACGGAAGGAACCCUGAAAUCAACUCUCCUUCUCCCUCGUUUCUUCAAAGAGUGUGUAAAUCUACUCGAAGCAUUCAACGCUUUUUUCUUGAGAGAUCCGAUUCUCGUUUUCCUUCUCUCGUCCUCAGAGUUCUCCACAUCAGAUCUCCUUUCUUUUCUCUCCUCAUAACUGUACGACCCUUCAAGGCCUUCUGCAUGGUAGACUGCUAGUUGUAGCAUUUCGGAUGUAAGAAAAAGAACAAUGAAUUCAAAGUGUUCAUUUCAGAGCCAACUAUACAAGUUAUACCAACUACCUGACAUUUCCUUCCGAGGCACAAGACCUUUUGCUAGGACCUCAAGAUUCAAAAGAGACGAGCAGCCACUAGAACAAGGAACAAGAAACAAGGUUAAUCCAUGAACCCAUUUACAUUCUCUGAAUCCAAAAGAUUGAGAAAGGAAAGGAUAAAUAUACCUGAACGAGGGAUUCCAGAAUGCAGCAGCACAGAUGCAUAGAACUCAGCGAAAGAAGGAGAUCUCAACAACUGAUAAAGACCAAAGAGAAAAUCUUUAUAAUCAAACUGUCUUUCUGAAUCAUCUUUUCCAGAUGACAUCAAGUUGCCUUUUUUUAAAGCAUCCACUUUUCAGCUUAACAGUGUAAACCAUCUUACGAGGGUGAAUUCUAAAUCUAAUAUGUACCAAUAAAAACAAGGGAGAUAACUGACAACUCUAAGUUUGCAGAACUAAAUAAAGAAACGUAAUUGUUACAAAAAUAGGACUCGAAGGACCUGCAUUGGUUCAAUUGCUUUUAAUUGAUGGAAAGAGGCUUCGCCUCGAUUCUACUAAAGGUUCGACCUUUUAUUGAAUCCCGUCGAUAAAAUCUCCUCUACGAGAUGAAACCGCCCUUUAAAGAUCCAUUAUUGAACACCCCUCACCUGAAACCGUUUCGAAAAGCUUCUCACAAAGAUCGGAACAAACAGCCCGUCCGUCCGAACCAAGAAGCGCACUCCAAUAUCCAGUCUUGCAAGCCCCAACAAGGCGAACGCGAUCGAACAAUCAGAAUCCAAACGCCAAGAAAAAAAGAAGGGAACCGAACCCGCGCCUGAGAUCACCAAACCGACGAGGGCAACGCGAGACCUCUACCCCGUCCAACACCUCAGCCAGCAGCGAUCUGAGCGCCGAGGCCGGGACGAGAGAAGGAAAGAGAGAUCGGUUUGGGAAACCGUGAGGAACUCUCUAUCUCAGAGAAAUGACGAAGAAUUCGGAUCCCUUCUCCUCCUCCUCCUCCUCCUCUUCUCCUCUCCGCCUACUUUGCCCUGGAGAAUGGGUUUCGUCCGCCGUGGUCUUCUUUUCUUGCUUUGGAGAGGGAAAGAGAGAGCGGAGGAUUCGAGGAAGCGGGUAAAAGUCGAGAGCUCGCUGGCUGUCGUCUUGCUGUUGCCGCUCCUCUCUCUCUUUCACGCUUUCUUCACACUCCUUCCACAUCUCCUUCCUUCGCUAUUUAUUCAUCCCCUUCUCUUCUUUUGCUUACAUGUAUAAAUAAAUAUAUAUAUAUAUAUAGAAAAUGAUUUUACAUUUACUUUUUAAAUUUUAUAAAAACAACACAUGUAAAUUCAUAUUAAUAUAUCAAUUCUACUAAUUUCUUAAGCAAAUGCUACCUAAAUUGACACAUAAUGUGAUUGAUUGAUUUAGGUUGCUUUUUUCGCUUGGGUUGGCAUAACCAAGUAAGAUUUAGGGGCUUUUAAAAGUCAAAAUUCAUGUGGAUAAAAAAAAGCAAAUAUAAAUAUAUUUUUACAACUUAACAAUUAAUUUAAUAGUAGGUGGAUGAAAGAUACUAUCCAAUCCUUAUGUAUAUGGCUUACGUUAUCAAUUAUAAUAUUUUUGACGUCUUCAACAAAAUAUUAAAAAUAAAAUUAUUUUUUUAAAUAAAUAACAUAACAAUAAUCAAAUAAAAAGAUUUAUAUUAAUUAUGUUAUUUUAAAAAGACUAUAAAUAAUAGCACGAAGGAACUUCAUCGAUUAUAAUAAAUAAAAAUUAUCCUUUCAAAAUUAUGAAAAAGGAACAUUUCUCUAAAAAAAAGAUUUUUCCAAAAUUAUCUCAUAAAUAAAACUUCCAUGAAAAAGCAAAUUUAAAAUAAAAAUAGCCUCCAUUUAAUGAUGUUCGUCAUGCUAAUUGACAUGGUUGGUCUAACCAUGUUGACCAUAUCUACUUCGAUUGAUUAUUAUACGUGUAUAAUAUAACAUUAUAUAUAUUAUAUACAAUAGACACGUAGGAUUCUAUGUUGACUAUGACAUUACGACUAUCGCAUGAUUAUUUCGGAGACGUCGGACGUCACGUGAUUUGAGAGAUUCCAUGGUGUACGGUUACGAAUACGGUUGUCAAUCCUACGAGAUAUAUAUAUAUAUAUAUAUAUAUAUAUAUAUAUACAUAUAUCUCGCCUACGUGUCGCGACGUCGGGACCCACUGUUGGAUGGACGUGGAGCAAAAGUAAACGCGAGGCAUCGACAGAGACGGGAUCGUGCUUUGAGAUGGUUGAUUGGCGUCUCUAUGAUUCGUGCGAACCUGAUGCGGAACGCCCUGUGGAUGACACAUGGAACAGAUCACACCUCCAUAUCUAAUUGUCACCCAUGCAGUAAUCUCAAUUAUUCCAAACUAAACAAAAAAGAAAUGAUUCUUUAUUAUUAUUAUAAACUAAUUUUGAAUCCAUUUAAAACAUAAUUUGAACGAGUAUAUGUAGUAGCAUAAGACAUCAAAAUGUGUGGGUCCAACUGCUGCAUCAAGCACUGGCUUGAGCUCAGAAACGAUCCAAUCGGCACACAAUUAAUGCACGCACACCAACUUGUUGGUCUCAGUACUUGCACUGACAAGGACACAUCCAGUACGUCGCUGCUGCUACCCGAAGGACACAGAGAGCGCGAGCAUCGUGUUAUAGAGAUCAAAGAAAUGUUACCGAUGACACAGUUGGGAGAGAAAGGGAGAGGGGGAAGACAUUACAGGGACCACUGGUCCAUGGGGGGGGGUGGUGGAGGGAUGGGGGAAUGAUACCAAUGAUGGAAGGGAUUGAAUGAUGAAUCGGGUUGGUGGAUUUCUCGUUUGCUGGUGAGUUUGGAUGUGUUCCUGACAGAGGAAGGAGGAGGAGGAGGCGUGGGUUUGCCCUGCUGACGCGGUCAGGUCGGUGUGGGGGGUGAUUCUGACAGCGACUGUAGCAGUUUUGGUCGAUCGACGGAGAGUGUCGGCAUGUAACGGAGAGUUGUUGACGGCGGGCCGACGAAGGACGAGCAGGAAGCGAUGUAUCAGUUUAAUUUUCCCUUUUUUUUCUUCUGAUAAUUAUUUUCUUGUGGUCUCUGACGAGUCUUCUUGUCAAGUCAUUGGCGUCGAGACAACAAAGAAGAAAAUGAAAGUGAAAGAUUAAUAAUUGAAGGACAAAAACCAAGUUUUUUUUUUUCUUCCAACAUUUUAAUCCAGUUUUGUUGUUCUAUUUUAGCCACUUGGGACUCUGAAUGAUGAACAGAUUUUGGUAAUACAAUUUGACAGAAGAAUAAUUCAAGAUUGAGUUAAUAAUGCUGUUUUCUAUAUGAUUGACUCAAUCUUAAUUUUUUACAUGAAUUUUACUAGAUCGAGUCAAAAAUCACCUCUUAGGAGGUUAAAUUAAGUGAAAUUUGAGUAGGAAACUUAGGAAAAAACUGGACUUAAUCUUGAUCAUUUUUCAAUAAAAAAUUUGUCAACUUCAAAGCCUCCUAAAAAAUGAAUAAAAUUAGAUGUGAUUUCAUAAUGUUUGGAUAUUAUUUGGAAAGGGAAAGUAUAAUGUUUUCUGAAAAAAAAUCUAACACACUGAGGUCAGAUCUAAGAAGGCUUAGAUGCCUGAUAUUGAUGUGAAUGAUCAACCAAAGUUUAUCUACUGAAAGGCCUCCUAACAAAAACUGAAUAAAGCUGGAUGUUAUUUCAUACUGUUUUGACAUUAUUUGGAAAAAGAAGAAAAUAAUUUGAUGGGAGAAUACAUAGCACACACACAGGUCAAAUCUAAGAAGGCUUAGAUGCCUGACACUGAUGUGAAUGAUCAAAGAAAGCACUCUACUCUUGAUGAAGAGAUGUCAAAUGCAUCUGUCUACCCGAAUGAGAAAUGGAAAAAGAGAGAUGUGGCUCUCAAGAAUAUUAGGAUGAGAUUGUGGGACUCUCCCACCAAAUUAAAAUGAUUAGUGCCUUUCAUCAGUUGUUUUCCUCAGCAAUGGCUUAUUUUAUGGGUACAAAACUCAAGCACUGCCCAAUUUAUACAUCCAUGAUUCUUCCAUCCAUUGUGAAACCAGAGAGGAGAAUGUGGAAUUUAGCAGUCAUUAAUAACUUGCUUUUGUGGUACAAAACUCUGUUAAUAGCUCAUCGAUCAAAUGGGGGAAUUCCAAACAAAACUGUCAUGUCCACUGUCCACAAUUCUUCCAUCCACAGUGAAACCCCAGAUGAGAGAUCAGAAAGAUGGGUCUCUUGUUCCAUCAAAAGGUGAUCCCUGUCACAACCCAGAUGGGUCUCUUGUUCCAUCGAAAGGUGAUCCCUGUGGGAGACUGGGGAAGGGAUGGACGGGCAAUGGACAGUGAAAAGGAACAGAGGUUGCAGCAGAAGGUACAAAGGGUGCUGUAAAAAGCAGGGGCAAGUGCUCAUUUGUAGGCAGUGUAGGGAAUAUGGUCUCAAGCCUCUAUCUAUGAAUCAAUGAAUCCCAUCCUUCUACAAAGUAAAAAGAAACUAUUCUUGCUUAAACUUGUGUCGACAAGGUUGGUAGCUUGUCAAGGCACAGAGCCAGCACCCCAUGGGACCAUACAGCAGGUAAGAAAUAUUGGGUCUCACAUGUGUUCUUCCUCUACACUUGCACCAUUUAAUGGCCACAUCUCACAAUUUGUUUUAUUGUAUGUAAUGCAUUUAAAGCCACAUGCAAGAAAACCAGUGGAAUUCAAGCUACUUACUUGCACUCAACUUUCUCAUUGUAAUUGUGAGGGCAUGAAGGGGAUGUAGAUUGGCUCAAUCAUGUGUCCUGUCAUCUUUUCUCCUUGAAGAAUCUGUUUAUAUCAGUCACUGACUUCUCCUAGCAGAAGCAAUGGAGAUCUACUCCUUUUGACAGAGUCAAAGUUACUAUAACUAUAUGUUGGGAUUGGGGAAAUUUUGUACUACCUUGUGGCUCUUGGAAACAGUGGGGUAUCAGGCCUGGUGCUUGCACAAUUUACCCACUUGAUGUGACAAAUCAGAGAGAAAGCCCCCCACCUGUAAGAAAAAGAGAAGGCAAGUUAAGCUCAUGGCUGUUUUGUUUUAGGGUGUUGGGAAAUCAUACCUUGGUGAUUGCCAGGAAUGUGGUGUUGGAAUGAUAUAUAAUUAUUAUGCCUAUGACUUGUGCCUUUGACUGAUGGGUAAUGUGGUACUAAAGUGUGUAGGCAGAUUCCAUUAUUAUGAUGGCUAGGACAGACUCUGCACCUUUGGACAACCACCUCAUUGUGUGCAGGCCUCAAGUGAGACCCAGUACAGCCCCUCCAGUAAAGAUUAGGUCUUGUCUGAUAUGAAACAUAUCCAUUGUGCAUUUAAAUUCCCAAAUUAUAGCAUUUGUAACAAGAACAAUUACUUUCUAAUUACUUUUUUAAAACUAAAAAUGCACUAGUAAGUAAUGCCUAAUACAGAAGAUUCCUGGCACAGAAAACUGGUUAGCAACUCAGGCAAAGUGUCACUGCAUUAAAAGAAAGAAAUAUUCUUCUUUUUUCCUUUUCAAAAUCAAUCGACUAUUUUCAGCAACUUUGUUGACCUCCUCAUUGAUGGACAAAAUGCAUGUAUCUAAGUACAUUAAAUGUACACCUUUCUGAUUCCCUUUUUAUGUGUUUGUUUCUCUUUCUGUUUUGGGUAAUUAUCAUGAUUUACCAUAUUAUUUUUUUUAUUUUAUGUCAAACAUUUAUUGGGAUGUAAUGAAAUAUGCAGAAGUGUAUCUUCCUAGAAUAAGACUGAGAAUGUCAGAAUUGCACAUGAGAGAAGAGGGAAAGGUGGAAAAAAUUUUACUUAAGACACAAAAGGAUAAUAAAGAGGAAUUAGCUCCAUCAAGGAAUCCAUUAAUCCAACCUCAAAAGACCAUCCUGCCAGUAAAAGAGUGUCAAAAAAGUAGAUGUAAACACUGCAAAAAUGCAACAGAUACUCUGUAAAGAUUGUCAAAAAGUUUGGUGUACAUAUUACAUAUAACAAAAACAACACCAUAAUGUUGAUCUGCUAGAUGUACAUAUUACAAGAAUGUAACAAAUAUUCCGCUUGUCCUUUUCAUAGUUUUUAUUUAUGUUGUCAUUUUUUCUUCCCUGCCCUUGUCCUAAUUGCUUUGGAUCAUGAACUAGCACACUCCCAAGGGGACAUGAUCUAUAAAAUGUCAAAAUCUGUCAACAUUCCAGAAACAUCUAAGUGACCCAUAUUUCUACAUUGCAUGCAUAUUAUACUUAAAUUUUGUUGUUGGUUUGUUCAUUUUUAAUAUAUUUAAAAUUCUAUUAUACUCAUGCAAAACUAGAACCAGGGGUUUCCAAAGUAAAGAAUAACUAAUCGAGGUUAAAAAUGUUGAUCAAUAUUGGUUUCAAAUCUUGUCGAACCAAUACGAUACAAAUAUAUUAAGCGAGUGUUCUGACAUAGCUGAAAAUCUUGAUCAAGUAAAUUAUGAAGUAUUACAAAGAGAAGCCAAAAUACUUGCAGAAAUAACUUUGCUUGGCAAUAGCAGCAUAGACAGCAAAUGCAAAAUGAAACAAAAAACACAUUUUGCCAAGAAAAGCCAAUGCCAACAUGGUCAUUCUCCAUUACCAAAAGAAGCAAAAAGUUUGCAGAAAAAAAUUUGCUCACUAGUAGCAGCAUAGACAACACAUGCAAAAUGGGACACAAAACACACUUUUGACACGAACAGCCAACACUAACAGUCAUUCUAUAUUACAAAGAAAAGCAAAAAAAUUUGCAGAAAUAACUUUGCUCAGUAAUUGCAGCUUGGACAAUUGCAGAAGACACUUUUGCAAAGGAGAGCCAAUGCCAACACAGUCAUUCUCCAUACAGAAGCCUACACAACCUUACUAUUCCUACCAAUAAAGUGCAGAAUAGCAACAAAACCUUAUCAAAGGAUAAGGAAUUUAUCCCAUGGCACAUUUCUGGUCCAAGAUCAGGUGGUUGUUUCAUCAAGAUUAGGGUCUGUCAGAAGUGAACUUAAGGGAUAGCAGCACAUAUAAUGUAUCAUCAUGCACCAAUGAGCUUAGAAACUUAAUAAUCAGAGUCAAUACACAAAUUUUAAAUGGUAAUAUUAUUUACCAAGAUAUUGAUAUAAUUACCUCACAUCUGUGACUGCUGUAUGAUGACAACAACAUGCACAAGAAUCAGAUUUGGAUCAAAUCAGAUUUAGAAGUGUAGCCAAGCAUCUGAUUCAGCUAGGAGACAAUGUAGAAAUAUUGAGAAGAAAAAAUAAGUGUGACUAGUAUCAUAUUCUGAGAAUGUGAAAUACAAGUUCUUUAAAAGACUUAAUAUCACAAAAAGAUUCACGCAUCUUAUACUGUUAUGUCGAUUGAGAUUGUAACUGCAUGAUUAAAGAGUUAGAUAACUCAACAGUAAGAAUCCAUGUAACACCAUAACCAACCCAAUCUAUCCUAGCCCAACUCUCAGACCCAAUGUAAACAGGCAGGACUCUGAAAGAAAACAAAUAGGGGUACUUUUAUAGCUUCUUUGUUGUUCUGAUAGAUUGCUCAAGACCGUCCCAACCUAAAAAUCUCCAUGCAGAUUUAAGUUCUGUGACACUACGAAACAUGUAUUUCAGAAGGACAUUUAGCAAGGAAGAUCCUUAUUUAGACCUGCCAUAGAUUACUGCACUAUGUUUUCAACACUUGGAUUUAUAAUUUUGAAGAUAUAUAGUCUGCUCUCUUGACUGCUACCUGAAUAUUCUGAGUGGUAUUCUUCGGCGGCACAAGCCUUUCAGUGUACAAUUCAAUAGCAGCUCAAUAUGUAAACUAACAAAUCAACCUAGUUUCCCAGUUCAUAAACAGGUUGCAGAUUAUAGUUAUGAAAUUAUUGAUGUGAUUACAGAAUAUGAACUCAGGCAAGUAGGUGGAAUUUAAAGCACCUGUAACAAUUGGGAACAAAGGUGAUCAAUUAGAAGUCCACCAUGCAUUUCAGAGUCGAACUUGAUGGCCCAAUUAACCCAGACACAACCAGCACAAACAAUCAAAUUAGUUAAACUGAUGUAUAAAAUCAGUAACAAUUGGGAACAAGCCUACAAUGUAUAAUCACAUGCAGUUUCCAGGACUGCAACAUCACUGAAUUUGAACAACAGUUUUCAAUAGAAAUCCAGAAUUGAUGCGGUGCACAUGCAAACAGUAUGUUACCAUUUCACCUUACAUCAGAUUACAGAUCCAGUUGCUUAUAUGUGUCUCGUGAGUUUCAAGAUAGAAUUAAGGCGAUGGCUUCGGUUGCUACCCUUAAGGGAUUCUGCUAGCAGCUAACCUGAUUAGUACUUCAGUCGCAGAGAACCACAAAUAGCUUCAUACAAAAUACUGAUAUCCAGUGCCGAAGAAACCUAAUCUCUGAGAAAGAAGCAAGAAUUAUGUGUAAGCUAGUGUAAAUCCUUUGGGAUUCUUUUAUGGGAAAAAUUAUGAUCUAACAAGAUCCUACAAUCACUAAUUCUUUCAGAUACAAAUAACUUGUUAGCAACACAGCCAACGAAAAAAAAACUUCCUUUACUAAAAAAGGUAAACUGCUUGGACAAAUGAACUUCAAUGGUAACUUGAGCAAGAAACACUUACAAUAUUUACUUGCAACUCGUAGUGAGAGUUACUUUGAAGUUCUGAAGUUUGCCAGACUCGCAAGUACAUCUGCAAUAGCUCCUUCAUUCUUAUGCUUAUUUGUCUGAAAAUAUAUAAAACAAAAAAUUUUCAUGUGACAUGUUCGAGGGAUCUGACGGUUUAAAAGGAGUAACUCCUCGAAAGUAAAACCAUGACAAACAUACAACUAAAUAAAAAAGCGCUAAGCGCUCGCCUAGGUGCCCACCAAAGCGAAGCAAGGCGCUCCCGAGUAUUAUAAUUAAAAUCAUAUACAACUAAAUAAAAAUAUGCUAAGCAUGUUUAUGAAGAUUUGUCUUAAAAUUAAACUGCUUUGUACACUUGUCAUUAAUUCUAAAACCUAAUAUAUAAUUUUAAAACAACAAAGAUUAGAGAUUUAACAAUCUAUUAUUAACAGUAUAUUAUUUAAUGUUAACAAUAGUUAGAGAGGAGAAAAAAACCAUUAAUAGUAGCAGAGGGGGGAGAAAAAAACAAGCUAGAGAAAAGUGUCACCAAUAGUUGACAGUAGGGAAGGAGAAGACAGCGGUGACAGAGGAAGCUGUGGACGACAGUAGUAGCGGUGGAGGAAGCUGCUGAUAAUAGUUGCAGCAGCGGAGGAAGCUACUGAUGAUAGCUGCGACAGCAGCGGAAGCUGUGGACAGCAGCGACGAAAGCUACGGACGACAACGUCGUGGAUAAAGGAAGCUUCCGAAGUAUAUGUCAGUCGUGGAGGAAGCUGCGAUCCUCUCCCUCGACGGUAGGAAUUGCCAACGGCGGUGGAAGGAAGCUAUGGACGAAGGCUAAGCAGUCAGAUCUGUUUGUCAGCAACAGAGGAGGCUUCGGUCUACUGCGUCUGCAGCGGAGGCAACGGCAAAAAGCGUUGGCGACGGAGGCACGAGCGCUCUCUAGGGUUGAUUGGUCGAGGUCACACGGGCGUGCGAGGUGGCUUUUGCAGGUAAGAAAGUGGUUAGUUGAUUCAAUCGAACCAAAUAACCACUAUUGAAUCAAACUAGACUUAAAAAGUCUAGUUCGAUUCAACUAUUUGAACCGAGCGCUCGCCUAAGUCAUCCUACGCCUGGGUUUGGGCAAGCACCCAAGCGGCACCUCAUUGAAGCGCGCUGCUGGUGCAUUGUUGAGGAGCUUGGGCCUCGGCUCACCCAAGCGCCGAGGCGAGCUCCCAAGCGCCCAUUUAAAUCACUGGUAAGUGGCAAAGGCAUAAUUUGAUCCCAAGAUCUUGCUAUCAACAAUCAAGGUCAGUACUUCUAGCUAAGCUAGUUGACAACUUCUAUAUAUGCCUUUUUGAUCAUGUGGAAUGUGAAGGAUAUGUAUAUACUAAAUUACCCAUGCAACUUCCAAAACCAACUAAUUCCUUUUUCCACAAGCAAAGAAUAAAAGUUUCACUGUGCAGCAGAAGCUUCAAUCAUAUUUUGUAACAUAAUAUGUUCUUAGAAUUCUUAUCAAGCAUCAUGGCUAAAUAAACAUAUAUCUAUGUUUAGUAGCAACAUUAAUCUUAGAAAAAACAAAACCAUCGAUAUGAUAAUCUUAAAAGAAAUUCCAAUUUACAUUAAAAAGACAGAUCUGACCUUUAAAGAAGGUAUUAGCGCAUAAACUUCAUCAAGGGUCUCAGGAUCAACAUUUCCAAUCAUGCAUAUCUGUAUCAAAAUUGAAAAGAAAACCUCAGAGGGCAUGACACUGGGUCAAAAAAGGAGGAGAAGAAGAAGGACAAAGAACAUUAUAGUUGAGCUCCAAACCUCGCCAUCAGUAACCCCAUUCUGUUUCAAAGUCCUAGAACUUAAGUUAAUGGCCAAACAGGCAGUUUGUUCAGUUGGGCAAGUGACAAAGUACACAACAUAACUUACUAAAGCAAGUUCAACCAAAGGAUACUCUAAAACUUGUCUCACGGACUGAACAUUCGUGUAGUGAGCAUUGAUUUUGGCAUACUGCAAAGCUUUGCUAAAUGACCUGAAAGAAAAAAAACUGAUAUUUAAAAAGUUCUUUACCAGUAAGAAAAAUUAGGAAGGACGAUGCCUGAAGAAGAAAGUUAAAAUCUAAUUCCUAGACCAUUACUCAGGCAUUUUUAUCUUUGGAUCAUCUGAUAAAACAGUCAUGUGUCCCUGGAUUUCUUGUAAAACUUCUGCUGCUUCGCAAUCCAUCAACAAUCUAGCCCCCUUUAGAAGUUCUGCAAGUCAAUCAACAAAUAAUCUAUAUUUCUAGAAGUGUCUAGCUGGGAAUAGAUGUUUAGAAUAUCAACAGUAAUGACAAAGUUCCAACUUAAAAUAAACUAUCAGCAUAUGAUUAAGUCUGAUGUUCAAACAGAAAAAAAAAGGUUAUUAUAUAUCUCUUUUGCCUGAUUGAUUCAAAAUCUUUUUCUAGUCCAAUAUUGAUAAGUUGGAUUUGUGGAACCAAAAACUCCAAAUUAAGCUUACAAGCAUCAUUAUGUUUUACAUCAUCAAAAAUAUAUACUAGGUGCAUUUAUGAAGCAAGGUUACUUCGACACCUACAUAACUAAUCAGCUUUGGAUAAUGCCCUAUAAUGCUUAGUAGGACAUAAUCUGAUUCCAUAAAUAGAAUGUCAACUUCACAUUAAAAAAAUAUUCAUGAUAGCAUAUGUUUUGAAGCCAAAGGGAAUAAUGUAAAUCAAUUUACCAGUCAUGGCAUAAUAUAAUGACAACUAUGGAUGGUAAAACAAACCUAGUAUUUUUCUUAAUUAAAUCAUUUUAGUUUCUACUUUAAAAAAGUGAGUUAUAUAUAUGUACAAAAAAAACCUCAAUAUGAAGGAAGAUAUGCAUAUACACUGUGGAUUGUUCAUGGUUUCCUUCACAAUAUAUGUAUGUGUACGUAUAAAACAAGCCUUGACAAGAAAGGAGGCUACAUACAUGCUUGUAGAUAACAAGCCUCGAUAUGAAUUGUGAUGGAUCCCUUCCUAAGGUUCUCUUCGACAGACACCUUAUAGUUCAGGAUUGUGGUAAAAAGAACAUAGAGCUGACAAUUAGGAAAAAACAAUAGCACCUGACCAAAUAAGGUUGGGAGUCUGAUUGGACCUUGGUUCUAUGGUGGCUUAAAAUAGAAGAUAUGGAAAGCACAGAGUAUAGGUAAACAUGAUGUCUAAUAACUCCUAAAGUUCCCAAUAGCUAGCAGAAAUCAAACACACUAAAAGCAUUAAAAAAAAGAGAUAAGAACUGAAAAAGAUAGAACAACUUUGCUGAUAACAAGAACCAACCUAGUUCAAGUUUCAAUUCCACUUCUGUAACCAGGGGCUUUAUUGGUGUUGCUUCUGGUAUACUACCCUUUCCACCAGCCUUUCCUACACUAAAACCUUUUCCUCCUUUUCCCAAGUCUCCUGCAAAGUUAAACAUGACAAAGAACUUAUUUUCACCUGAAAUUGUUCAAGGAAAGUAGAACAACACCUCCUGAGAUUUUGUCAAUAUGUGACAUGAAAAUUUAUAUAAAUAACCAAAGAGGUGCAAAGGCAAACCUUUAGCAGUUGGUGUAUCAAACGAUGUCUUCCCACUUGAUUUCAGACUUCCAAAGGAGACUUUCUUCUUACCGGAUUUCUGUUCAGCUGAUGAUUUUUCAUUUGCAUUUAAAGAAGUUGGAACUUUUUCUUCAACAAAACCUAAGAAUUAAUGGCCAAAAGUGAGCAGCAAAUAGUUUUAAGUAUACAUAUAAAUUGGUCAAUGCUAUUUGGAAAAUUUCCUACUCCUCACUCGGUUGACACGAUCUGAGGCACAUUACUCAUAACCAAAGAGCAAAAACUUUUACAGUUUACAUUUUGCCUUGCCUUCUGUUAUUUGGCAAACAUUCAUACAACUUAUUUUAUCCAAAUUGCCACAAGUUGCAACACAAAUCAGGCCUAUUAAUUGAAUGAACACUGCUCAGGAUGUUUACCCAUAAAGCAGAUAACGAAAUCAGGACAUGUACCCAGUGCUGAUCAACAAACUAGGAGGCACCAACUUGGUAAGUGUGAUGUGAAAACAACAAAGAUGGAUUACUAGGAACACAUCCAACAUCACAUAAUUUUAGUUUCAACUUCCAGCUAUAAAAUCAGUGGUUAAGUAAAUUUAUAAAUACUUUAACCCAACUGGUUUGCACAAAUCUCUCAUUUCGGACCAUAAAGUAUUAAUUAGAACCAAGAGGAUUUCAAUUCCGAUGAUAGUCUAUUCUCCCUUUCCCAAUGAUGUGGAGAUGGUCAAAACCAGAAUGUUGUAAGAUAUAUGGCCCUAUCAGCACAUGCAAGCACAUUGCUAUGCUGGACAUUUAAGAUACUGAAUAGUUGAUUAAAAAAUAGCAAAUGCAUUUUGCACUAAACAAAGAAAAACUUUAUAUAUAAAUGCUGUUAAUUUCCUUUUAUUGGAUGUGUCAUUUUUUGAUAUCCAAGAAAUGAUAAAAUGACAUCAAAACUAUGAACUGUCACGGACAAAACUAUAAACAGGGGGUUUAAUGUAAUGCUCAUGUAUGUCCGUGUCUUUUGGUUUGUUCACGCUUUGCGCAACAUGUAGCGGGACGGUCGAAGGCUUAACAACCCUAUUUUAGUUGGGUUUGGUAGUCGUUUUAGGCUUGUAAAUAAAUAUUAUGUCAUGUGAACAUUUGUGAGAGAUCUCGGUCUAUAAUGGAUCAUUUUGGAUCCUUUGUUGUGCGAUCGUUCAGAGCUUGUGAAGUCUGUUUGUAAUUUGUAUUGGUUAUGGAGUAUUUUCUUGAAUGUUUGCUUGUGAAUCUCGAGUGAGGCGUUUUCUCUAACCUGUUUUCUUUUUGUAGGUCCUAAGGGACCAUGGGAGGUUUCGAGGGGAUUGACCUUUGCGGACGGACAUGCAAAGGUGCCGCACGACUUAGGCAAAACCAGUUAAGUUCGUGACAGAACGGAAACUUCAUCCAUCAAAUUAGCCCUUCGAAAGGACUAGAGGCAACAGCUUGACGUGUACCUUUAGCUGCAAGGCCCUCAUCUUGCUGUUGAGAACAGGAAAUUUUCAUCCCAUUUACUAUCGCAACUAACAAACAACAUUUGUAUUUAUCCUAGUUAGAGAAAAUCUACAUAAAAAAUGAAAACUAGAGGACUGGAAAAAGCAAAAAAAAAAGUCAUCAACCUUCAAGCUCAGAGUCCGAGGAGUCAAUUUCAAUAUGUGUUGACUCGUCCAUAGCACCACUGUUAUUUCCUUUGAGUGAUCCUGCAUGCAAAAGGUUGCUUUAGAAAGUGUCCAAGCACAAGAAGCUCAUCUCAAUCAAGGCAGAGUCCAAGUUAAUGAAUAUUCUCACAGGUCAAGGAUCAUAGUACAACUCCAAGUAGAAGGUAGUCAUAUACGUACAAAGGAUCUUCCAGUAAGAGAAACUACACAAUACAUAAUCACGUCAUGAUAGAUUUCAUAUUAAGGAAUUGACCAAAGCAUACAGUGACAAGGGCCACAAGGAGGAAGGGGUGUGCAUAUCUGUACUCCAGACUGUUAUUAUGCUGGAAAAUUUUACUUUUUCUUUAAGAAAUAUAACAGCACAAAAAGCCAAAGGAAGAUUCUUGCAAGGCUACCUUCUCAAGAUGACAAGGAAUACAUUGACUUCUCAGUUAAAGUGGUUUCAUUACAGAGAUAAUAGUUUAAUUAUAUAGAGAAAUAAGUAAAACAAUUGUAUCCUUUCAUCAAGAAGACAAUGGAACAUCAACCCAUUAUUUAGCUAACAGUGGCUAUCAACUUACAAAUAACAAGGUACUAACACUGAAGAAUGCAGACAGGAAGUCAGCUAGCUUAUGAGAUAGAACAAAUCAUAGAGAUAAAGCACAAGGUUUAAUAGUUCUCGACGACCAACCACUGGACGAAAAGGAAAUAAUAGACUUAGGUUUAAUAGUUCUUCCAACAUAACCUGAUUCGGAAGCAAGCAUACGUAAAAAUCGGAUCGGAUUGCUUCAAUCUUGCUUCAAAAUAUGACCAAGAAAAGUACGAAAAGGAAAAUGUCCGACCUUGCUUCAAAGGCGCAGCAGCCUUCCCUCUCGGGAGGGGAGACCCAUUUCCCCCUUUCUCUGCCAUCGAUGUAGAAAGAGAAAGGGAUUCUUCUCCGGCUAAGAAAUAGCGCUCGAUCUGAUCUCGGAGAUGAGGGCUCAACCAAUGCGGCGAAGGAUCCGAAUCGAAUCGAAGACCGGUGAAGAGCGACUCCUCAAACCGUAGGGCUCACUUCCGCCACCUGCGUCCACCGUGAGAUGAGACAGGCGUGGCUUCUAACGAUAACAGAGCGAUAUAUAUAUAUAUAUAUAUAUAUAUAUAUAUAUAUAUAUAUAUAUAUAUAUAUAUAUAUAUAUAUAAGGUUAAAAAUAAUUAAAAAUACAUUCAUGUAAUUUAAGUUUCACAGUGAAAUCAGUCAAACUUAUUAAACCAAAUCGGUCAACGAUGCUACAGUAUUUCUAUCAUUAAACUAACAAAUACUAUAUCAAUAAUAAUUAACUUAAAUUCUCGUAAAUAUUAAUUAUUAACUUUAUUAUAUGUAUUAAAUAUUCACAAAAUAUUUCAUUCAGAUCUUGAAUGGAAAUUAAGAAUAUUUUGAUAUAUUUCAAAACAAAAGGAUGGUAAAUCCUUUUUUUUUACAUGAUAAUCAAUAAUAAAAUUUUAAAAUUUUCACUUUGUCUUGAAUUUAGAUGUAUAUAUUUUAUAAAAAUAUUAUUAUAAUAAUAAUUAUUUGUUACGAACCAAUGUUAGUAAAAUCAAAUCAUUUUUUGUAUUGGUAUCGUACUAUCUUUCGUUUGUUCAUACUCUAGUAACACGUUUGUUUAUAGGGAUCUUUUGUCAUCGAAGGUAAGUGAUGAAGGAGAGGAGACAUGACUCGUAAAUUCAUGGAGCGAGGGCAAUCGUCAAUUUAACAGAAAUAAAAUAAAAUAAUACUUUCACACGAAUAUUAUGUGAGAAUUUUUAAAAAUUAAAAAUAUUAUAUAAAUGUUUUUUAAAAUUAUAUUUUUUGAAAAUUCAUCCAUAAAUCAUUCAGUGAAAUCAUACCAAGCAGUUGUCAGAUACCACUGCAGAAUUCUCUGCUCUGUGAUAAGAUUCUUCAUGCAACCCAACAACUAAAAUAUAAUAUAUUGGUUGUCACUGCUACAAGUUUAUCUUUCAAUCACAGUCUCUCUGAUAAGGACAUAUUAACUCCUAAUCUCCAUCUUUUUUGGUUUCUUGUACUUAUUUGUAGCUAUCUACCUUAUUACAUCUUCACCUCAUGUGUUAUUAAUUAGUCUCAAAUCUCAUCAAGCAUGCAGUGAAACCACCAUAGAAGCAUAGAUUUCUACUCCCACUAAUUUAAUCUGCCCUGUAGCAACAUUAUCUUCUGCUUAAUCAAGAUAUAUGAAGCUCUGAAUGUCAAGAUGAUCAAAUUUCAAAAGCAAUUAUCUCCAACACAAACACUUCUCCAAAUCUAAUUGCCAAUGCACACACAGUGUUGGUAAAAUGAUGUGCUAUUCUGCAUGGAGACAAAUGGUGCAGUGAACAUGAAAAGGAAAUCUUUUGACACAAUGCACUGAGAGCUUUCUGUCUUGACUUGAACUGCAGGGGAGAAAGCAUUCAUCACAGGAAAAGAGCCCUGCAACUCUCACUGUCACUGGAAGAAGCUGUGACUUUGCAGGUGCAUGGCCACCAAAUCACCACCAUUCAUGGUGCUUUAAGAGCCACAUGGAUGAAGAUCUGAAGCACCUGAGCUCAGGAUCAUGAGCCAUUAUGAAGAGGGAGAGGGGAAUUAGGUCAGACCAUUGGUUGGCAUGCUUGCUUCCACAUAAGAACAUGCCUUUUUGCUGGACUCUUCCAUGAUCACCAUGACCUUUUCCUUCACUUCAUUUGUAUUGAGGCCUCGAGCUGAAGAAUGUUGUGUGGCUCAACUGGCAAUAAGCAUCCCUUGCAAAUUAAUGUACAUAGUAAAGAGAGUUAAAGAGUUUUUUGUUUUGCUACUUAAGUGAUUAGAUUCCAAGUUAUAUAUUAACAUUCUUUUAAUCUCAAUACCAUUUAAUAUUGAAUGAUUUAUAUGUCAGAUAUUAAAAUAUUUUGUUUUUAUAAUAUUAAUUAAUAUAUAGUAUGAUAGGAGGACUAAUUAUAUAUUACCUCAUCCAGUUAGUUAUUUUUAACACCUCGAUCUGUACACUUAAAAAAAAUUAUAUUGACAUCAUUAUAAUUACGAAAGUAAAAUAUCUAAAUAUAUUUAUCAUAAAUAUAAUGUUUAUAUAGUUAUAAUGUUAGGAUAAAUGGGUUUAAAUAUUUUAUUUUUAUAAUUAUAAAGAAUAUAAAUAUAAUUUUUAAGAUAUAAAAAAUAAUUAACUAAAAAAAUAUAUAUAUAAUUAGCAUCACAUAGGAUGAUCAAAAUCUGGAAAGGUGGAGCCCUUGCAAUUUAAGGUGGAGUCACAUGAAUCUUAACCCAAAGCAAUGUGGUUGAGUCAACCACAAAAAAAGAAAAGCUUCGAGAUUAAGGCUGUGUGCAUAGAAGCCAACAAAAGGAGCUCAUUUACCUCUUGCGACUGCCCCCACAGUGAACUGUGAAUGCUAUGCCACUUUGCCUCUCUUUUACCUCCCACUAUAAAUACCUUCGCUUUCUGUUCCGCCUCCUGUGGUGUCUCCCUGCCCUGCUUGCCCUUCUCCGCCGGCUGAUCCUGGAUUGCCCUGGGCCAUCGAGAUCUCGCCGGGAUCCGUGUCGCCGACGACCCGAACCUGGCCGGAAAUUGCCGUCGAUCUCGCCGGAACCAUGGCUUCCGGCAGAUUCAUGGCCUACUCCCCUUCUCCCUCCACCGCACCGCACUCCCCCCACAUCCCUGGCAUCCGCUCCGCCACCGGAGCCUUCGCCGAGCAGGAGAAGUAGGGCGCCUCCUUUUCCUCUCAAAAUCCCGGCUUUUGUUGGAAAAUGGUUGCUCCUGACCUUGUUUGGUCUUCGAUCGUCUCCUUUUUCUUGUUUCAUCGACGAUCCAUCCAUAGCCUCGAACUUCCUCUUUCUUUUGUCCUGAUCCUUAAGGGCUCCUCUUAUGCGGUUUUUGGACGAUCGGAUAUGUCGCUAACCAUCUUCUAGAUUUCUCCACUCUAAAGCUGAGAUCUUUCAGAUGCCUUUUACAUCCUUGUUUGUGGGUUGGAUUCUGGAUUAUCGUCAAAUAUGAUAAAUUUUGUUUAUUUCCGUGUCCUAAUGUCUAUUUACUGAGUUCUACAAUUAUUUGCAUUAUUUUCCAUGAUCCUUCGGAUGUCCUUUCUUUGCAAGAUCUGUUAAUUUCGACUAGGAUUAUAGUGUAGAUUUUCAGUUGACGGGUCGUUCUUUUUCUGCAUAAAGGAAAGUGUUGAGACUCCCAAGAUCGUGACAAAGGGCUAAUUGAUAAUUUGCAGGUAUCUCUCAGAGUUACUUGCUGAGCGUCAAAAGCUGAGUCCUUUUGUGCCCGUGCUUCCCCAUUGUUAUCGUCUACUGAACCAGGGUGAGAUUCAUAAUUUAACUUCAGUAAUUUCAGAUGCAUCAGGAUGUUGCUUUUGUUCUUCUUGAGACCUUUCAAUCUUCCUUUUCGAAAUGCCUUGCUUAUUGCUCUUAAGAGGAUUUUGUCUGAACAUUCUGAUGGUGCAUUACCUUAUGAGUUUGUUUAUUCCGUAGUUCUUUGCAUUUCUUUUGGCUUCAUUGCAUGGAAGGACACAACUGACGAGUCUCGUGUGUUAAUCUAUUACUAAAUUCUCCUUCAAGAUCAAAAUCAACUAAUCAGUAACAAGUUAUUGUGUGGUGGUAGAUGUCACGCACACACAACCUCACUCGCUCAUACGUAUUCUUACUUCAUUUUGCUUUUAGCAUCUUUGUCCUUCUUUCAUUGCCUGAAAACGCUUUGUCUUCCUGAAAAUUUACUUGUCACUAGAUCACUUUGCUAGCCUGUUUAUAAGUCACUAUAAUCAUUGGCUGUGAGCUGUGACCAAGUUAAGAAAGCCAAGGUUCAUUAAGAUAACUUAACCAAUGCAGAGAAUUAUUAGAAUUGUCUCUUUCAAUCAUAUUAAGUUGUCAAUAAUCAGUACCUUUUGCAGCAGUAGAACCUCCAAUGGGCAGGCCGAAAUUACUUUGGGACCUUGGCAUGGAAGCAUUGAGGUCAGGGAUUACUAUCAUGUUUGACAUAAGAGACACUCCCAUAGCUUUUUGGACAGUGGCCUCCAAAUUGAUAUGAGAUGGCAUGGAAGCUUAAGAUUCCUUUUAGAAUAAAAGCUGCAAGCGUACUGUCGGUAAAAAAAAUCUUGCCAUGACUAUAAUAAUUGAAAAAGAGCAGAUGAUGCCUCUUCUAUGCUCAGGUGCUUGGGCAUAUGUUCUCCCAAGGAGGGCAUGAACUUCUCUUGUCCUAACACUACUUUGGGAAGGAUGUGUUUUACAUUUUUGUGCUGUGUGGUCGAAGAUCUGUUGGCAAACAUAUUUUCUAGAGGUAUCUUCCUAUUCUUCUAGGUUGUUUGGUUCAUUAUGUUAUGGGUUUGUGAUUUUGAAUGAGAAAAUUUUUGCACUAACUGAUUGUUAUUAUUAGACUGAUGAUCUUUAUUGUAGCAAAUAAACAUGAGACAUUAAACAGUUAACAGAUACAAACAUCAGUCUAAUUGUCUAAAUAUUUAUAUCUGAACAUGCAAAAACAUAAUAGUUAAGCAUUCAUUUUUUAUAAAAAAACAUGAACUAUAGCUGCAAAACAACGAUAAAAGAGAAAUUAUUGAAAACCAGAACUUUUUCACUAAGGGCCAUCAAAACUUCUUAAGUUGACUAAAAGCCUAGAAACUUUCUUAAGUUUACUAAAGCCUAUGAACUUUUUUUGUAAAGUAGACGAUGCCUGCAGAUCAUCCAAUUCUCUAGCUAUGUAUCUCUAAUUCUCAAUGGAAGUUCCAUACUUCAAAACGGAAAAAAGCGCCUAUGAACUUUCUUAAGUUUACUAAAAGCCCACGGGCAUAACUUAUGUUAUGUUGUUAUGAUACAAAAAUGAAUGAUCGAAGCAUACAAGAAGGCAACCUUAACUAUCUACCCUUUGGUCCAAUUAAUUGAAUGACUUUAAUCGUCUUAGUUUUUAAGCUCAAUAAAAGGUGGAAGUAUUAAAAAAAGACCAACUUUAUCAACCGUCUGUUCCAACUAUUGUGAUCAUUUCAACGUCUUAGUUUGUAAAUCUUGUCAUUGUUUUAUGGCUUGCAUUGGAAUAACUUGUACUCGUUUGAUGAUUCAAUUAAGAAUUUGUAGCAUGUAGCUGACAGUGUUAGUCUGGUUGUAUACUGAUUGUAAACUAACCAUUUGUUUGAGCCAUGUCUGUACAUUUACUGAUUACUAAUUUAUUAACAAAUGCUAACCUAUACAUUUUAUGCUUGAAAUUGACAUUUUGAAGCAGAGAUAAUACGUGUUACAAUGCUCUUGGGAAAUGCAUCUCUUUUAGAUCAAAGUGGGCUUGAAUAUGGUAGCCCAAUGACUACUGGAGGAUUAUUUUCAAAUGGAGGAGCAAAUGAUAUGAAUGGAUGGGCAUCACCCUUCCAAUCUGAAGUAUGGAUACUAACCAUUAACAUAAUUCCCUUUUUAACUAAAUCUGCUGUUUAAAGAAGCAUUCUUGAUGUUUCAUGCUAACUAGAAUUGACUUCUUGUUUGACUUUUACAUCUUGAUUUAUUUUAACACUUUAUUCUAACUUGCUGUUUCCAGUUCUUUGUGUUCUUGAACUAAUUUCAGUAUCUAUUUCAGAGCUGUAUUUAUUUAUGUUUAUUUGGCUGUUACAAUCCUGUAUGACUACCAUAAGUCCAUCACAUGAUGUGUGGACCCUUUUUGUCUUAGGAUUGCUAAUUCUGGAGGUAGUUAAACUUGUUUGCCUGAUGUUGAUUUGAAUUGUCAUUCAAUGGUGUUUUGAAUUGAUCAACAGUCUAAUCUCUUCAAUAAUUAUCAUGGAUUUUAUUAAUGCAUAGUAAUUACUCUUGAUCGGUGUAGCUUGAUCGUCUGGAUUCCUCCUGCAAGCCUUGUAGCAAAAUAUUAGUCUCCAAAAUGUGCUUAAGGCCUCUUAUUGAUUUUGCAUAAAUGCCAUUUCAAACUUGAAAGUCACAUAAUAAAUUAAUAUUCAUUAUGGAGAAGCUAUUGUCUAAAUUUAUUUAUAUUAUGCAAUAUCUUACAGAAAUAGAUUUUGAAAUUUAAAUUUGAACUCUUUACCUACUUAUUAUGUACCGCACUACACUGUUGUCUUUGAUCUUCACGCCCAUCCAAUCUUAAAAUCUUUCCACACAAAAGACAUAUUUUUAAUAAACUAUGCAUCUCCAAAUCUGUUAUUUCAUGUGUAUUGUACUUUCUUUCAUUUAAACAAUUAGAUGUAAUGUGCAGAGGAUGGGACUGGUGCAGCCUUCUUCUGCACAUAGUUGGCUUGGCUCUGAAGGUAGCUCCUCAGGUCUUAUUGUGAAGAAAACCAUCAGGGUUGAUAUUCCUAUAGACAAAUUCCCUACCGUAAGUUCUUUCUCUUUGCUCAAGUCUGAGCUUUAUUACAACUCAAACCCACAAGGUAGUUCUAGUUUUUUCCUCUUUUUCUCAGUUCAAUUUUGUUGGGCGGCUCCUUGGUCCUCGAGGAAACUCCCUAAAGCGAGUGGAGGCAAAUACUGAUUGUCGUAUACUGAUUAGAGGGAGAGGAAGCAUCAAAGAUCCCACCAAGGUAAACCAUGGUUACAUAUUUAUGUAUCUGAUUUUGCAAUAAUCCAUGGUUACGUAGAUGUGUAUCUGCCUCAUCAACUGAUCACCACUCCAAGGUUCCAAAUAUAUGGAAAGGAACAUUUUAUGUAUUAAAAAGAUAAGUUCCAUAGUCAGUUUUGACCUUGAUAUCAUGUUAAAUUGUUCUUUUGGAUUGUUCGUGUAAAUAUUAUCGUUCAACAAGUUUAGAAGGUAUGGUUAUAUGAGGAGACUGACUGAUUCUCUUAUCAUAUCUGAUGAAUACUACUCAACUGAGUUUUCAUAAAAAUGCCAAGAUUUAACAUCCAGAGCUUAGUUGUAAAUUUUCAUCUUUAUACUGUCCCUUUGUUCAUGUUCUUUUUCUUGUUUGUGUCAUAUGAAUGAGAUGCUACAUCAUGUUCUGCAUCUUAUUAACCUGUUCUGGUAUCCAUUUGAAGUUUAUGUCUGUUCUUUAUUCUUCUCUGCCUGUGCCAAUUACCUUGGGCUCAGUAUCCUGUUUGGUCAAGACUGUAACCUUGCAACUUGAAUUGUCUAUAUUUGACUGCUACUAUUUCGGUGAUAAUUUCUGUAAGAGAAGGUUAUUAGUGGGAAACCAGCAUAUGGACAUUUGAAUGUCUUGCUUAGUAUGGAAUCUACAAAUGUAUGACUGUUCUGUUUGUGCUACUUGUAGGAGGAGAUGAUGAGAGGAAAACCAGGAUAUGAACAUUUGAACGAGCCACUUCAUAUACUGGUAGAGGCUGAACUGCCAGCAGAAAUUGUUGACACUCGUCUGAUGCAAGCUCGUGAAAUCCUUGAAGAUUUGUUAAAACCCGUGGUAUAUUAUUUCCCAUCCCAAAUUUGAGUUUACUUGACAUCCUAAGAGUUUUGCAUAUCCUUUUUCAUUUCUCUCUAUCUUUUCUUUUAUUCAGGAGGAGUCACAAGAUUUCUUUAAGAAGCAGCAGCUACGAGAGCUUGCCAUGAUCAAUGGCACACUACGCGAGGAAGGGGGGCACAUGUCCGGUUCCGUCUCCCCCUUCCACAGUAGUCUCAGUAUGAAGAGAGCAAAGACAAGGGAGUAACAUGUUUGCCGAUUGGUAGGUCCUCUAUGUGGGGCCAUAUUCUACCUGCCUGCGGCAGCUAGUUUAUGUUGGGAUUGCUUGCCAGCAAGCAAUGCAUCCCCAUCGGAGGCGCUGGCACCAAGGUCGGUUCUAGCUCACUUCGUCGGUGUGUUUUUCUUCAGUUGGUGGGUUUGGUGAUAAUUAUGCAAUACCUAAUGUGAGAAUGUGUCGCUUAGCAAGUUGGGAAACUAGGGUAUGUCAUUGCAUGUGCUUUACUGCCAUGCAUGAAUUAAGGGGAAAUCAUAGAUGAGUACAUUGGUUCUGAAUAAUCUGAGUGUGUCCUCAAAAUGCUUUUGUAGUAUUCUGUAUGCAUGGUUUUAUCUUAUCGAAGACUCUGGUAACGGCAAUAUAUAAAUUAUUUCGUUAGCUACAAAACCUGAUUUAGUUCCAACUUGUCCCAUUCUAGAUUCUGGUGACAUGAUCUAUUAUGGAUGCCAUAGAUCAAGUUUACACCAAGAAUCUCUCAGGAGUAGUUUGUUAUGCUUAAUUGUUGGUGAUCCAUAGUCUGCCUUUGGUAUCUGGAGAUUGUUGUUGUAAUCGUAUAGUCAGGAAUUCUAUGAAUCUGUGCCUGUGGAUGCUACUAGAGUUGGAUUAUUCUUUACAUGUUGUUGGCUCAAGAUUAACGAUUGUGUGUGCUACAUUCAGUUCAUAUUUAUCAUGGAAUGCAAUCCAAUAUUGCUUCUAGCAGUUGGUAGAGAUUUUGAUUUUAUAAUAGCAAGAUGUUGGAGUCGAAGUUCAAAGAAUUUUUUUAGGUUGAUUCAAAUUUAUGCUUAUAUUUAAAAAUAAAAAAAUAUUAUUAAUAUUUUAUUCUAACUUAUUAUGAUAAUUUUGAUUAUAAUUUUAGGAAAAGAUAAUGGAACCAUUUUAGAAGGGAAAUUCGGUUAAUGCGAAUAAAAAAUUGAGUUUUAAGGGAUAAAUGCGAAUAAAAGAAAAAAAAAACACAUUUAUGGAAUAUUAGAAAAAGAACAGAAAGUCCAGCUCGCAAAAUAAUCAACGGUUCUGAUGCAUCCACAACGAUCAAUCUUUUGCUCUGCUAAAUCGGACGGCGCAAAAGGAGAGGAAGUGAGCAGUAGUACACCAUAGACGGGUUUAAGCGCUCGUCUCCACGAGUGCCCAACCUUUCGGUUUUGGAACCCUAACGGGGAGCUGUUGUCGUCUGCCUCCUCUUCUGCCUCCGUUGCCUCGCCACCUUCCCGAUCCAGGAUGAAGCUCGUUAGGUGAUCGAUCUGCUCGUCUUCCUCUUCGCUGUGGUGCUUUUAUGAUCUUUGAUGUAUCUGUUUGUGAUAAAUCUUUUGCUAGGUUCUUGAUGAAGCUCAACAACGAGACCGUCUCGAUCGAGCUCAAGAACGGUACCGUUGUCCACGGAACCAUCAUAGGUACGGUUAUCUCCUUUCUGGUUCGAACUAGGGUUUUGGGUGAAAACCAACCAACUUGCUCAUGGAUCUCUGCUCUCGGUUUAAGGUCUUGAAUCUUAUCUCGCUAAUGAAGGAAAAUGCCUUUUUUUCUGGUUUGAUUGCAUCAUUUGGUUCAUUAGGAGCAUUUUGUCAUAGAUUACUAGUUUCUGUCGCCUUUAGAUCUGAGAUGCAUAAGGACGGCUUGUUAAAUCUUUGCUGUGGCGGUCCAGUAUGUCCAAAGUUUUAGAAGUUCUUUUGACUUUGAAGGUGAUGGACUAACUUAUUACUGAUGUAGAGUAGAUGAUGAAAGUAAUGCUUUAUGCCCCCGAUCUUUGUAUUUUGCCCUAGUGAAAAGGGUUAUUAUUGAAGUAGAUGAUGGAAAUGUGGUUUCUGGUUGUAAUGCUAUUUGACUUGAAAACUCAAAAUUGAUUAUGUUCUUGCCCAGUAGCUUAUUUUCAUCUUUUUUUCUAACUUGUCAUCUUUUAUCUAAGGAAUCCAGUGAGUGCUAGGUUACGGGGAAUUUUCUAUUUGGGGAAUUUCCCACUUGAGGACUAGAAGUUAUAUAUAUGCUUUUUACAUUAAUUCACGAUUUUUUUUCCUGGAAUUGAUUCAUCAGUUACUUUCCCUUUAAUCUGCUUAGUGGUUUGCUUUGACAUUCAAACUGUUAUUCAAUAAUCAUGAAAUAUUUAAUUUAAAUGGGGGAUUAUGGAAGGACAAUAAAAGAAUCAAGAUUUCUUUUAAGAUUAGAUGUACUGACUUAUGAGUGAUUGGAGAUGGAUGUAGCAGGAAAAAUGAAGGGGCAAUCUAUGAUUAUCAGUGAGAUGGUGAGUGAAAUUAACUUUUUGUAUCCAUCUAUGCUUCUAAAAACUAACCAUUCUUUGAUGCUCAUUUCCCUUAUUUUCCUGCAGUUGUUAUGAAAAUAUUGUAUAUUUUGUUAAAGUAAUUAAGCCCUAGAAAGUGGAUCAAUUUAUGGGUCCAAUAACUAGAUAUUUAAACAUGUCAUCACUUUCAAAUUUCACUUUUUCAAUUUUAUUAAAAGAGCUACUUCCAGGCAAGUGUUAUGCUUCUUUUGAGCUUGUACUGUUAUCAUAAGAUAUGGGAGUAAGUUACCGUGUGGAAGCUUUUAUCUGAUACUAAAUACUCCUUUUGCUACUAAUUUCAUGUGCAAGUCUCUUCCUCUACACCCUCUUUGAUCUCUCUCAACCAACCUAUUCAGAGUCAUUAUUUUCCAAUUCAAGAUACUUGAAGCCCCAAAGUUUUCUUUUGACAAUGUGCUUUGUUGCUUGAUGAGGACAAGUGAUUUACCUUAUAUGGUUGGAGGUGGAGGCAAGAAGCUCCAAGUCUCUACCAGAUCUCCCUUUCUAUUUUUGUCACUAUUCAUAUUUUAAAUGCAUUAACACUCCCGUAAUAGCCUUUAAACCACUAAAUGUGUCAAUUAUUUCUGGAAGUCAAGACUGGACUUACAACCUUACUGGUUUACUAAGAUUCUUCUGAUUAUAAAAGGCUUCUUAGAACCCUCUUUUGAACUGGCUGGUUCAUCCUUAAGGAGUGAUAGGUGUACUGAAUGAUUUUGGAGAAUUGUAAUUAUAAAAAAAGGAACUUAAACAAUCGACAUGGAUAUCAAAGGUAAUUACAAAAUCUUGAAGGAUUAGUUGUGCUGUUUAUCUAUUGUUGUAUGUGUUUUUUGGAAUGAGUCUACGUUAUUAAAUCUACUGAAGAUGGAUGUGUAUGCUAGAGGAUGGCAUUUUCAUUUUAAAGAAUAGCUCUGAGGAUAGUAGUUAGAAGGGUUACUAAUAUGCUAAACAUGCAUGGCAUUUAUCAUAAUGGGUAUAUGAGGCAUGCAUGUUAUUCAUGCCCGGUAGAUGGGAAUGAAUUCCAAGAAGACUUAUCACUGUGAUCAUAAAUGAAUGACUGCAGCGGUUUGGUGGACCUGCAAUAGGAGAAAUAUCCUGUAUUGGAUGUCUUUGUCAAUGUAACACUUAGAUUGCUAGUUUUUUUGGUGCAUCUGAUGUAUGAUCUGAUAAUAUUUUCAUAUGAUGUUUUAUUUGGUUGAUCUUAUUAUUGAUGUACAACAUUGUUGGCCCAAAGUUAAAGAAUAAGCUCCAAAUUUGUGAAAUGCACGUUAGGUUGUUUGACAUCGAUCUUCAUUUUCCAAGACUUUUCUUGGAAGGGAUUUUACAUUUGUAUACUUUCAAAGUUUGGAAAUAGUGGAUUUGCCCAUACAACUUUUGAUAUAGUACAUUCUACAAGAGAAAUAGAUAUUUUAAGAAUAUAUAUAAAAAAUUGGAAGAAAGUUGAAGGCUUGAAGCUGAUAAGCCUACAUCAUGGUUGGAGCCACAGAGAGAGCUAUCUGAUCUGAUGGGUAUUAUUGUCAGUUGGAGUUCCAACGUCAUUGUGCUAACCACCAACUAAUGGAUAUCAACACAAUGAAAGUUGCAAGUUCUGAUUUUUGUAGGGAUAUACAUGUUAAAACUAAAAUUUAGAGGAGUAAAUGCAAAUUCACUUACUUUGGGAGGAUAUAUAUGCAAUUUUGUCUUUUCCUCUGAGAUUGAUAGGGAACAACAAAAAGCAUGGUAAACAUGUCUAGUAGCUAAGCCUAAUAUGUUGUGAAUAAAUUUGUAUUUAAUUGUUUUCAGUUCAACAGUAGCUCUUGAAAAGUCACUUCUAGGUGCUGUUAACAUGUCGCAGGCACCACAAGCUGCAUCUCGUUUCCAUAUUCGCAGCAGUGCCUUUAUAGGUUUUUUAUAGUAAGAUAUUCAAUCCCUUUCCCUAGUUGCCAUCCUUUCCUCAAGAAUUGGUUUCUGGUGACUCUUGGUUUAGCUUUGUUGAUCUUCCAAAGUUUACAUACAAGGAUAUAUUCUGGGUGUGAGGCAUGAAGUUUAGUUGCAUUUCCUUGUUCCAGAUUAAGCCAUGAACCUUACAGUUGUCACUUAAGUUCAAAUGGUUGAGGGAUGACAGAUGGUAUUGCUUGACGACCCAUUAAAUGCCAAUUCCUAAUUGGUUGCUUCAUUGUAUUCACUGUUGAUUUCAUUCAUGUUUGCAAUCCGGCAUAUCUGAUCCCUUCAUGGUUCUUUCAGGUGUGGAUAUUAGCAUGAAUACUCACUUGAAAACUGUGAAACUCACAGUGAAAGGGAAAAAUCCAGUCACUCUUGAUCACCUAAGCGUGAGAGGCAACAAUAUCCGCUACUACAUCCUGCCUGACAGUCUGAACCUCGAGACACUAUUGGUCGAGGAGACACCUCGGGUCAAGCCCAAAAAGCCAACUGCAGGUAUACUAUAAAUUCGACACAUUCCCUACGCUUAAGCAUUUAUACAACUCAUAGACGAACUUUUGUCUUACUGUGUUUUGUUAAUCUCAAAUCAGGGAGAUCCAUGGGACGUGGUCGUGGCCGUGGCCGUGGACGGGGACGAGGUCGGGGCCGUUAACAGCAUCACUCUCUUCAUAAUUUUUUGCAUCAUCAUCUGUCCGUGUACAAAUAGCCUGCUCUUUAUCGAGAAGUAUCAUUUGGAAGCUUCUCUUCACAAAAUGGCAAGCAGGACUAUCUGUUUUAGCUCUAAACAGCAGUUAAGUUUUUAUCCAGUAGGACCAAACUUUAGAAUCAAGUGAAAAGAAAGAAGAAAACAAGAACUGUGUGCUGUAAGAUUGUUCUGUAUUUGUGGGCUGCACUAGAAUUGUUGUAUUCCUGCUUGUUUGGUUCAUAUACGUUGUUGGUUAUCAGAGACAAAUCUGAGUUCUUGCAGCUGUAGUUUUGCUUCUCGAAGAUGAUGUGUUAUGAGGCUGUUCAUAUUAUUUUCUGCUGUUGUCUCAUCUACGGUUGCUGCUUCUUUAAGUUGAUAUCAUUUGGGAAAUAGCAAAUAUGAUUUAGAGAGGAAAUAGCAAAUGUGAUCAAGAAAGUUGACUCAUUAGCCCCAUCGGUGCUGAAGAUUUCUUGCGUUUGAGAUGGGAUUUGACUGUACGAUUUUUUUGUUCCCAUGGUUUGGUUUUUACAAGACUGACUUCCCCAACGAGGCUCAGUUUUGAUGGUCAAUUAGGAGAACAGUUUAGAAGUAUCAGUUAUGGAACACAUAUGAAGAUGACAAACAUCAUGUAUGAUUUUAAGUGUAUUAGCAAAAGCUUAUCAUUUUAGGACUAAUAAGGAGAAUAGUUGUCACAUCAAAAGUCUUUGAAUUCUUUUUUUGUUUUUUUGCUAGAAAUCUAUCUAGGAACAAACAAGAACUAAACAAAUCAAUCUCGAUCAGGAGAGUGUUAACAAACAGAGUCUUAUCUCCAGUUUUAGAUAUGCUUAUGGAUUUUAUAUGGCUUUCAUAAUAUUGUUUGUAACAAGAGGAAUUAAUAAUUGUCAUAAAGGUGCCCUUCAAAGUUCAAACCCAUUUACAAAGGAUGUUUUCUUACUAAGAUUGCUUAUCAUUACCAAUGUUACAUUGAUUCUAAUAUCAGUUAUCACAAUUUAAUGGGAUAAUUGACUAAUUAAUCUUACUGAACCCGAAGUAUCAAACAAAUAUACUUAAACACAAGGUAAUGGUGUUAAAAUAUAUUUUACUCCUAUAAAUAUUAUAUUCAAGUCUUAUCUUAUUUUUGAUGCGAGACUAAAUCAUGUGUUGAAAAAUAGUCAACAAUGGCAUUCUAAUGCAUCGUUAAUUUUUGACGGUGCCAUGUGACUAUCGAGCAACAGGCAGUUUUCUAAGAGGAAUCAAGACAAGAGACAACCUUGCCUAUUAGACACAAAACAAGAAGAAGAAGAAGAAGAAGAAGAAGAAUUCAAUGAUUCAUUGAAAUGGAUUCUCAUUCUACCUUCAGUUAAUUUUCUACAACAUUUCUUUAUGAAGCUCACAAGAAAUGGAUUAGUAUCGUAGGUAGAACACACAAACCAUCAAGGCACUGCUUCAGGUUUGUUGUUGGCUGCUGAUAAACCAAAUGACACCACAAUUACAAUGGCCACCGCCGAGCAGCAGAAGAGUAUAGAACUGCAAAGAAGUAGUAUUUAUUAGAUUAGAUAGAGAGUAAGGGAGAUAAAUUGACAUGAUAAGCCUUUGGUCAGAAAAAAAAAUUGUUUUUUAUCAAUUACCUUCGCUUAGGUUGAAAUUACUCUUACGGCAAAAGAUCUCCAAAGGGUCUAAAUGUUGCUGUGAAAGUAGGAUUUUGCCCAAGCAUUCUUUUCUGCGAUAAAUGAUGCAAUAGUUUACAGCCACAUCAGCAAAGCAAUUGAAUAAAUAAAAUGAUGGAAAAUGCAAAAUCAAUAAAAUUAAAAAGAGAUGCAAAAAUAGACCAAGUAGUUAAAGAUGACAUGCAGAUUUGGCAUUUGCAACAGGAUAAAAUAGCAGCUGCAGAAACCACCGCAUAAUCUAUCAGGUUGACUUUGCAGAGACUACAAGGUCCAAAGGGAAUCUCAUCUUGUUAGUAAUAGUUAUUGAAGAUGCGUAUGAUUUAAUGAGAUAUGACCAUUUAUUAUAUCCACUUAACAGAGAUGGCAUGUGCAUCAGCUAGCAGUAGAAACAUCAAGUAAAUAAAAUAGCAUUUGCCAAAAAAAAAAAAAGAGAAUAUGUAAAUCCACUUCAUAUCUAUAAGGCUGAUCUAUUAUCGCAGAGACCACAAUAUCAUACCCAAUGGAAUCUCAUCUUGUUAGUAACUGUUAUCUAAGACAAAUUACGAUUAAAUGAAAUAUGACCAUUGUAUCAUAUCCACUAGUUGAAAUAGCAUAUUUCACAAGUUAGCAGUAGAAACAUCAAGUAACCAUUCUUUCUGUAUAUUUGGUUGCUUUCAUGGGAUCAUUUCCAACAUUUGGUGUAUUAUCUGCAUGCAUUAAAGCCUUAUCAAAGAAUACUCACUCAGCCCAAGAAGGACCAUGCUUCCUUCUGCGCAUGUUUUCUUCCUCUCCAUCCUCAUCAUCGGAGUCUUUGUAUGGAGAUAUCUCAUAUGAUUGAGAAUUCAGAUUUUCUUUAGUGGUAGACAUCCUACCUUGAAUUAUUCCUUUCAUACAAUCGGAGCUGAUAACCACCUUCAAUAACACAAUUAAAAUAAAAAAUCAGGAAAAAAUAAAAAUAAUUGGUAAAAAGACUAAUUUCAGAAUAAUUGCUAGAAACUUUAUUUUGAAUGUAAUAGCUGGAAUGGCCUGUGUAUAUGUAUAUAUAUGCAUCAUGCAUAUAUAUAUAUAAAGAAUCAUACAAAGACUCUGAUUUUUAUGUACACAAAAAUCUUCAUGGCCAUUAAUUUACUGAAACCUUAUGAAGAAAUCCAUCAGGUAAAAAAGCCAUCGAACUCUCAGAAAAGAUUCAAGUGAAAUAAAAGUUUUACUAAAAAAGUACAAACAAGUUCACUAAAACAUAUAGGUCAACAUCCUCUAGAUAAUUAGUAAUUAGCAUGGCAUUCAAAAAAAGCAUGUUAAUCUUGGGAUACAAAAUUAUCAUUUCACAGUUAUUUAAUAAAAAAUGAUGAUGGCACAAAGCCUCUAUCCAGGGACUACCUUGGUGGCAACCGGUUCCACUUCCAUUGUGUUUCUAGACCCAGCAACCUCCCCUCCUUUUUCUGAUUUCAGUUGCUGCUUUGCUUCUAGCACCAGACCUUUCUUCCUUCCCUCAUCAUCCUAUGUCCAUGAUCAUGUCAAUGAAGGAACAAAAUGUCCAGAAGAUCUAGAUAUAGUAAUGUAUACCAAAUUAGAACUUACUGCAGCUUUACAUCGAAGUUCUUUUUCCUCUUUCUUUGUAUGUAACCUUUCAUCCUGUUCUCUUUGCAACUUCCGAGUUUCUUCAAUGCAUCUUCUUUUUCGUUCCUUCUCCUUCCGUUCUUCUUCUCUCUGCCUCUUCCUAUCUGCUUCCUUUCUUCUCUUUUGCUCCUCCAACUGUUUUUGCUUAAGUUGUUUCUCCUGCUCUAACCUUUCACGCUCAAGCUUUGCUGCUGCUUUCCGCAUCUCACGUUCAUUUUGUUUCUUUUCUUCAAGAUGUUUCGCAGCCUCCGCUGCCUCUAGUGCUUUUACUUUAAUAUCUUUCUUUCCUACAGGGUAACAACAUCAUCAUGCUAAAGGACUAAUGCAAUCACGAGCAGUGAGCCAGUAUCACACCGAUCUGGGUGAUAUCAGCUACAACUGGAGAAAACUACUAAUAUAUGCAAAUGUAUAUGAACAUAGAACAUAUGUAUGGAAAUAUGUUUAACAUUAUAGAAUCAUAGCACAUAAUUUACCAAAUAUACAAGAUUCAUUAACAUCUAUACUGACACAAUCUAGUAUGAGUCUUUCUUAGGGCCCAUCAUGAACAUAGCAUUGCUCUUUCUGACUCUGAAACAAUAUUACAGCAGUGACUCAUGAAAGAAGUCUGCAAAACAGUAGCCACUGAAAAUAGCCACAAUAUCUUGAAGAAAAAUAGCCACAAUAUUACAAUUUCUAAGCAAGACUACAAAAUUCAAAAUGCAAAUUUGAAGAUUAGUAUAUUAGCAUAAGAAGCUCCACAGUAUAUUGAGGGAAAAUUAAAACAAGACAUCAUGUUCAGAGAACUUUGUAACAGUACUGGCAGGGCCUUGAACACAAAUGCCAUAUGCACAGAAAAAGUAAUUAUUAGAUCAACAUCAACAUGCUUUAGUAUACAAUGUGUACUUAGCAGGACAAGGACUCCAUACUUAUAGGACAAAAUUUAUUAGUGGUUCAAUAAAAUUAAUAAAAAAUACAGAUUACUCGAUAAACUGGAGAUCACAACCUUCCACAAUCAGAGCUCACCAUUACACAUUCAAGGCUCAGAAAACUAGAGUUAAUGGAUAAAUUGAACAAGGUAGUCUCAAUGUGCUGCAUGAUCUAAAUUUAUUUGAGACUAUCUGGAUUGUUCCAAGAGAUAAAUUCAAGACCAAGUAUAUGGGCAUCAUAUAAGAGUAAUGUAUGUACCUCCAGCACUCUUUGUUAUAAAUUGGAAAGCAAGCUAAGAGAUUCAUUGCACAGGUGUUUACCAUUAUUACGCCAAUAGGUACAUGCCGACAGACACAGCCAUCCUUGCCAAAUAGCAUGGGCUCUUCACCAAGUUGAUUCUGGCACAACAUUGGCGUGGCAGUAAAUGAUGUUAUGAUACUAUGCAGGCAAACUAGCUAGCACAGCAUGGUAUAAAAUCAAACCCAUAAGUUGCUUAAUUUCCAAUAACCUAAGUAAACACCCAUGUAGAACAAUGUCACAAGGGAAAAUUCAUAUAUGCACAAUCAAGGUACAGGGCAGAAAAAAGAAGGAAGCAACCAAGAAUGCAAGAGAUCAACAAUUUGCGGAUGUUCUUAUCUUCUUAUCUCUGGCAGCAAAUUUAGGUUUAGUUAUUUCAUAUAGAGUUGACAAGCGAUGAGAUGACAUUUAGAUACGUACUCAACAUAUGUUUUGAAAGCUAAGUAAAUUUCACACUAGCGUUAAUAGUACCAAAUUUUCUAGUGCAGGAAAAAUAAACAGAGAGAAAAAAGUUUUAAAGGAAGUUGACGAGCGACGAGCAAGGAAGUAUAAAGGACCUUCUAGAUAGGUGUCAUAAAAUUUUCCCAUGAUCAUAAGAUAGAUCUUUAUACCAAUCAAUAAGAUGACAUUUAGAUAGGUACUCAACAUAUGUUCUAAAAGCUAAACAAAUUUAACACUAGCAUUAAUAGUACCAAAAUUUCUAGUGCAGGAAAAAUAAACAGAGAGAAAAUGGAUCACCUUUUGUAGUUGUUGCUUGCUGCUUUUUCUGAAGCAUUGGGAUGAAAGAAGAUAUAUUGGAGAUGAUAUUGCUUGGCUUACAGCCUUUCAGAAUACUUGCUUGGCUUCUAUUCCUUUCAACUGCUUUCACAUUUAUUUCUGGCUUGUUACAUAAGGAUUUAACCACUUUCCCCUCUUUCUUUCCAUUAAUUGAAAGACAUUGAUUCUCCUUAUCUGCUGUCAGAUCUUUAUUGCCAGUAUAAGCAGUUGCCAAUAGCGAAUCAAAACUAGUCUGAGUUCCUGAGUGGGAUUUCGCAUUUGAAAAUUCUAGACUGCCACUUUCAAGGAGCAUCUUGGUAAAAGGAACAAAAGUUGAUGCAUUUUCGUAUACUGAAGUGACAUCUUUAAGUGAUUCCCUAUUAUUCAGAACUUGGAUUCCUCUUGAGCAAAUCCCCUCUUUGGAGGUGCUUAAUUUAUCCUGACGCUCAAUAUCUUCUGUGGUGCUAGAAUUUUCAUCAAUUCGAAAGCACACAAGUUCAGGGUUAGUACCCACUGUCUGUGAACUGGCACCACUUCUACUUGAAGCCUUUCUCAAGGCGGAAUUUUCAAUUGGAGGUGUCCGAGGAGCUUUACUACUUGCCCAUGCAAAUCUAGCACUGAAAGGCGUGCUAUUGGAAGAAGACCUUUCCACAAACGAACAGUCAAAAGAUGAGCCCAAGCUGUUGUAAAGAUCAGAAAUUUUGUCAUGUUCGCUUCUAAAUUGUCUUGUGUAAUCACCAUAAAAACAUAGAGAAUCAUUGUGCAGGUGCUCCAAGAGGCCAUUAGGUAACGACUGAAGAAGAUCAGGAAUGUUGUUGAUUUUAUAGUUUCCUGAAGGACGGGCCGUGGGUGUAACCAAAUGUGUAGAAUUGCCUUGCUGCACAUCCAAAGGAAUAUUUUCUUCCUUGAAACAUGGAUAAUCAACAUCAUAGCAGAUAUCAUUUUUCUUAACAGGAGAUACACCAAUACUGAAACCCUCGAACUCUGGCAUGGAAUCAUCACAGUUCAUGGCCAAAUCAUUCUGAAAGUUUGACAAUACAGAUGCACCAUAUUUGCUCAAACUUUUCCCUGCAUCAAAAACUGUCCCCUCCUCUAUAGACUGUAAAUUGUGGCAAUAAACUUCAGAUACUACAUGACUCAAUUUUCCAUCAGCAUCGUUUCCAGAGGAGCCAGGUUCUUUUGGUUCAGAAAGAGUAAACUCAGUGCCACCAAUUUCAAUCAUUAGAGAGGGCCUGGAGUUUCCAUGGGCCAGACUGGGAGAAGUCACACCUUUUGUGCAUUGAGUUGGCAAGGGAAUAUCCAUGACUUGGUCUUUACUUUUCAAGCAAGAGUCAUCCUACCAAGUAAGACAAUUAUUAAUCUAAAAAAUAAGACAAAGAUAAACCAAAUCAGCAAGCAGAAAAGCUUCAUAUAGGCUUGCAGAUCAUGGAAAGAAAUUCAUAACAACAUAAACUUGCAACAAGAUGCUUCUAAGGACUAUAAGACACAGUCUGCCUAUAAAAAACACAGGAAAUUCAUUGUGAGAACAUGGAGAGAGGGUAAGGGAGUGAUGGAUAAAGCAAUUUCAAUAAAGCUUAAUAAUAGAAUACAACGUACUUCCAAGUGAUUCUCAAUCUUUCUAAUUUGCUUUAAGGUACAGAACUACAUACUGCAUCAACUAAAUUGCAGAACUACAUAUAUCUUUACUACUUAGACAUCUCUAUAAAUGAACAUGUGUAAACAUAGACAUAUCAACAUAGCAAACUAGACUACUAUAAUAUUAGUCCAAGUAAUUUCUUUUAGUAUAACAAAAUAAAAUGACCUUUUCGAUACCUCUUUCAGACAUUGCCUUUUGCUUUGCUGAUGAAAUUCUGAAUUGCUCCUGAACUCUGCAUUUUCUAUAUCCAUAUUCAAUACAUUUUCAGAGGGAGAUGGUGUGAUCUGCAUUUCUUCCAAUGGAACAAUUUCUGAGCUCACUUUGCUGCUACAGCAAGUGUCUUCUUGAGUAUGCAGGAGCCGAUGAAGUGUUAUUCUUGAAGUAGCAAGAACGCCAUCUGAGUAACAAAUCAACUUUCUCCUCUUAGGCCAUGAUAUUUCACAUGCAUCAGUCAUUAGUUCACUUGAUCGUUUUGAACUAGUUGUAUUACCAGUUAAAUUUAGUUCUGAAUAAGAGUAAGUCUUCCCAUGCCUGUUCAAGCUUCUUAAAAAGUACCGAGAUUCCGAUGAAUGAUUCUGAGUUCUAACAUUGUAUGAUAACUGAGUGAUACUCUUUUCCAUUGCAUCCAUUAUAUUUUCACUGUUCUUGUCCAUCUUGGUUACUGACAAAAAUUUCUCUAGUGAAGGUGAAAUAUAAGCAUUCCCUUUACUAAGACCAACAUCCUUUGGAACACUAGUAAAGUUCCUCAGAGAAUAGCUAGCUCUUGUAAGCUUACUCUCCAUUUUAGCAGCAUUUGGUGAUUUCCUGGUGAGGAUUGUCUCACGAACAUCUCCAGUUGUGGUGUCAAUCAAGUUUUCGUUGGCUGACAAAGACAUGUAGUCAUCUGAACAAGGCAAAUCAGAACCAUCAGAUAUAGAAACAUCAAAAUUUGCAGACGAACUUCUUAAAUGUUGACAUCCAAGUCCUGCAGAAUCAUUUUCGGCAGUAUCUACAAUCAGAGUGGAUUGGGAAACUUCUGCACUACUGUUUUCCACUGUAACAACCUCAACCACUUCAGUUUCUAGGCUAACUUCAUCUAUCAAUGACACUGAAUGAGCACUCUGAACAUCAUCAGUCAGUUGGUCUUGGCUGCAAACCGAUCUUUUUACAAGCUUUCCUUUGCAACUGCCUUUUGUUCUGUGAUCCACUAAGCUUCCAUCAGACUGUUUCUUAGAAGAAUCAGUUGCACUUACCAUCUCCAAUGAUCUUACAGCAGGAACAUGUGGAGAUAUCUUUGCACAUAAUCUAGAUCCAACCGUAUCGACAAUGUUAAGUAAUUCAUCUCUCUCCACAUGAUCUUUACCACUAAUUCUUUCAGCUUCCUUUCUUAUAACUUCCGUAGCAGCCAAAACACUCUCAUGUUGGAGCUGCUUUUUCUCUGAUAAAACGAGCAUUGUUUUAGAAUUUCUAUGGAGUUCUUCAUCUUUAAUACACUGAAGAGAUUCUGAAAAAGAAAACUCAAAGCAACUGCCCUCAGUUUCUCCUGCAAAAGUAGUGGUACGGUCCUUGUUUAUAUCAUAAGGCUUAAUAUUGUCAGACAAGUAUUGAAUUUGUUUGACAUCAGAAAUUAUCUGAGGUUGUCUGGUGGCUACAAUGCUUGCCUGUCCACUUGUAGUAGGUUCACCACUUCGCUGCAUCGCUGACUGCUCUGUCAGGCUUCUUGAUGGACUUCCUUGACAGACAUUAUACUGAAAACUUUGAUGAUCUGAAAAGUUCAAACAGGAUCUUAACAUUGAGGUAGAAGAUGUCGGUGCAUUGGUCAAAUUCAAGUUUUUAGUUUCCUCAGACAAUGAUGAAUGCUUUUGAUGAUUCAUAUCGUAUGUUGUAGAGAGGGGACAACAGUGUGAUUCUAUUUCCUUUCCAGUUGAAUCUCUAACAGCUACCACUGCACUUUGCACAACUUUAGCAUUCGAGGCAUCCUCUCCAGGCUGAAAUGCUCCAAAGUCAGGUGCAGAAUCCUUGCAUAGCGGAUCCUCUUUUAAUGAUGGUGCUGACUGAAACUUCCUAAGUGCACCUGAAGUACAACAAAGAUUAUUUUUCUGAGAAAAGGAACCAUAAAAUUUUUUAUCCUGAUGGCAAGCUUUUAUACCAUCAAAACUAAGUUUCUUCACAACAGCCAAUAAUUGAUUGUGAGAAUGAUGAGAAUUUUCAGAGGGUACUGCUUCCAGUCCAGGAACAACAGAAUUCGAUCCAUUUAAGACAAACUCCUUUGCAAGGGCCCCUGUACACUGUUCCUUGGCUGAAGCAUCAUGAGGAGAGUUGGCUAUAAGAUCAGGUGCCUCUCGUGAUACUGUUUGCAUAAAACUUGCUUGGUUUGCAGUUGCUUUACUAGUGAUGAACCCUGAAGGACUUAAUGGUUUUGAUAUGUUGUCAAGAGAUGGAAGACAAUCAAGUGUUUGAGUAGCUAUACCAUUAGGAACCAUUGAGUUCUUCAUAUCUGAUGUUUCUUCAUCAUGUUCGGGCAUCAAAGACGCAGCCAUGGUGCGAGUUGCUCUACGAGCAUAUUGUUUUACGGUACACUCAUUUCCAGAAUUUGCAGCAUUCAAUUUUUGGUUAAGAUGACUCUCAGGUUUCCAUUGCAUUGACCUGUAGCAUUGAGCACUUGCAAUCUGGUCAAAGACAGGUGAAUCCUUAACAUCUUCAGAGCAUGCAAUAUAACACUCUUUUUCAUGAUCUUUGUAAAUAGCAUCACUUGUGUCUCCAUCAUUGUGCUCUGGAUAGAUACAUUCAUUAGAAAUGCACAUUUCACUUGCAAAGCUACUAUAUUGACACAUAUUGGUACUCUUGAGUGCAGGCAGGGUGUGGAGAGUGUUGUGAUUUGUCGAAGGAGUGGUGGCCCAUGGAAGAGGAAAUAUGAUCCCUUGAACACGCUGCUCCCUGAUUAACUCUGCAUAAAAAUAAAUAUACUAUAAAAACUAUAUACGCUGAGUACUGUGUUGCAAAUCCAGUAGCUCACUGAAUGUGAGGCUCUUUUAAAAUUUCCAUAGGGUUAGAUAAAAGUUGCCAUGGCUCUUAUUAGAAGUAUACAUUUGAUAAACACCAAUCCCCAUACCCAGCAUGCACAUGACAAUGGAAAAAAUCAAACAACAAAAUAGUUAGGAAAUAAUUCACUAAGUUCUUCCAACCACCCACAUAAUACCCACAAAGAUCACCUUCAAACCGCCAGAUAUUUCCCUCCAAAAAUGAAAGGCAUGCGAAAAGUCCUUAUCUACUCUCUUACUAAAUAGGACAGAAAUCAAAUUCUUACCUUUUUUAACAUUCUUGUCUCUCCUUCCUUACCGCACACCACACAGAAUGCAGAGCUUAAAGGUUCCAAUCUCUCUACUGCUUCAUAUUCCAAAUUCACAGGCAUCCUUUAGUGUAAAUGCAAAUCUUUCAGCUUAACUUGAGUUGUGUCUUAAAUUGUAGAUUUGCAAUUGCCACUGGCAUCUCAGAGACACAGAGGUCCGAGCAGCCUGCCAACCAGCUCCUAGAGAAAAGGAAUUGGAAAGCUGUUGCCCAAUUCAAUGUCAUCCCAGAUUGUCUGCCUAAGACAUUUGAAGCCUUAAUUUGCAUUCUACGAUAUUGUUGCAUAUGCCUAGCUGAUUUCCCAAAAUUUCCAUCCCAAACAACACAUAGGAAUCGCUAUUGCAAUUCUAGAACCCAAAUUGGACUGGAUAAUUCACAGAUUUCAUAGAACAACUUUCCGAUUUGUCAAGGCCAAUGAGAAAAAAGGACGAACAAUCGCUCGAUUCAGCGAAAAGUACGAAAAGAAAGUAUAAUUAUUGCAAUUCUAGAACCCAAGACACAAAGAACCCGAAACCAAGUGAAAGAUCCAGGAAACCCAGGGCAAGGAAGACGGCAAACCUUUCGGGCGAAGGGCGUCGGAUCCGGUGUCCCAGAGCCAGGGAGGGGGCCGUCUGCCGUCGGCGAGAAGGUUGUAGGCGAGGGAUUGGCCGUACGACUCGAUCUGCUCCCUCAGCUGGCCCUCGAUCCAGGCUUUCCGGUCGAAGACUUGCAUGAAGAGGUGCUCCAGCGUCGUCGUCAUCCCGGUCCUAGUCCGGUCCGAUCAAGAACAAGAACGACGGAUUUCGGAACCCUAACGGCAAGAAACCCAAAUCGAGGAGAAAGCCAUUAGGUUUAAUCGAUACCUCGGCGAGAGAGACCGAGAGAGAGAGGCCGGUGAGCGGGGAACGAUUUGAAAUGUUCGAAGGUGAAGAGGGGGGAGAGGUUUGAGGUUAACGUGUACCGAAGGAGAAACUUAUGCACACAACAUUAAUAGAAGUUGGCCACCCGGAAAAUGAAAAUAGUAAAUAAAUAUAAUAAUAAUAAUAAUAAUAAUAAAGAGAUAUUUAUAUAUUUAUCAUUUCAAAGUUCAAAAGUUGCCACAUAUUUUAUUUAAAAUUUUAAAUAUGAAUUUCUUAUAUAUAUGUUAGAGUUAAUUACUAGUAAUCAUAGUUAUUAUUAUAUUUUAAAAUAAUAGAAACUUUUGAUAUCUUAAAAUAUGUUUCAUUACUUUUAUCAAUUAUCCAAUCCCUUAUAAUUUCUAAUAUUUUUGAAAGGAAUUAUUGCAGCAGCAGAUCAAUCUAUGCUUCUUCAAGAGUCAGUGAUGCAUUUUAUUGCAGCAGUCAUAUUAAACUCCACUUAUCAAACCUAUGUAAAACUCAUUAUAACAUGUUUUGUAAUGCUUGUACCGAUCAUUCUUUCAAGAAAUGUCACAGCAUACCUUACCAUAAUAUAAAAGGUCACAAUGAUUACAUAUAACUCUUCAUCACAUGAAUGGAUGGAAAUGGUUGAUCGGAUGAGUUGCAUAAGGAUGAUUCUGACAUCUCACAAGCAUGCAAUAUAUGCAUUAAGAAGGCAUACAGUAACAAAUAAGCUGUGAAGAACAUGUUAAUAUAAGCACACUUGAUACACAAAAUUUGGCACAAAAAGAUUGGACAUCUCUCUAUCUGAGACUCGUAAAUGGAAACUCGGCGCGACAUCCAAAAUUCACCCAGCCUUUCCAUCUGCAUACUGCUACUCUUGUGCAAAAUGUCUAGUAAGGAAGUUGUGUGGUACUAAUGUUAGACAUCAGUAUAUAUUGCUAAAUGAAGCCUGGAACCACAUGUCAAAGAAACCCUGGUGGUCAGGUCCGCUUGAAUCUCUUCUCGGAUGUUGUGUUGCCAUUGGUGCCUUCGUUGCACCUUUUAAUCAAAGGAAAGCAGUUGUUAGAUAUCAUGUCCAGCCGCCUGUUCACAUCUGCCAAGCCGUCGAAUCUGCAAAUGCUUGUUGCUAUGGCAAUAGUUGUAACUUCAGACCUAGGAAGGAACUUCGCCUCCAAAGCAGCAUAUUGACCACCAUGAGAUUCUUCCCCUGCUGCAUUCUUCAGACUGCGAAGGACCUCAUCCUUAUCUUGAACAAAGCUUCCUUUAGUAACCUGUAAAUUUUAUAAUGAGUUUAAAGCUUCCUCUAGUAAUUUCCUUUUUCAGGAUUUUUCUUAGGCUAAAAUCACAAUUGCUUGUUUUUAAAUGCAAGUACUUUUGAUAAGAUGCCGUUGGGUUAGCUCCUGACAGAAUGGUUAGCAUUUCAAAUUUUAUUCUUAUGAGCACAGAGGUCCAAAUUGCUCUAAUCAACAUCACAGAUGUGCAAGUGUGUUUGUAUUUUUAAUACUAAAAAAGAAAGAUACAAGAUGUUCAAAGAAGUACAGCUACUGAAAAGCACAGUUCAUGUUUUCAGUUCUAUAAUUGGAGAAAGUAUAAAAGAAAUUUUAGCUAGAAAACUGAUGGUUUCAUACCUGAAAAUCAAUUGGCCACUCAAUGGAAGUGGAUGGACAGCUACAACCAUCACAAAAGUGAAAAGUUAACAACAUCUUGAAGGGCCUUUUUCUUGCUGUUUCCCUGGAAGAUACAAUAUUGUCUUAAGAGGAAAAGGAAGUAAUAGAUCUAAGGCAAAUAAAUAAAAUCUUUUACAGGAGGAACAGUCUAUACAUUAACUUAAUGACGGCACCUUUUAAGAUGAAAUGGCUGCUUAUCUAGGAAGGCAGCCUUUAAGUCAGGUCUCUCAGGAAAUGAUAUCUGAUGGCAAAAUAGGAAAUUUGAGUGUCUUUAUGGAAUGACUGUGAGAUUCCAAUACUAAUAAGCAAACAAGGGGAGAUGCAUUAAUGACAAAAAAAUGAGAUAAUGAGAUGACAAGGUUGGUGUUUAGAAAGCAUGAUAAGACAACUUUAAAUUAGGCACUGCCCACAGGAUCCAAGUCAUUUUAAAAGUUUGUUUAUUAACUUAUUGGGCACUCUACAACGUCAAUCUACCUCCAUCUAGCUGACUCCACUGGCAAGGUGCCUGGCACUUUCUUGAAUUUUUGAGCCAAACAACAGCCCAGACACCUAGAUGGGGCCUGGCAGCUAACUAGGUCCUUAUGGUCCUCCACUUAAUUUUAGAGGCCACUUACUACAAAUAAUUAUUAGUAAAGGAUACCAGAAUUUGAUUUCAAGGGGGAUAAAAAAACACGAUAUUUAUCAUUUCAAGUAAUUCAACAAGUGCAACUUUUUUUGUAACUAAUUAGCAAAAUAUGAAAUCAUUUUAUGUGCAUUGUGCAACCAAUAACAACAAUAAAUAUGUGACUUGUUGAACAUUGAUUUUUAUACUUGUUUUUUAGCCAUGAUGCAUAUUAUUGUACCUUAUUUUUAAGAUGUGCUAAUUUUUUUAACUACUUUUGCUUAUCUAAAUAUUUUGCAUCUUCUACCAAUACACAUGUCGAAGGCACAUAAGUGAAAAGCUAUCGCGUCGAAGAGUGAAUAUGAUGUAUUGUUUGCUUUUUCAAAAUUAUGAAUCGUGAAAAAUGCUAGAACUUAAUUUGUAGUAAAAUUUUGUCUACGUGCUCACCAGUGUGCCUAGGCCUCUCAUCUUAAUUUAUGGUAAAAUUUUGGUAGCUUGCUUUCUAUUUUGGAUUCCAUUCCCUCCUUUCCUCACUCCAUGUCGCUUGUUACAUCAUGCCACAUGAUCUCCCCUUUGCUUCCUAAAAAUUUGCUUUAAUAGAUUUCGUAAAGUUUUGUCGUCUCUACAAUCUACAUCAGAUUGUCCGUAACACUUGUUGUUUGUGGAAGAUUUAUAUUCUCUUGAAACUUCUCAGAAUAUGCAUGCUGUGAGUUUCUCGAUACCAACCAUACAAUUACUAUACAUGCAUUAUAUUCUUAAUAAGUCAAAUACACAAGCCCAUAUUAUAGUAGCCUAGUCACUAAGAUACAAGAAAAAAGCACACUGAGAUACAACUUGACAUAAGCCACAAAUUUUUUAUUGUUUUACAACCCUGUACCAGGGUAUAAGAUCCUACAAAGCUAGCUGCAAAAUAUUUCAAUCCAUGAUAAACAUCUUAGUAUCAAGUCUUCAUGCCAGGGCUGACAAUUAUAUCUUUUUCACAUCUUUUGAAAAUAACUUUUUCCAUUAUGGCUGUCAAUUCAAUUGAGAACUUAGAAUCCCACUCGUGUUUGGCUGUAAUUCUAUCUUGAUUAAACUCGAAAAUAAAGCUCAAAAUUAAUAUAUAUGGGUAUAUAUUAGGCUCAAAAUUUAAUUCUAGGCAAGCCUAUAUAACACGAGUUGCUUUAGAAGAUGUCAUAUAUUGGUCAUUGACCACUCAAACCAGCAAUUCCCCAUUCAUGACACGUUUUCUCCUACCUUAUUAUCGGUUAAGUUUCUCAGGAUAAAAAUGCAUGUCAACUGUCCACUAGCCUAUCCAUCUUGACAACAGAUGGGGAUUGGUGCUCCAAGAUUAGUCAUGAAUAGCAGCUAUAUAAAGUUAUUUAUCCAUCGAUAUGAAAGCAAAAAACAAAUUAGCAGUAUACAAUAGAAUAUUUGAGAGAAUCAAAUUUGAUAGAAUACUUGGGAGAACUGAAAUCUGGUUGACUAAUGAAUAUAAUUUUUUACCUCAACUGACUUCAGAAAUGCUAAUGGAGCUCUGGGUCCAUGGAUACUUGUAAUCCUCAGAGUCCAUUUCACGUAAGUGUUCUCUGGAUUGUCAAAGCACAAAAUAGAGAGUAAGAUGACCAAAACCCAGAACUUCCUUAUGCAAAAGCACAAAUCUGAUGUUUUCCUUGGUAUUAUACAAUAUGCUGAAGUAUCCUCAAGCCUAUAAGCUUUCCAUGCAUGCAGUGAAAGGAAAUGACAUAAUAAAUUUAUUGUUGUGCUGUAAUUUCAGUUUUUUUGGCAUCGUAAUCUUUUAAACAUGAACUGCUUUGAAUGCAGCCUAAACUUCAACUUUCACUAUUGAUAUCAUUGUACCAAUCCAAGGCUAUUUCAAGGAUAAAUUUUAUUGUGAAGGAUGAAGAAAAAUAAGAAAAACAUAGUAGGUGAAUUUAGCUGAAUAAUACCAUAACUUUAUGCAUAGACUGACAUUUUGCCUGGAUCGGUACAAAACAGGCAGUAUGUACCGGGCCGGGCAUGAACUGAUAAGUAAAAUGCCCCCAUUUCGAAUUGUCCAAUCCAACCUAUUAGAAAAACUAAAAAAGAAAAAGAAGAAACUUAUUUAAUGCUGCUGGUUUAGGGCUUGCGUUUGUGAGCCUUCCUUGCUGUAGAUGCAAAGCUUGCUGCUGCCUGUUGCUGCCCACUGCCUGCCUUGCGUCGCUAAUUUCAGGUAUGCUUCCUCCUUCUCUUCCUCCUCCUUCAUUGCUUCCUCUUCUUCUUUCCUCUUCCUCCUCCAUCCUCCUCUUCCUCCACCGCCUCCUCUUGUUACUUCUUCUUCCUCUUUUUCCCUCCACUUCCUCCACCACCUCCACUUCUUCCUUUCCCUCCUUUCUCUUCCUCCACUGCCUCCUCUACUUCCGUUCUCUUCCCUCCUUCAUCCUCUUCCUCCACUAACAGUCCUUCCUCUUCCAACGGUAUCGAUAUGUAUCGGUACAAGAUGACAAACCUUGACUUUAGGAAUAUGUCAUACAUUGUUGUAAAUCCAUAUCAAUUGUCUUAUGCAUGUGUACUCAAUAAACCCAUAUGUGGCAUAUAAGAUGAUUCUCUCUAAUGUAUUAUAUGAAGCAUCUGUUUUCCAUGUUAUGUCUACUGACAUAAUUCUAUAUCUAGUGCUCCUUGCUACCAAAGAAAGGAGGCAAUUUACAUAGAAUGCAAUUUGCAUUGAUUAAAUUCUUCUUAAUGAGCCUUUUUAUCUCAAAUGAAAUACUGUUGAGUGUUGACAUUCUAGAUGAAGAGGAAAUUGCAGCAAGAAAAUAUCAAUUUGUGAUUAAAUCUUACUUUUUGGUGAAUGAGACAGACUAAGUUGAGCAAAGUCAAUGCGGAUAUAUGGAGGAAUGCACAGGCUAAGAAAGUUCAUGACGCCUGCAAUAACCUGUUCUGGAUUUAUCAGAUGAUUAGCAUAGGGUACAAAAACAAGGAAAUCCAAAUAUGUCAAGAGUUUUAAAGUUCAGGGAAAUAUUCAACAUGUUAGAUUAAUAUAGCCUUGUGCAGCUAACCAAUCUGUAAAAAAAAAUAUUCAGAGAAUGGUUAAAGCCACAUGGUGCAAGUUUACAGAUGUGGGAUCUUCAAAGGGAGAUACUAGGAAAUGCAUCCCCAUCAAUCAACUAGCAUAGUUGCUUAUAUUACCAACCUGAAUACAAAUACCAUAAUUCAAAUUAAUCAUUAGUGAUUAAAAUUUGUGUGUUUGCUCUCCAAUACAUAACGACAUCUGCAUCGACUCCAGAAACACAAACACUAAGAGAGCAAAGGUUAUAGAAUAUUUAUCCAGUGCAGUUGUUUUCAGUUAUAGCAUAAUAUCUUUGAACAAUAUAUCUGUCCAAGUAUGAUGAAACUUGCUCUUUCACAGGUUCCUUGAGCCAACUAUAACUUGAGUUCGAAUGCAGAAGCAUCCUCCUUACAGUUGCAAAAUUGUAAACACAUUUCAGAUUGGAAUUUAUUAAAUUAUUAUCAAUAAGGAGCGAGCUCUACACUGGAAAAGAUCUUCCAACAACUUAAGUCAAAAUUAACCACAUAAUGACCAGGGAUCAAGCAUAGAGGGAAACAUCCCGAAGUAACGUCUCAACAUUGGAAAAGACACUACCUUAUCAACAAGCCCAUGGAUCACCAGACUAGCCUUUUUGUCCUUUGGGGUUGGCUGUCAAAACUCAGAUACAGGAGGCAACAUCAGCGAUCUCAAGUAUUCAUAUGACUGCAGAAUGCUUAACUAAUAAUUGAAUUAACUAUACAUAAUAGCAAUUAUCAUCUAUUUGGAGUAUGGCACCUUCAUGUUAUUUCUUUCAAUAGUUGAAAUGAAUAUGGUUAUCCAACUAGAAGACAGAAUAAUUAACUUAUGGAGAAAAAUUUUAAACAGUACCCCAUUGAACAAAAGUUGAUCCUAAAAAUAGCAUUUCCUUUCAGUCUGUACUAUACUUGUAACAUUUUUGCGCUUUCCCUGUUUCUAGUAAUUAGCAGCAUGUAACAUUCCAAAUCUCCUUAAUGGUUACCCCUGAGCAUUUCUACAGACUUCUUUGACAUUGAUAAUUUGAUGAGUCGAAUACAAUGUAAUCUACAAAAAGGAAUAUUAAAAAUUUCACCUAAAAUCAAGGGGUUAUAAGAUAUAGUAUAUAGAUUAAGUUGAAAAGAGCAAUAUUUGCUGUUCCUGGUCAUCAAUUCUAAUAACUGCUAAUAUCAGAUAAGCAACUGUCAAGUAAAAGGACAGGUGUCCCAAAUUAAGUCCUUCAGAAUUUAAAUAUGGUACAAAUGGGCAUAAAGGAAAAGCAUGUACACUCAGAAUAUUCAACUUAGCUUUGGGUUGCAAGGGUAUAAUAGAUUCCUAUGAGACAAUGAUAAACAUCUUUCAUACAACAAAACCGUUGUUCCCAUUAUUUCAGAAAGUUGCAUAUUUCUUUAACUUGGAGAACAUGUGGUCUUCUUUUUCUUGGCUUUUAUUUGUUUGUUUAUUUUCUUUUGUGGAUGGAUUGGAGUGGGCUGUUGGAGCUAAAACCAGGUCACUAGUUAACCAGUCAAUGAUCGACAAGCACAGAUAUCUUUCCUUUUCUUUAUUUUAAAUUACAUUUAUAAAUAUUAUUUAUAUUCUUGUUCUUGAAAGGAUAUAAAGGAACUCAUACGAGUCAUGAUUGAUCGAACUUAACUCUCACAUUUAUGACCCCAACCCUGACAGCAUUUGCAACCAAAUGCUUACAUAGUCUUCCUAACUGAUUCACACCAAGAAAACUGUUAUUAUUAGAAGCAAUAUCAUAUAAGCUAAAAAACACAAGUUCUUAUGGAAUGUUGAUAUGCAUUACUCUUAGUGAAGUAGAACAAAUAUUCCAAAUUAAAUAAAAAGGUUACUAUUGUCUUCACACCAUUAGAAAAAUAGCAUUCUUUUUUCAAUAUUAUCCUUUAAUUCAGCAACUCAGAUUACCACAACUGCAUGUACAACCAUCUAACUUUUGGACAAGCUAUACAUAUAAAUAGUACUAGUUCAAAAUGAUAUAGGUACAUAUAUCCAGGACCGAAGCAUAACUAAAUGCAAUGCAUACCUGAAGAUUUACAAUAACAAUCUUCCCACCAUUUCGGAUACACUUUAAAGGUAAGUUGCACGCAGGUGUUAUCUGCAAACUGCAAACAGCAAGGUAGUAAGUUGGAAACCAUAACUAGGAAAUCAUGAAAAGAAAAGAUAGAAAAUGGGUACAUGUCUAUACAUCAUUCAAAAAAUC